UUUUUUUUUUUUUUUUUUUUUGUGGUUUAUGGGUGUGUGUUAUAUUUUUUAAGUAACAGAAGAGAAAAGACUCUCUACUCUAGAAGGAAAACUGGACUCCACGGAAAGUUCUCUCGGCCCAGCACGCUGAAAUGGGUCAGUGGAACUCUGGGUUGAGUGGAUCCAUCGACUUUUCCGCAUUCGUUCAUUGUGUAUAGGCAGAAUGAGCUGGUGUAAACUUCACCUCUUGCUAAAGUCUAGUGAGAAAAAUCACAAAAAAAAAAAUUAAAAACUGUGAAAUUUAGAAAUUUUUGGUUCUAAGAAUUUUACUCUAGUUGUUAUUGCAUCAUUUACAAAUUAAUUGUAAUGUGUAUGUAUGACUUGAUGGUAAUCUAAUAUUUUAAAAAAAUUUAAUCGAUGUUGAUCGUGUCAUUAACUGCUUCUAAUUGUGUAAAAGUUAAUUUUAAAAAACUAGAACAAAAAAGCACCCCAAAAAAUAAUUUUUAUUCUUUUUUUAGGGUGAACAAAUAAGUAGCAAGUUUGCAUAGAAAAGAUGUAUUGUUUGUACAGUUGGACCAUUGUACUAGCACGGAUCUGCUCAGCUUCCUAUCAAAAUGAUAAAAUCCCCCUUAGACAAAAACGAUUCUAUCUAUUAAAUAAAUACAAUCUAAGGCAACUUUUCAUCAAAGCUUCAUCUUUUUAUAACCUUCUUCAAACACAUAAAAAAUGAUGCCUGUUCUUCCUCAUUUUGGUGGCAUGGCUCAAAAGGUUGUUAGGAUAGCUAAAACGUUUCGAAAGGAGGUGGUUUCCAGUCCUAAUGCAAUAGGAUUAUGUGCUAGCGACACCCUUUCUAUUUUGAUAGCUAUGAAACAAAUGGAACAAGCAAUGAAUGCUGAUAAGCAAAAUGAGUUAAACCAUGAUGAAAGAUGUACAGAGGUGAAGAAGAAUGUCAGAGAAAGUAAAGAAAAGGUUAUACUGGCAGUCAAAAAAGAAUCUGCUCAGCCACCCAAAAACUUUAAGGAAUUGAUGAAAAUCCAUGACAAACAAUAUUCAUCUUCUUGGUUUUGGACCGACAAAAGGGUCAACCUUCUCUAAGCGAUGCUAGAAAGUUUUCAGAAGGAGGCUAAUGUUAAGGAGAAGAUGUACCUAGAUGCCAAUGAGGCAAAAAAAAAAAAUAUUGGGUUGAUGAGUUUUCGGAUUUUUGGAUCUUAUACCUAAGUCAGCUUUUGAAUGACUUAGAUUCGAGACUAACACGUGUGUUUUUCUAAGAAUGAGUUAGUGUAAACUUCACCUCAUGCUAAAGUCCAGUGAGAUAAACCACAAAAAAAAAAUUUAAGAACCAUGAAAUUUAGAAAUUUUUGGUUCUAAGAAUUUUAUUCUAGUUUUUAUUGCAUCAUUUAUAAAUUAAUUGUAAUGUGUAUGUAUGACUUGAUGGUAAUGUAAUAUUUUAAAAAAAUUUAAUCGAUGUUGAUUGUGUCCUUAACUGCUUUUAAUUGUGUAAAAGUUAAUUUUAAAAAAUCAGAACAAAAAAACACCUAAAAAAAAUCUUAUUUUUAAUCUUUUUUUAGGUUGAACAAAUUAAGUAGCAAGUUUGUACAGAAAAGCUGUGUUGUUUGUACAGUUAGGCUGUUGCACUAGCACGAAUCAACUCAGCUUUCUAUCAAAAUGACAAAAUCACCCUUAGAUGAAACUAUUCUAUCUAUUAAAUAAAUACAGCCCAAGGCAACUUUUCUCCAAAACUUCAUCUUUUUAUAACAUUCUUCAAACACAUCAAAAAUGAUGCCAGUUCUUCCUCAUUUUGGUGGCAUGGCUCAAAAGGUUGUUGGGAUAGCGAAAAAGUUUGGAAAAGGAGGUGGUUCUAGUCCUAAUACGAUAGGAUUCUGUGUUAGCAAUACCACUUCUAUUUUGAUAGUUGUGAAACAAAUGGAACAAGCAUGGAAUGUUGAUGAGAAGAAUGAGUUAAAUGAUUAAAAAUGUAGAAAGGUGAAGAAAACUGUCAGAGAGAGUGAAAGAAGGUUAUACUGGCAAUCAAAAAAAAUCUGCUCAGCCCACCAAAAAUUUGAAGGAGUUGAUGAAAUUCCACGGCAAACAAAACUCAUCUUCUUGGUUUUGGACCGACAAAAGGGUCAACCUUCUCCAAGCGAAGCUAGAAAGUUUUUUGAAGGAGGCUGAGGUGAAGGAUAUGAUGUACCUGGAUGCUAUUGAGGUAAAAAAAAAUGUUGGGUUGAUGAGUUUUCAGAUUUUUGGAUCUUAUACCUAAGUCAGCUUUUGAAUUACUUAGAUUCAAGACUAACACGUGUACUUUUCUAAGAAUGAGUUAGUGCAAACUUCUCCUCAUGCUAAAGUCCAAUGAGAAAAAUCACAAAAAAAAAUUGAAGAACAGUGAAAUUUAGAAAUUUUUGGUUCUAAGAAUUUUACUCUAGUUUUUAUUGCAUCAUUUACAAAUUAAUUGUAAUGUGUAUAUAUGACUUGAUGGUAAUCUAAUAUUUAAAAAAAAUUUAAUUGAUGUUGAUCGUGUCCUUAACUGCUUCUAAUUGUGUAAAAGUUAUUUCAAAAAAUCAGAAUAAAAAAGCACCCCAAAAAAUUGUUAUUUUUAAUUUUUUUUAGGGUGAACAAAUUAAGUAGACAGUUUGUACAAAAAAACUGUGUUGUUUGUACAGCUGGGCUUUUGCACUAGCACGGAUCAGCUCAGCUUCCUAUCAAAAUGACAAUAUGCCCCUUAGACCAAACUAUUCUAUCUAUUAAAUAAAUACAACCCAAGGCAACUUUUCACCAAAAUUUCAUCUUUUUAUAACAUUCUUCAAACACAUAAAAAACGAUGCUAGUUCUUCCUCAUUUUGGUGGCAUGUCAAAAAAUGUUGUAGGGACAGCUAAAAAGUUUGGAAAGGAGACGGUUUCUAGUCCUAAUGCGAUAGGAAUAUAGUGAGGUGAAAAUACCCUUUCUAGCAAUACCCUUUCUAUUUUAAUAGCUGUGAAACAAAUGGAACAAGCAAGGAAUGUUGAUGAGCAGAAUGAGUUAAAUCGUGAUGAAAGAUGUAGUGAGGUAAACAAGACUGUCAGAGAGAGUGAAAGAAAGGUUACACUAGCAUUCAAAAAAAAGGCUGCUCAGCCCACCAAAAAUUUGAAGGAGUUGAUGAAAACUCAUGACAAACAAUACUCAUCUUCUUGGUUUUGACCAACAAAAAGGUAAACCUUCUCCAAAUGAAACUAGAAAGUUUUCCGAAGGAGGCUGAGGUGAAGGAGAAGAUGUACCUAGACGCCAUUGAGGUAAAAAAAAAUGUUUGGUUGCUGAGUUUUCAAACUUUUGGAACUUAUACCUAAGUCAGCUUUUGAAUGACUUAGAUCCAAGACUAACAUGUGCGUUUUUCUAAGAAUGAGCUGGCGUAAACUUUACCUCAUGCUAAAGUCAAGUGAUAAAAACAAGGAAAAAAAAAUUUAAGAACAGAGAAAUUUAGAAAUUUUUAGUUCUAAGAAUUUUAGUCUAAUUUUUAUUGUAUCAUUUACAAAGUAAUUGUAAUGUGUAUGUAUGACUUGAUGGUAAUCUAAUAUUUUAAAAAAAUUUAAUCGAUGUUGAUCGUUUCCUUAACUGCUUCUAAAUUGUGUAAAAGUUAAUUUUAAAAAUCAGAAUAAAAAAGCACCCAAAAAAAUCUUACGCUAAAUCUUUUUCUAGGAUGAACAAAUUAAGUAGCAAGUUUGUAUAGAAAAACUGUGUUGUUUGUACAAUUAGGCUGUUGCACUAGGACGGAUUAGCUUAGCUUACUAUAAAAAUGGCAAAAUCCCCCUUAGACCAAACUAUUCUAUCUAUUAAAUAAAUACAACCCGAGGCAACUUUUCACCAAAAUUUCAUCUUUUUAUAACCUUCUUCAAAUACAUCAAAAAUGAUGCUAGUUCUUACUCAUUUUAGUGGCAUGAAAGUUCUUCCUCAUUAUGGUGGCAUGGCUCAAAACAUUGUUGAGAUAGCUAAAAAGUUUGGGAAGGAGGUGGUUUCUAGUUCUAAUGCGAUAGGGUUUUGUGCUAGCAAUACCCUUUUUAUUUUGAUAGCUGUAAAACAAAUGGACCAAACAAGGAAUACUGAUGAGUAGAAUGACUAGAAUGCAAGACUAACACGUGUGUUUUUCUAAGAAUGAGCAGGUGCAAACUUCUCCUUAUGCUAAAGUCCAGUGAGAAAAUCACAAAAAAAAAUUAAGAACAUUGAAAUUUAGAAAUUUUUGGUUCUAAGUUUUUUACUCUAAUUUUUAUUGCAUCAUUUACAAAUUAAUUGUAAUGUGUAUGUAUGACUUGAUGGUAAUCUAAUAUUUAAAUAAAAUUUAAUUGAUGUUGAUCCUAUCCUUAACUACUUUUAAUUUUGUAAAAGUUAAUUUUAAAAAAUCAGAACAAAAAAGCACCCAAAGAAAUCUUAUUUUUAAUCUUUUUUCAGGGUGAACAACUUAAGUAGCAAGUUUGUACAGGAAAGCUGUGUUGUUUGUAAAGCAGGGCUGUUGCACUAGCACAGAUUAGCUCAGCUUCCUAUCAAAAUGACAAAAUCCCCCUUAGACCAAACUAUUCUAUCUAUUAAAUAUAUGCAAACGAAGGCAACUUUGCACCAGAAUUUCAUCUUUUUAUAACCUUUUUCAAACACAUCAAAAACGCUGCCAGUUCUUCCUCAUUUUGUUGGCAUGGUUCAAAAAGUUGUUGGAAUAGCUACAAAGUUUGAAAAGACAGUGGUUUCUAGUCCUAAUGCAACAGGGUUCUGUGCUAACGAUACCCUUUCUAUUUUGAUAGUUGUGAAACAAAUGGCACAAGCAAGGAAUGCUGAUAAGCAGAAUGAGUUAAACCAUGAUGAAAGAUAUAAAGAGGUGAAGAAGACUACCAGAGAAAGUGAAGAAAAGGUUAUACUGGUAGUAAAAAAAAAGACUGCUCAGCCCACCAAAAAUUUUAAAGAGUUGAUGAAAAUCCAUGACCAACAAUACACAUCUUCUUGGUUUUCAUAAGUUUUCAUAGGUGAACAAGCCCUUAGGAUUGAUAAGUUUUCAUAUUUUUGGAUCUUAUACCUAAGUUAGCUUUUGAAUGACUUAGAUUCAAGACUAACAAGUGUUUUUUAAGAAUGAGUUGGUGUAAACUUCACAGCAUGCUAAAGUCCAUUGAGAAAAACAACAAAAAAAAUUAAGAACCGUAAAAUUUAGAAAUUUUUUGUUCCAAGAAUUUUACUCCAGUUUAGUUGCAUCAUUUACAAAUUAAUUGUAAUGUGUAUGUAUGACUUGAUGGUAAUCUAAUACUUUAAAAAAAUUUAAUCAAUUUGAUCGUGUCCCCAACUGCCUUUAAUUGUGUAAAAGUUAAUUUUAAAAAAUUAGAAUAUAAAACGCCCAAAAAAAAUCUUAUUUUUAAUCUUUUUUUAGGGUGAACAAAUUAAGUAGCAACUUUGUACAGAAAAGUUCUAUUGUUUGUAUAGUGGGUCGUUGCACUAGCACGAAUCAGCUCAGCUUCCUAUCAAAAUGGCAAAAUCCCCCUUAGACCAAACUAUUCUAUGUAUUAAAUGAAUACAAACGAAGGUAGCUUUUCACCAAAAUUUCAUUUUUUUAAAACCUUCUUCAAACUCAUAAAAAACGAUGCCAAUUUUUCCUCAUUUUGGUGGCAUGAAAGUUCUUUCUCAUUUUGAUGGCAUGGCUCAAAAGAUUGUUGGGAUAGCUAAAAAGUUUGGAAAUGAGUUGGUUUCUAGUUCUAAUGCGAUAGCCCUUUGUAUUUUGAUAGCUGUGAAACAAAUAGAACAAGCAAGGAAUACUAAUAAGCAGAAUUAGUUAAACCAUGAUGAAUGAUGUUGAGCGGUAAAGAAGACUGUCACACAGAGUGAAAGAAAGGUUAUACAGGUAUUUUAAAAAGAGGCUGCUCAGCCCACAAAAAAUUUGGAGGAGUUGAUGAAAAUCCAUAACCAAGAAUACACAUUUUCUUGGUUUUGGACCGAUAAAAGGAUCAACCUUCUCCAAGCGAAGCUAGAAAGUUUUCAAAUGGAGGCUGAGGUGAAGAAGAAGAUGUACCUGGUUGCCAUUUAGGUAAAAAAAAUUGUUGGGCUGAUGAGUUUUUGGAUUUUUGGAUCUUAUACCUAAGUCAGCUUUUGAAUGAUUUAGAUUCAAGACUAACACUUGUGUUUUUCUAAGAAUGAGUUGGUGUAAACUUCACAGCAUACUAAAGUCCAUUGAGAAAAACCAGAAAAAAAAAUUUAAGAACCGUGAAAUUUAGAAAUUUUUUUUUCGAAAAAUUUUACUAUAGUUUUUAAUGCAUCAUUUACAAAUUAAUUGUAAUGUGUAUGUAUGACUUGAUGGUAAUCUAAUAUUUUAAAAAAAUUUAAUCAAUGUUGAUCGUGUCCUCAACUGCCUCUAAUUGUUUAAAAUGUAAUUUUAAAAAAUCAGAAUAAAAAACACCCAAAAAAAUCUUAUUUUUAAUCUUCUUUUAGGGUGAACAAAUUAAGUAGCAAGUUUGUACAGAAAAGUUGUGUUGUUUGUACAGUUGGGCUGUUGCACUAGCACGAAUCAGCUCAGCUUCCUAUCAAAAUGAUAAAAUUCCCCUUAAACCAAACUAUUCUAUCUGUUAAAUAUAUACAAACGAAGGUAACUUUUCACCAAAAUUUCAUUUUUUAUAACCUUCUUCAAACACAUUAAAAACGGAGCCAAUUCUUACUCAUUUUGAUGGCAUGACAGUUCUUCCUCAUUUUGAUGGCAUGGCUCAAAAAGUUGUUGGGAUAGCUAAAAAGUUUGGAAACGAGGUGGUUUCUAGUCUUAAUGCGAUAGGGUUCUGUGCCAGUGAUACCCUUUGUAUUUUGAUAGCUGUGAAACAAAUGGAACAAGCAAGGAAUACCGAUAAGCAGAAUGAGUUAAAUCAUGAUGAUAGAUGUACAUAGGUGAAGAAAACUGUCAGAGGGAAUGAAAGAAUGGUUAUACUGCUAGUCAAAAAAAAGGUUGCUCAACCCACCAAAAAUUUUAAAGAGUUGAUGAAAAUUCAUGACCAACAAUACACAUCUCUUGGUUUUGGCCCGCAUAAAAGGUCAACCUUCUCCAAGCGAAACUAGAAAGUUUUCACAAGGAGACUGAGAUGAAGGAAAAGAUGCACCUGGAUGCCAUUUAGGUAAAAAAAAAUGUUGGAUUGAUGAGUUUUCGGAUUUUUGGAUCUUAUACCUAAGUCAGCUUUUGAAUGACUUAGAUUCAAGACUAACAAGUGUGUUUUUUUAAAAAUAAGUUGGUGUAAACUUCACAGCAUGCUAAAGUCCAUUGAGAAAAAUCACAAAAAAAAAAAAAAAAUUUAAGAACCGUGAAAUUUAGAAAAUUUUUUUUCCAAGAAUUUUACUCCAGUUUUUAUUGCAUCAUUACAAAUUAAUUGUAAUGUGUAUGUAUGACUUCAUGGUAAUCCAAUACUUUAAAAAAAUUUAAUCAAUGUUGAUCGUGUCCCUACCUGCUUUUAAUUGCGUAAAAGUUAAUUUUAAAAAAUCAGACUAAAAAAAUACUAAAAAAUCUUAUUUUUCAUCUUUUUUGUGGUGAACAAAUUAAUUAGCAAGUUUGCACAGAAAAACUGUGUUAUUUGCGCAGUUGGGCUGUUGCGCUAGCAUGGAUCAGCUCUGCUUCCUAUCAAAAAGACAAAAUUCACCUUAGACCACACUAUUCUAUCUAUUAAAUAUAUACAAGGCAAAUUUUCAUCAGAAUUUCAUCUUUUUAUAAGCUUCUUCAAACACAUAAAAAAACGAUGCCAGUUCUUUCUCAUUUUGGUGGCAUGAAAGUUCUUCCUCAUUUUGAUGGUGUGGCUCAAAAAGUUGUUGGGAUAGCUAAAACGUUUCGAAAGGAGGUGGUUUCCAGUUUUAAUGCAAUAGGGUUCUGUGCUAGCGACACCCUUUCUAUUUUGAUAGUUGUGAAACAAAUGGAACAAGCAAUGAAUGCUGAUAAGCAAAAUGAGUUAAACCAUGAUGAAAGAUGUACAGAGGUGAAGAAGAAUGUCAGAGAGAGUAAAGAAAAAGUUAUACAGGCAGUCAAAAAAGAAUCUGCUCAGCCACCCAAAAACUUUAAGGAAUUGAUGAAAAUCCAUGACCAACAAUAUAUAUUUUCUUGGUUUCGGCCCGACAAAAGGGUCAACAUUCCCCAAACGAAACUAGAAAGUUUUCAGAAGGAGGCUGACGUGAAAGAGAAGAUGUACCUGGAUGCCAUUAGAAGAUGUACCUGGAUGCCAUUAACGUAAAAAAAAAUGUUGGGUUGAUGAGUUUUCAGAUUUUUGGAUCCUAUAUCUAAAUCAGCUUUUGAAUGACUUAUAUUCAAGACUAACAUGUGCGUUUCUCUAAAAAUGAGCUGGUGUAAACUUCACAGCAUGCUAAAGUUCGUUGAGAAAAACAAAAAAAAAAAAAAUGUGGGAACCGUGAAAUUUAGAAAUUUUUUGAUCUAAGAUUUUUACUCUAGUUUUUAUUGCAUCAUUAACAAAUUAAUUGUAAUAUGCAUGUAUGACUUGAUGGUAAUCUAAUAUUUAUAAAAUUUCAAUCAAUGUUGAUCGUGUCCUCAACUGCUUCUAAUUGUGUAAAAGUUAAUUUUAAAAAAUCAGAAUAAAAAAUACCCAAAAAAAUCAUAUUUUUAAUCUUUUUUAGGGUGAACAAAUUAUGUGGCACGUUUGUGUUGAAAAGCUAUGCUGUUUGUACAGUUGGGCUGUUGCACUAGCACGGAUCUGCUCAGCUUUCUAUCAAAAUGAUGAAAUCCCCCUUAGACCAAACUAUUCUAUCUAUUAAAUAAAUACAACCAAAGGCAACUUUUCAUCAAAACUUCAUCUUUUUAUAACCAUCUUCAAACGCAUAAAAAACGAUGCCAGUUAUUCCUCAUUUUGGUAGCAUGAAAGUUGUUCCUAAUUUUGAUGGUAUGACUUAAAAAGUUGUUGGUAUCUCUAAAAAGUUUGGAAAAGAAGUGGUUUCUAGUCCUAAUGCAAUAGGGUUCUGUGCUAGCGAUACCCUUUCUAUUUUGAUAGCUGUGAACCAAAUGGAAAACGUAAGGAAUGCUGAUAAGCGGAAUGAGUUAAAUCAUGAUGAACCAUAUAGAUAGGUGAAGAAGAUUGUCAGAGAGAGUGAAGGAAAGAAUUUACUGGCAGUCAAAAAAGAGACUACUCAGCCCACCAAAAAUUUUAAUGAGUUGAUGAAAAUUCAUGACCAACAAUACAUAUCUUCGUAGUUUUGAACGAAUAAACUGUCAAUCUUCUCCAAGCGAAACUAGAAGGUUUUCAGAAUGAGGCUGAGGUGAAGGAAAAGAUGUACCUGGAUGCCAUUGAGGUAAAAAAAAUAUUGGGUUGAUAAGUUUUUGAAUUUUUGGAUCUUAUACCUAAGUCGGCUUUUGAAUGACUUAAAUUUAAGACUAACAUGUGUGUUUUUCUAAGAAUUAGGUGGUGUAAAUUUCACAGCAUGCUAAAGUCAAUUGAGAAAAAUCAAAAAAAAAUUUAGAAACCGUGAAAUUUAGAAAUUUUUUGUUCUAAGAUUUUUGCUCUAGUUUUUAUUAUAUCAUUUACAAAUUAAUUGUAAUGUGUAUGUAUGACUUGUUGGUAAUCUAAUAUUUUUAAAAAAUUUAAUCAAUAUUUAUCGUGUCCUUAAAUGCUUCUAAUUAUGUAAAAGUUAAUUUUAAAAAAUCAGAAUAAAAAAGCACCCAAAAAAUCUUUAAUCUUUUUUAGCGUGAAAAAAUUAGGUAGCAAGUUUGUACAAAAAAGCUGUGUGGUUUGUACAACUGGGCAGUUGCACUAGUACGAAUCAGCUCAGCUUCCUAUCAAAAUGAUAAAAUCCCCUUUAGACCAAACUAUUCUAUCUAUUAAAUAAAUAUGGCUCAGGGCAACUUUUCACUAAAACGUUAUCUUUUUAUAACCUUAUUCAAGCACAUCAAAAACGAUGCCAGUUCUUCCUUAUUUUGGUGACAUGAAAGUUUUUUCUCAUUUUGGUGGCAUGGCUCAAAAGGUUGUUGGGAUAGCUAAAAUGUUUGGAAAGGAGGUGGAACCGAACCACGUUAAAUAUUAUGUGUCGUUUAUCUUUCAUGCUUGUGGCUUGUUUGCUCAUUAAAUUAUUGUGUACUUGACAUCUCAAUAGUUGUUUGUUCCACGCUUGGAUCCUAACAGAAUAUACUGGACUGGAAUAUAUGUGGCUAUUAUUGUUGUUAUAGUAUUAUGUGAAUAGAUCUGGCUAUGAUGUGAUACUAUGUGAAGGUGCUUCAGUCUACGAGGGUUGAAAAAUUCACCCCCGAGGUGGGUGAACAACUUGACACAGAAAAACGUUCCGUCGUUCAUCUUGUACCUGAUCUAAAGAAUCCUCCGGGCAUGAUAGUUCAAGUUCUUGAUGAGGGAUACAUUUGCAAUGGGUAGAUUCUUAGACGUGCAAAGGUAGGAGUCUCACGUGCUGUGGAGACCAGGGGAAGAAGCAAAAAUGCAUGAGUGAGAUUAUGAGAUAUGACUGCUAUAGUAUGUUUUAGACUCCACUUUAUAGUAUGUUCUACUUUUGAGACAUUUUGCAAGUUCGCAAAGUUGCAAAAACUAGUUUCAUUUCAUGGUUGAUGUACUUUAUCAAUGGUAAAUAGGUAAUGUGGAUAAUAUCUGCUUCCGUGCUUGCCAAGAAAAUCAAAUUUUGUGCUAUAUAAUCAACAAGCAAUCCCUAAUAUUUGCUUCCCUAGAUAAUGAUGCUACAAAAAAUGGGAUCUUGUGCUAUAUAAUCUGCAUGUUAUCGUUACUUCGUUCUUGAUUUCCUGCUUCACAAUGUGAUUGAUUAAAUGCGAUGAAAUAUCACAACAACAAUUUUUUCUCCUUUUGGUUCUUUCAAUUUGGUGACGACCUUGUUUCUUUUUAAUCUCAGAUUCUAAUCUCUUAUCUUUAGAUGUUUCUCUUUUAAUUUCUUUUAUUUUACUUUUGGUCCAAAUAUAUCAAUCUAGGUUUAAAGAUACUGCAGAAAAGAAACCCAGUUUUAUUGCGGCUGUAUUGCAUUUACUGUAAUGGACACUUUUUUUUUUCCUUUUUUUUUGUUCUUUUUAUUUCUUUCCACUCUCAGACUCUUUAUCUCUAGAUGUUUGCCUUCUUUUUCAACUUCUUUUAUCUUACUUCUCGUCCAAAUAUAGCAAUUUAGGUUCAAGUGCACUUAUUUUAUUGGAGACCUCUUGCCAUUUUUUUCCCCUUUUAAUCUCAGACUCUUAUCUCUAGAUUUGAAAGAAUCGAUAUUACAAAUAUCAUCUAAGAUUUGUCUUCAAUUUCUUCGAGUCAUGGCUAUAGAAUGGCACACCCUAAAGCCCAUGUCCGAGAUGGGCGGAGCCUCGACCUGAAUCUUUUUAGUACGGAUCACGACACUGGGACUAAAAGUACGAAUGUUGAAUGCGCCAACUCGGGGUUUACCAAAGCCCGAUUCAGCAAGUCUAACAAAUCGAAUUUAUCAAAUAUGGAGUCUCUCUAUAGGCUAACAAAAAUUUAUGUCCGAAUUUAGAGUCUUUAUUCGACGGGAAAAAGUUUAUCAACUAAAAAUAAUCACUGUAUAAAAAGUUGAUCCUUGUAAUUUAUAAAUGAUCACGAUGUAACAUAUUAAUCCUUAUACUUUAUACUUUAUAGCAAACAGCCUGUCAUAAAACUAGAACCAUGAUGAAAGAUGUACAGAGGUGAAGAAGAAUGUCAGAGAGAGUGAAGAGAAGGUUAUAAUGGCAGUCAAAAAAGAAUCUACUCAGCCACCCAAAAAUUUUAAGGAAUUGAUGAAAAUUCAUGACCAACAAUACAUAUUUUCUUGGUUUUGGCCCAACAAAAAGGUCAACCUUCUCCAAACGAAACUAGAAAGUUUUCAAAAGGAGACUGAGGUGAAAGAAAAGAUAUACCUGGAUGCCAUUGACUUAAAAAAAAAUGUUGAGUUGAUGAGUUUUCAGAUUUUUGGAUCCUAUAUCUAAAUCAGCUUUUGAAUGACCUAGAUUCAAGACUAACAUGUGCGUUUCUCUAAAAAUGAGCUAGUGUAAACUUAACAGCAUGCUAAAGUUCGUUGAGAAAAACAAAAAAAAAUUAGGAAUCGUGAAAUUUAGAAAAUUUUUGUUUUGAGAUUUUUAGUCUAGUUUUUAUUACAUCAUUUACAAAUUAAUUGUAAUAUGUAUGUAGGACUUGAUGGUAAUCUAAUAUUUAAAAAAAUUUUAAUCAAUGUUGAUCUUGUCCCAACUGCUUCUAAUUGUGUAAAAGUUAAUUUUAAAAAAUCAGAAUAAAAAACACCCAAAAAAAUCUUAUUUUUAAUCUUUUUUAGGGUGAACAAAUUAUGUAGCACGUUUGUGCUGAAAAGCUGUGCUGUUUGUACAGUUGCGUUGUUGCACUAGCACGGAUCUGCUCAGCUUUCUAUCAAAAUAACGAAAUCCCCUUUAGACCAAACUAUUCUAUCUAGUAAAUAAAUACAACCUAAGGCAACUUUUCAUCAAAAUUUCAUCUUUUUAUAACCAUCUUCAAACGCAUAAAAAACGAUGCCAGUUAUUCCUCAUUUUGGUGGCAUGAAAGUUCUUCCUAAUUUUGAUGGCAUGACUUAAAAAGUUGUUGGUAUCUCUAAAAAGUUUGGAAAAGAAGUGGUUUCUAGUCCUAAUGCCAUAGGGUUCUAUGCUAGUGAUACCCUUUCUAUUUUGAUAGCUGUGAAACAAAUGGAACAAGUAAGGAAUGCUGAUAAGCAGAAUGAGUUAAAUCAUGAUGAAACAUGUAGAGAGAUGAAGAAGAUUGUCAGAGAGAGUGAAGAAAAGGCUUUACUGACAGUCAAAAAAGAGGCUGCUCAGCCCACCAAAAAUUUUAAGGAGUUGAUGAAAAUUCAUGACCAACAAUACAUAUCUCCUUGGUUUUGACUCGAAUAAACGGUCAACCUUCUCCAAGCGAAACUAGAAAGUUUUCAGAAGGAGGCUGAGGUGAAGGAAAAGAUGUAACUGGAUGCCAUUGAGGUAAAAAAAAUGUUGGGUUGAUGAGUUUUUGAAUUUUUGGAUCUUAUACCUAAGUCAGCUUUUGAAUGAUUUAGAUUCAAGACUAACAUGUGUGUUUUUUGUGUAAACUUCACAGCAUGCUAAAGUCUGUUGAGAAAAAUCACAAAAAAAAAUUUAGGAACCGUAAAAUUUAAAAAUUUUUUGUUCUAAGAUUUUUGCUCUAGUUUUUAUUACAUCAUUUACAAAUUAAUUGUAAUGUGUAUGUAUGACUUGUUGGUAAUCUAAUAUUUUUUAAAAAUUUAAUCAAUAGUUAUCGUGUCCUUAAAUGCUUCUAAUUAUGUAAAAGUUAAUUUUACAUAGUCAGAAUAAAAAAGCACCCAAAAAAUCUUAUUUUUAAUCUUUUUUAGCGUGAAAAAAUUAAGUAGCAAGUUUGUACAGAAAAGCUGUGUGGUUUGUACAACUGGGCAGUUGCACUAGUACGAAUCAGCUCAGCUUCCUAUCAAAAUGAUAAAAUCCCCUUUAGACCAAACUAUUCUAUCUAUUAAAUAAAUAUGGCCCAGGGCAACUUUUCACUAAAAUGUCAUAUUUUUAUAACCUUAUUCAAGUACAUCAAAAACGAUACCAGUUCUACCUUAUUUUGGUGACAUGAAAGUUUUUUCUCAUUUUGGUGGCAUGGCUCAAAAGGUUGUUGGGAUAACUAAAAUGUUUGGAAAGGAGGCGGUUUCUAGUCCUAAUGUGUAUGCUAGCAAUACCUUUUCUAUUUUGAUAGCUGUGAAACAAAUGGAACAAGCAAGAAAUGUUGAUGAGCAGAAUAAGUUAAACCAUGAUGAUAGAUGUAGAGAGGUGAAAAAGACUGUCAGAGAGAGUGAAAGAAAGGUUAUACUGGCAGUAAAAAAAGUGAUUGCUCAGCCCACCAAAAAUUUGAAGGAGUUGAUGAAAAUCCAUAACAGACAAUACUCAUGUUCUUGGUUUUGGACAGAUAAAAGGGUCAACCUUCUCCAAGCGAAACUAGAAAGUUUUCAGAAGGAGGGUGAGGUGAAGGAGAAGAUGUACUUGGAAGGCAUUGAGGUAAAAAAAAUGUUGGGUUGAUGAGUUUUCGGAUUUUUUGAUCUUAUACCUAAGUAAGCUUUUGAAUGACAUAGAUUUGGGACUAACACGUGUGUUUUCCUAAGAAUGAGCUGGUGUAAACUUCACCUCAUGCUAAAGUCCAGUGAGAUAAACCACAAAAAAAAAAAAAUUUAAGAACCAUGAAAUUUAGAAAUUUUUGGUUCUAAGAAUUUUACUCUAGUUUUUAUUACAUCAUUUACAAAUUAAUUAUAAUGUGUAUGUAUGACUUGAUGGUAAUCUAAUAUUUAAAAAAAAUUAAUUGAUGUUGAUCGUGUCCUUAACUGCUUCUAAUUGUGUAAAAAUUAAUUUUAAAAAUCAGAAUAAAAAAGCACCAAAAAAUCUUAUUUUUAAUCUUUUUUUAGGGUGAACAAAUUAAGUAGCAAUUUUGUACAGAAAAGUUGUGUUGUUUGUACAGCUCAAAUAUUGCACUAGCACGGAUCAGCUCAGCUUCCUAUCAAAAUAACAAAAUCCCCAUUAGACCAACCUAUUCCAUCUAUUAAAUAAAUACAACCCAAAGUAACUUUUCACCAAAAUUUCAUCUUUUUACAACCUUUUUCAAACACAUAAAAAAUCAUGCUAGUUCUUCCUGAUUUUGGUUCCAUGAAAGUUCUUCCUCAUUUUGGUGGCAUGGCUCAAAAGGUUGUUGGGAUAGUUAAAAUGUUUGAAAAGAAGUGGCUUCUAAUCCUAAUGCGAUAGGGUUUUAUGCUAGCAAUACCCUUUCUAUUUUGAUAGUUGUGGCACAAAUAGAACAAGUAAGGAAUGCUGAUAAGUAGAAUGAGUUAAAUCAUGAUGAAAGAUGUAGGGAGAUAAAGAAAACUGUUAGAGAGAGUGAAAGAAAUGUUAUACUUGCAAUAAAAAAAGAGGCUGCUCAGCCCAUAAAAAAUUUGAAGGAGUUGAUGAAAACCCGUGACAAACAAUACUCAUCUUCUUGCUUUUGGACCGACAAAAUGAUCAACCUUCUCUAAGCGAAGCUAGAAAGUUUUUAGAUGGAGGCUGAGGUGAAGAAGAAGAUGUACCUGGAUGCCAUUCAAGUAAAAAAAAAUGUUGGGCUGAUGAGUUUUUGAAUUUUUGGAUCUUAUACCUAAGUCAGCUUUUGAAUGAUUUAGAUUCAAGACCGACACAUGUGUUUUUCUAAGAAUCUCAGGGAGGACUUGUGUUACUUCUUUAUAUCGUGUUUAUAGCGUUGAAAAAAGGAAGAAACAAUCUGGCUUUGUUUGUAGCAUGUUGAGUUCUAAAAGUUCCCAACACCUUUUUUCCUCUCUAUUUCACUUUUAAUAUUGUUUUGAUUGGACUUAGAUUAUUGAAUCGAUUUAGAUGCUCCGAGUGUUUGUUUAUAUUUUGUAUUUGUUGGUAUAUUCAUAUGGCAGAUUUAGUGCUUAUUUGGGUUUAAUGAACAUUAAUUGUUCCCUUAAUCAGUAGUUUUAUUUUGUCUCCUGUGUUGUUCAUUUUAGGGGUUGGCUAAUGUGAUUUUGGACAUUGACGUACAAGAUCAUGAAAAGAAAAGCACACUUAGAGGAGGUACGUAUCCAUUUUCUUACAACUGGAAUAUGUUAGGAAAUUGGCUAAAAUUUUUUUAGAUAGGUUUCUUGUUUUGUGUGGAAGUAACUAGUUUUCUAAUUGAUUUUAGUUACUUGAAAUAGUAGCAAAGAAAUAUUCUAUUUAGUUUAGAAUUAGAAGUUAUUUUCUACAAGUGUAGGGAUUAGAAUUGGUUUCCUAUUGUUAUUUGAGUUUUGGCCAAAUAAUGUUCCAUAUAAAUAGGUGGAUUGAUAUACUACAAAGAUAUACACAAAGGCACACAACAGGGCAUCAUGUAACCUUAUACAUGGGGUAAGAGAUGGUUCUUGAGAGAUGAGAGAUGAUAUACAAGAGUUGGGCUUAGAUUCAAGUUGUAUUCUUGUAUAGGUUUUCUCUCAUAAUAAAGAAUGGGUUUCUCUCUGUGGACGUAAGCUCAAUGGUGGAACCGAAUCACGUUAAAUAUUAUGUGUCGUUUAUCUUUCAUGCUUGUGGCUUGUUUGCUCAUUAAAUUAUUGUGUACUUGACAUCUCAAUAGUUGUUUGUUCCGCGCUUGGAUCCUAACAGAAUAUACUGGACUGGAAUAUGUGUGGCUAUUACUGUUGUUAUAGUAUUAUGUGAAUAGAUCUGGCUAUGAUGUGAUACUAUGUGAAGGUGCUUCAGUCUACGAGGGUUGAAAAAUUCACCCCCGAGGUGGGUGAACAACUUGACACGGAAAAACGUUCCGUCGUUCAUCUUGUACCUGAUCUAAAGAAUCCUCCGGGCAUGAUAGUUCAAGUUCUUGAUGAGGGAUACAUUUGCAAUGGGUAGAUUCUUAGACGUGCAAAGGUAGGAGUCUCACGUGCUGUGGAGACCAGGGGAAGAAGCAAAAAUGCAUGAGUGAGAUUAUGAGAUAUGACUGCUAUAGUAUGUUUUAGACUCCACUUUAUAGUAUGUUCUACUUUUGAGACAUUUUGCAAGUUCGCAAAGUUGCAAAAACUAGUUUCAUUUCAUGGUUGAUGUACUUUAUCAAUGGUAAUUAGGUAAUGUGGAUAAUAUCUGCUUCCGUGAUUGCCAAGAAAAUCAAAUUUUGUGCUAUAUAAUCAACAAGCAAUCCCUAAUAUUUGCUUCCCUAGAUAAUGAUGCUACAAAAAAUGGGAUCUUGUGCUAUAUAAUUUGCAUGUUAUCGUUACUUCGUUCUUGAUUUCCUGCUUCACAAUGUGAUUGAUUAAAUGCGAUGAAGUAUCACAACAGCAAUUUUUUCUCCUUUUGUUUCUUUCAACUUGGUGACCUUCUUUCUUUUUAAUCUCAGACUCUUAUCUUUAGAUGUUUCUCUUCAUUUUUAACUUCUUUUAUUUUACUUCUGGUCCAAAUAUAGCAAUCUAGCUUCAAAGAUACUGCAGAAAAGAAACCCAAUUUUUUGCACUUAUUGUAAUGGACACUCUUUCUUUUUUCUUUUUUUUUUGUUCUUUUUAUUUCUUUUCACUCUUAGACUCUUUAUCUCCAGAUGUUUGCCUUUUUUUUUAAACUUCUUUUAUCUUACUUCUGGUCCAAAUAUGGCAAUCUAGGUUCAAAGAUAUUGCAGAAACCCAGUUUUAUUGCGGCUGCAGUGCACUUAUUUUAUUGGAGACCUCUUGCCCUUUUUUUUCCCCUUUUAGUCUCAGACUCUUAUCUCUAGAUUUCAAAGAAUCGAUAUUGCAAAAACCAUCUAAGAUUAGUCUUCAAUUUCUUCGAGCCAUGGCUAUAGAAUGGCACACCCUAAGGCUCAUGUCCAAGAUGGGCGGAGUCUAGACCUCAAUCUUUUUAGUGCGGAUCACGACACUGGGCCUAAGAGUACGAAUGUUGAAUGCGCCAAGUUGGGGUUUACCAAAGCCCGAUUCAGCAAGUCUAAUAACUCGAAUUUAUCCAAUAUGGAGUCUCUCUAUAGGCUAACAAAAAUUUAUGUCCGAAUUCAGAGUCUUUAUUUGACGGGAAAAAGUUUAUCAACUAAAAAUGAUCACUGUAUAAAAAGUUGAUCCUUGUAAUUUAUAAAUGAUCACUAUGUAAAAUAUUAAUCCUUAUACUUUAUACUUUAUAGUGAACAGCCUAUCAUGAAACUAGAACCAUGAUGAAAGAUGUACAAAGGUGAAGAAGAAUGUCAGAGAGAGUGAAGAAAAGGUUAUAAUACUUCAUACUUUUUAAGUUUUUCGUGAACACAUUUUUUAAUCAUGUUUUUACUUCACAGACAUCAAAUUACUAUAAUACAUUUUUCUACAAAAACUUCUAAAAAUAAUGAUCCAAACGGGUUGUGAGCUCUUUUAAGUUUUUGUAGCAACAAAUAUUUCCUCGUGAAUUAGGGGUAACAAGAAGAGUUGUUCCUCAGAGGUUAAUAACUUUGAUUGACUCAAAAAAAAAAAAAAAGAGUACUAUUUGUAUUACAAAAUGUAAAUAGUUGUGUUAAUGCCAAUUUUUUGUACGAAAAAGUUGUGUUUGUACAACUAGGCUAGUGGCACUAGCACUGAUCACUAGGCAGAAGAGCUCAACUUCCUAUCAAAAUCCCCUUAGACCAAACCAUUUCUAACCAUUUCUACCUAUUAAAUACAAUCCUUCAUACAUCUAAGACAACUUUUCACCAAAACUUCAUCUUUUUAUUAUCUUCUUGAAACGCAUAAAAAACAAUGCAAGUUGUUCUUCCCCAUUUUGGUAGCAUGGCUUAAAAGAUUUUUGGCAUAGCUAAAAAAUUUGGAAAGGAGGUGGUGUGAUGUCUAGUCCUAAUGCAAUAGGUUUUGUGCCAGCAGUGCUGUUUCUGUUCCAAUAGCUGUGAUACAAAUGGAACAAACAAGGAAUGCUGAUAAGUAGAAUGAGUUAAACCAUGAUAAAAGAUGCAUAGAGGUGAAGAAGGUCGUCAGAGAGAGCGAAAGAAAGGUUAUACUGAUAGUAAAAAAAGAGGCAGCAAAAAAUUUGAAGGAGAUGAUAAAAAUCCAUGACAAACAAUACUCAUCUUCUUGAUUUUGGACUGACAAAAGAGUCUCAAAUCCAAGCUAGAAAGUUUUCAAAAGAAAGCUGAUGUGAAGGAGAAGAUGUACUUGAAAAUUUUAGUUCAGUGGCCAUAAAAAAGGGACUAACUCCCUCUUUGGAUUGUAGAACCCACCUGCAGUGAAAAAUUUUUUAAAAAGGUGCUAAAGCACCUCUUUAGUCUAGCAUACUUAAUAGUCCUUUAUAUAGCCUCUUUAUGCUUCCCUCCUUGUAGAAUAAGAUAGAUUAAAUUAUAGGAAUAUUAUCAUUGCAGAAAAAAAAAAAAAAAAAAAAAAGGAAGGAGAAGAUGAACCUGGAUGCCAUUAAGCUAAAAAAAAUGUUGGGUCAAUGAGUUUUUGGAUUUUUGGAUCUUAUACCUACUUAGCUUUUGAGUGAUUUAGAUUCAAGCCUAACACGACAUGUUUUCCUUAGCAUCUCAAGGAGCACUUGUUUUAUUUCACAUCGUCUUUAUAACAACGAAAAAAAAGAAAGAAACAACUGGACUUUGUUAUUAAACUAUGUAGCAAUAUUCCUCAUCACCAAUUCCUUUCGUAUUAUUAAACCAUGUAGCUGAUAAGUCCAGAUACAAAAAGAUUAAAUUAACUCCUUCUACUAAAGCAGAAUUGUUAACUCUUCUUCCAGCCACGGCCAUAGAAUGGCACACUUUGCUAAUGUUGAAUUGGCCUAAAGCCCAUGUACAAGAUGGGCGGAGUCUAGACCAUAAUAUUUUUGGUGCGAAUCGUGAAACUAGGCCUAGGAGUACAAAUGUUGAAUGGGCCAAGUUGGGUUUACCAAAGCCCAAUUCAGCAUGUCUAAGAAUUUGAAUUUAUCAAAUAUGGAGUCUCUUUAUAGAGGUACAAAAAUCUAUAUUCGAAUUUAGAGUCUUUAUUCAACCGGUAAAAGUUCAUCAACUAAAAAUAAUUAUUGUAUAAAAAAUUGGAUUAAUUCCACUUUGUCCCCCCAAACUUUGGACGAUUACUCACUUCAAUCCCUACUCUUUAAAAUGGGACACUUAAGUUCCUAAACUUAUAAAUACCUCUCACUUAAGUCUCUAAACUUAUAAAAUGGGACACUUAAAUUCUUAAAUUCUUAUAAAAUGGGACACUUCGACCACCAAUGGCAUUUAGGAUUUGUUAACAAUUUUCCUUAAGUGUGAGAUAUUUAUAAGUUUAGAGACUUAAGUGUCCCAUUUUGAAGUUUAGGGACUGAAGUGGGUAAUUAUCCAAAGUUUGGGGGGACAAAGUGGUAUUAACCCUAAAAAAUUAAUCCUUUAUAAAUGAUCGCUAUAUAAAAGUUAAUCCUAAUACUUUAUGGUUUAUAGCAAAUAACCUGCCAUGAAACUAGAAUACAAGAUACAAAGCCUACUCAUAAGACUUUUUAUUACUUGUAGUCUUCAAGAACAAUUACUAAUAUUAUCAAUUAAUUUCUUUCCAUUAUUCAAUUCUUGAAUUGCUCUUAGACUUGCUCAAAUUUUGUGCAUUGGCAUAAAGGCUUUUGCUGAGGACCACUAGCGUGAAAUUGUGGAGCUUUAUAAGAAUGAAAUAAAUCAAGUAUGAGAUUUAUUGGUUGUUCCAUCUAUGAAAAACACACAUGACAGGCGACGUAUGAUGACAUUUAUCCCCACUACUUUGAAAAUAAAAGACCUCCUAGUCAUACUCUAGUCAAUUUCGUUUAUUUUCUGUCGAAUUUCAUUCUCUUAUAUUUCGAAUUGGUUUUUUGGUACCAAAACACAAUAAUUCUUCUGUUUCCUUGGGGUAGAGAGAGUACUGUAUAAAUAUUCUUUCAUGCAGAAUAAAUCAAUGCUUGUACGGACUAAGCUAAAGAGCAAGAUACAUACGAAAAAAUCAGUCAUAAUUAUACAAAGGUAAAUGUAUGUUAUUGGCAUCUCUUUUUUGUUAGUAAUACUAGGGGGAAAAGCCCACGCAACGCGUGGGAGUUUAGUGCCUAUAAUUAAAGAUAGUUAAUAAUUAUUAUUUGGCAUUUUCUAGUAUAAGAAUUGAAGUAUGAUAAUUUUAUUAUGUGAUAUUAAAUUAAAAAAAAUCAUAUGUUACAUUUUGAGUUAAAAAAAUAUAAUAUGCAAUAAAACAUAAUUAUAAGAUACGAUCAACUACUUUGCAUCUAACCUAAUAUAGUAAAAGACCUAUUUAUAUCUGCUCAUGCACUUUAGGAAUACUAAAAUUUGUUAUUUAGUUUGAAUUUGAUCUCGCUAUGAGGGCAAUCCACCACAUUAUCUUAUCAUAUAAACGAGAUUUGAACAAUUAGCAUACUUGAAGAAAUCAUUGCUAGUAGAAUUUCGGUUCUUGCAAGCCAAAUUCUUGAAUUUAUAUUGAUUCUAAGGACGCAUAUCACCACGAGGCCUUCACAUUGAGCAAGCAAUUAAUUAUAAUUUAUUGUAUGAUUUAGGACAUAUAGCAAAGCAUCUCCUUCUCGAUAGGGGUUACAAUCACGAAAUAUCAGUUUUGUGUUAGUUAUAAAGAUAUACAACAACUAACAUGCUAAUUUAAAGGAAUAAUUACGUCAAAAAAGUACUAAAGCAUCUUAAUCCACUCAAUUUAAGAAAAAUAAUUAAAAGUAAUAAGGUACAUGCUUUAGAUUUGUAGCCAAAUAACUUUAAGUAGAUAGUUAAACAUAUUGACAAAUCAGAUGAAGUGAAAAAUUGUCUAAAUGGCAUAGUUAAUAAAGUAGCAAACGAUUUAAAAAUUAUACCAACUAAUAGUUAAAACAACAAAAGAAGUAGAUGUAAUCUAUAAAUGGGAAAAUUUAUGAUGAUAAACUUAUUUUAAACCAUAAAUAACAAUUAACAAAUGUGGUCUCUUCCUUAUCAAACUUGUCUAACAUGGACAAUUGAAUUAAAAUACUAAAAAAUUAUUGCACAUACAACUUGCAAUAUUAUAGAUUUUUUACAACUAAAAAGUAAAUUGAUUAAGAAAACAUAUCUAUUGAAAAAGGUGUUGCAAAAUAGGGAAGAAGAGUAGCUAAUGUAACAACAUCUGAAUUAACAUCUAUGAUAACAGUCAAGAAACCAAACUUCUCUACUAAUUGACAUUAAUUGUGUCUUAACGUCUAUAUAUCAUAAUUUUGCAAAAUAACUGAUGAGAAAGACUUUAAGAAAUUAAAAGACUUAGAUGUUAAUAAAAUUAAAUGAUUAGAAGGGUUUUAAUGUAAUUUCACUAAAACACAAGCUGAAUUCAGUUGUACCCAAUGUUUGAUCGGAUAUCAAACAAUGUCACAUAUCAAACUUACCCCUAGUUUUAAAUGUUUAAAAGUGUAUCCAAGUAAUUACAACAAAACUAAAUUAGUUAUAAUGACUCAUAUUCAAUACUCUAAUUGCACUUCAAACACUCUCAAAUUUUCAAAAAAGCCCCACCCUUGCGGUUGAAAUUCAAGCCCUAAACUCAUUCUUAUAUAGUAUAAGGAAAUGACACACUAUUUUUUUUUCAUGUGCUUUGGCUCAAAAUACUUAAGAGAUGGAGCACCAUUAAUAUUAACGAUUCAAGUUUCAUUAACAAUGCUGUCACAUAAAUUUGAAACUGAUUAGUGGUCAAUUCUUGGCCCAUAUUUGUCCUUAAAACGUGAUUUAAUUUUGACCCUCCCCACUUCUGCUCCUUUCUUCCGAUUCCUCCUUAUGAACCCCUCACACUCCAAGUUAAGAAAAUAAUUGGGAAAAAAAAACUUCUAAUCUCAAUUCAAGGUCAUCACUCAAUGGUGUCGGGGUGCAAUAAAAGCAAGGGUCCCUUUUACCCUUUUCCUGUCUGUAGCAUGGCAGUUGAUGAUAUACGAUCCUUAUUCCUUGGUGUGCUUUAUUAGCCAGCAGCAUGCACACAAUUUGGACUUUUGAGAAAAGCCUUGACAACAAGGCAAAUAGAUUCUUCCCUUUUGCAUAUGCCCAACUCCACUUGGGACCAAACAAUUACUUGCUAAAUAUGACUUUGCUAGGACGGGUAGCUGGCUUGUUCAAGUGUGUUUGUAUUCUCCUGGCUUUUGAUCAUUUCCCCUCCCUAACUUGUCGAUUAAAUCUGAGAAAAAGAAUAAAAAUAAAAGAGUUGGUUAAUUGACAAAGCAACUCCGCCAAAAUACUAGCAGGUUGCAGUUCCCAUUUCCCAAUGAUUUUCCAAUUACUCAUUUAAUUACGUGUCAAGAAUUCCAAGGGAUUGAUGCUCAUUUCUCAAUUUGGCGUUCCGUCUCACUUUGGUUAUUUUUACAACAGAGUUCCGCGGUGCUGCGGCUCUGAUCAUGCUCCUCUACGUUACAGGUAAAAAGGAUGUGACUGCUUGGUUGAUUACAGCUUAGCUCAGAUGAGGCCUCAAUUGGUUGUAAUUACUAAUUAGUGGAAGACGGAUGUUGCAUGCAGGUUUCCUAGUCGACUCUCGAAUCAAUUAAAUAAUGAAUGUGAAAUUGCUUGCAUUGCAUACGUGCUACCUUUCCUGUCUUCCAGGAUGUUUUUGCCAGGCAUAUAUAAACCGAAAGCUAUUCAAAUUCAUCUGGGAAAUUAACAUGAUUAUGUCAUCAGUUCAUCUACCACAGCUAGGGGAUAUCUGGGAUUGAUUCGCCUCUAACCCAAAUUAUUAUGGCCUUAGACAAGCCUGUUUUCAUCAGCAGAAGCGCGAAUUUAGUUGACCAUAGCUCCUAAACAUGGAACAGAACUCUCAAUUAACGAAAAGCCCUUGAAAAGGAAUCUGAGUACUGGCAUCGAUCUUUUAUGGAGAAAAUGGAACAGACAAAAAAAUUACUUGUUUUUGUCAACUUAAUCAAUGUAUUAACUUUGCUUGUUACAAAAGGAUUCCCAGGGAGUGGAUAUCCUUCUUCACCCGUAAAGCUACUUUCCUCAGUUUGACCAUUUUGAGGUAAGAGGAAGUGACCCAUUAGCCGUGCAUGAAUGAUCUAUAUUCUAUACUGCGCUUCACUUUUUAUUUUUCUUUUUUCCCAGGGUCGGCUUUGGAUAUACAAAGCUAGCUGCAGACGCAACACCACCUAGCAAUGACCAUCCACAUUACGCUAAAAGCAAAUUCCCUUUGGCCUCUGGCUCAACAUUCAAGGGUCCAAACAAAUCACCCGCUCCAUUCCUGAGGACCCAGCCCCACCUACCUAUUAUCUUUCUCCCCUCUUUAGAAAUAUGAGAUUGACAUGUUAAAGCUGUUCAAGCAAGCAGCAAAACCAUCUCCAUCCCCCUUAAAAGAGAGAUUCUUUGCAUUGUCCCCCACAUUUCUAACUUUUAAAUAUUCCCUCUUCGUGCCAUGGAUUGAUUCUCCACAUAUAGGAACACUUACACCCUGUCCAUCUCAUACAACCCACUGCUUUUCGUUUCUUUCUUCUUCGGUGAUGGUUCCAGAAUUGGAGGUAUACCAGAAAAUCGCCAAGCCACACAUGCAAACAUACGAAUUAUAUUCUGGUUUAAUGUUCAGCGGUACAGAUUCUAGGCAUCUCAAUACUUUCUUCUUACUAGCUCUCUUCUUGUUUUUGGCGAAAUGCAGAAACCUCGAGUCACUGAGAUACAGGUCCGGAUGGACUGCAAUGGAUGCGUACAGAAGAUCAAGAAAGCUCUACUUGGUAUCAGUGGUAAGUGAUCUGCAUUAGUCUUUUAUCGUUUGUCUCUUCAAUCAUUUUUAAAAAUGGUUUACUGCAUUUUUGCAGGUGUAUAUGAGCUCUACAUUGACUUCCCUCAGCAAAAGAUAACUAUAAUUGGGUGUGCUGAUCCUGAGAAAAUAGUCAAAGCCAUAAAAAAGACAAGAAAGACUGCCAUCAUUUGUUCCCACACAGAACCACAAGCUCAGCCAUCAGACCCAGACAACCAAGGAGAGGCAGCACCCCAGGAGUCCGCCAACCCUCCCCAACAAGAGUCUGCUACCCCUCCUCCAUCAGAAGGGCCACCAACUGAAGAGGCAUCACCAGCAGAGGCACCACCAGCAGAGGCACCAAAAGAUCCACCGCCACCAGCAGAAAGUCCAAAACCAGAUGCUGCAGAGGCUCCAGCGAGCAAGCCAGUUCAAUCCUCAGGACCAAAAGAUGUUGAAGAGGUUCAUGUAAUUUACCACCAUCCACCAGACUUUGGCUAUAGAUACGGGUACAAUCCCAGCAUGAGUAGUCCAAAUAUGGGGCAAGGAUACAUUAGUGGGUACUGGCAUUCUUAUCCCACCGGUCCAGUAUUUAGGCCCGAGCCACUGGCACCUGUACCUGCACCCCCACCCCCACCCACUUAUGUAACUCACAGCUACAACACACACAGGGCAUCACCUUACGUCACUGGAUAUGAGUAUACAAGGCCUCCACCACAAUAUUCACAUUAUACAAGGCCAGAGAGCUAUCAACAACCACAGUACAGUGUGCACUAUAGCAGGCCGGCUGAGAGCUAUCCGCUGCCACCACAGUACACACAUUAUAGCAGGCCAGAGCGCUACAGGGAGGACUAUCAUUACGGUAACAAUGGAAAUGGAAAUAUUACUUCAGUUUUCAGUGAUGAAAAUCCAAAUGCAUGUAGAAUAGUCUAGAAGGCACAGCAACGUCUUCACGCAAAGCAGACGCAUUCUAUGAGAGAGACGUAACUCAUCAAUGGAGCACAAUUAGUCUAGAAAACUACGCACUGCUCAUAAUAAAACUUCUAAGAUGAGCGUAUGUGGGAAUAUUGAAGGAAAUCAGAUUCUUAGCUUGUAAGAGCAGGAAGAAUAUAUCCCAUAUUCCACUUUUGACAGACGUCUAAUGCAAAGAACCAGCAUUUAUUCCUGUGAAAUUAUCAAAUCUAUAUUGGUUUCCAUAUCCUUUAGUUUUGGGAUAAAUUUCUAUUUCAGUUAUUGUGCAAUCUAAAUAUUAUCUUGGCUUGAAAACCUGUCAAAAAGGAAGAAAUCAAGCUCAAAAGUCAUAUUAGGUUACAGCCCCUAGAUCACUGACGAACCGAACCAAACAUGAAGUAUGAAACCAUCGUAAUUGAUCAGCACUAAAACUGAUUUUCUAUCCUUUAAACGGCAAAUCGUGAAAGUUAACAAUUUCUGCGUAGCGCAUGACAAUCAUACACGAGAGAGAAAAAGCACAGAAAUAGUACCUAAGUCCUAAGAAACCUUCCAGCAGUAGAUUCUAGCUUUGAAAACAACUCAAACACUCCAAAGCCAUUAUGUUAGGCUCUCUUUUUACUGAUUUACUAAUUUAUUGUCUUAAUUACUAAUUUGCAAUUGAUUAUUUAAAAAAGUUAAAUAAUCAAUUGCAAUAGCUAUUUUCAUUUAUUUUUUGAUGAAACACCAUGCUCAUUAUUUACAGACGAAUUCUCCUCCCUGCAUUUAGAAAAGCUGCUACAUAUCUAAAACUUUUCAUUUAGCUUAAACAAGAAAAGAAAAUCAACAAAGAUCCACACAAGAAAGACAAUUAGCAAAGGCAUACAUUAAAAAUAAGUGCAAUAUACCAAAACUUGCAUUUCAGAAGUUAAACAAAUUAAACAUAUAUAUCAUCAUGGGGCAUCUAGAAAUAAGACCAAUAAAAAAGAACUAACUCAACUACAAACCCUUUAUCGUGAAUUUACAAAUUCAUUGUCAAAAAAAAAAAGAAGGGAAAAAAGAGAAUAUUUUGCCUCAUCAGCGAAAUAGCUGUAUAGUUGGACAAAAUUGUCAGGCUGUAGCAUGGGUACACAAAAUCGGUCCAAACCGUGCAAUACCUCCAUAAAGAUCUGCACACUUGCCAAAAGAUGCUCAGAAGUCAAAACAUAUGUAACCUAGCAGAGAAGGGCAGGACCUUGGAAAUUGUGAACUUCAAGGAAGAUGUUAUGAAUAAGCUGUUAAAACUCAAAUUAGAUGCCACCAAGACUGCAAAUCAGCAUCAUAGGACCAGAACUCGAGAAAUUGGCUUGGAGAGCCUCACAGAGGCAGAUAAAUAAUUGAAAGUCCUGCGAGAUUUAACAUAUCAGAGUAUCAGUUCCUAGCUUUAAAGAGGUAGAUAAGCUGGCAAAACAGUUUCUUAGUGAACCUAGAACUCGUCUAUCUAUCAUAACUAUGCCAAUCAUAAACAUGUUAAUGCACUAUCAGUUGUACCAAUGUGCACAAGAGUAACAAAGCAUUUGUCAACCAAUAAUAGACCAUUUCAACUACCAUAGAAAAGGAUUUCCAUUCCCAGAUGCAGCACCAUAGAUUAAUCAAUGCAACAUCAUUAAAGCAUGACAUGUUCAGGAUAGAACACCUCCAUUCCCAAUUCAUUUAGUACUGUAACAUACUAAACUUGGUAGUGCUAAACCAUAGCUUGAUAACCUUACCUCUACUUUUGAAAGACACUUAUUCAUCACUAUCACUAUCUAUUUGGGAAUCUUCAUCUACACCAUAAAGAACUUCAUCUACAUUGUCAUCUUCACUUUCAUCCAAUUCCUCAUCAUGUAUUAAAGUAGGUUCAUUGCUUUUGGUAGCCUUGUCAAUCUGUUAGAAAGUGUUAAGGAAAAUUGAAAAACAAUUUACACAUAUAAUAGAAAGAAAACUAGUUUAAGGAACUUUUGAAGCACAAAACCUGUGCCAUCACAAGCUGAAAACGGCCAGAUAAUUGCAAUAAUGACGGGAUGGCUGUUUCUUUGGAUUUGCACAGCUGAAAUUAAAAAAGGCCUAAGAGUUACAUAUUAGAAACAAUUAAAUCAUAAAAAUGUAUGCAUAUCACGAUACCAAGCAUUUAGAUUGAUCCCAGGUGCUACAAAAUGCAUAUGAUUCACGCAUGAGCAUAUAAUCAUUCACUGCUAAUGUUCACUCGAGACUCCAUGUGAAAACCAAUCAAAUUUCAACUUCCCAAAAAACCAAAAAAGACUUAAGGGUUAAAUUCGCCGAAGUGUAAAUGAAACAAGAAAAAUUUCCAUCACUUAAGGCACAACUUUUGCAGGCAGAGAACAAUUAGACAAUCAAACUCAUCAGCACUAGCGUUUCUUAUCAUUGUGUUAACUAAUCAUUGAUCCAAAGAUGUAUUAUUACAGCUAAUAUGCGCAAAGAUACCAUUAAUAUCCAUGUGCAUUGCCUGGAAGACUUAUCUGCGAAUGGCCCAUCAUUCUGUCGCACAAUGCUACCAAAACACAUGCAUAUUGCCCAGCAGCACAAUUUCAUGGAACAACAAAGUUGUCUCCAAGGAGAAGGAAGAACUACUAAUAAUCAAUGAAGAUAAUUAAUUAAGUAGCUGAAGAUAGCUUGAAGAUAGAUAAAAGAUAAUCAAGGAUAUCGGAGACUCGAAGUGUGCCUGUGAGGUUACUAGAUUCUCUUCAGAAUCCACAUUCCAAUGCAUAGUGCAUACAACAUCCAGAAAGCAAAAUUUACAAGCCUUCAAUUAUCAAAAUGACCUAUUCUUCUCUAGAAUAAUCAUUCGUUGCACUUGGUUUUUCAGUUAAAAAAAAAAACCACUUCUUCAGCCUAGGAUGCUCAACAAUGAUGUAGAGCAUGAGAGGUAAAAAAAAAUUAACAGAACUACAUAUAGAUGGAUUCUUUCAGCGACUGCAUCAUAUUUAACCAAAAUCAAUCAUAAAAGAGGGGAAAAUCCAAAAGAAUGCCCUGUAGGUGAAAAAACUAAAUAAAGAAACAUUUAUCCAACCUUGUACAAAGACUCAAGAAGUUGAGUCUUUGGCUCCUGAGAUACCACGUACUUAAUGUGACUCAACAAUAUACAGUGUAUCCAUGGAAGCACGUAUCUUCCAAAGCAUGAUCUGUUUGAAGAAAAAUCAACACUAAUUAAAUGUAAAUCAUAUGAUAUGAUACUAACCAGUGACGAAGACACAUUAUCACAUUUCAAAGAGUCAUGCUCCAUGCCAAAUCACAGUUUUCUUUUUAAUAAAACUGAUAACUUGCACCGCGGUGAGAGUUCCAUAUCAUUAGACUAAUAGCAUAUUGUGAAUUGACAGUAGUACCACAUUUAUUCUCACAAAAAUCAUUUAAAACUGGACAUUAAGGAAAAAGAAGCUGACCUGGAUUGCCAUGCAGCCACCAAGACCUUGAGCAAGUCGUAUGCUUCACUAGCUCCAAGAGAUACAACGUUUGCUUUCAUCUGGGGUAUUUCUUCUGUCAUCAGCAAGCCAUUUAUUUGCAAAAAGCAACAUGGAAAACAAAAGGAGUUACUUCUCUUCCUCCACAGAGGACAAACAUACCUUCCUUGGGGGUGUGCUCGCUGCAAGAUUUAUGUCCUUUAAGAUGCCAGAAUCGCUCAUGGAGCUAGAUGUGAGGCCAUCUCUAUCGUUAACGAUCCCUAAGGAUCUCAGUCGAUCUUCCAUGGAGAAUGUAGCUUGGUCAACAUUCAAUUUACACACAGCAUCUGCAAAACCCCACAAUAAUGUUUAAGGGCCAAAACAUGCCAUCCUAUCUUUGCAACCCAGCAACCAAGUGAGGGAAAAAAGACAUGAUAUCAAAACUUGAGCUAAAAAUUCCAGAUAUCAACCAGUUUAACUGGACUGCUAUUAGAAUAAUUCAGUACUAAUUAUAAUGUUAAGAAAGAAACGCUGGGUAACAUAUGGAGAAUAUUCCUUACUAAAGGUCUAAAGAAAGAAAGCAAAAGUUGUUGCAUGAAGUCAAUUGCAGACCAUGAAUGUUAUGGACAAUUAAAUUUUCAGUACUUGAAGCCAUGCACCCAAAUAAAAAAAAACAGACACGAGAGAGAACCCAACACAGUAGAGAGAAUAUAUAGUCCUUUAGUGAUUGAUUAUUAAAAGCCAAGCAAGCAGAAGAGGUCUGCUCCCCUCCCCAGACACCUAGAUAGAAGUUAAAAGACAGAAUCCAUAUACAUCAAUUCUCAAGUAGAAUCGAUCAACAUACCUCUACUCACCACAGGCUUAACUCUGUCAUUCUUAUCAACCAGGUUAAAUAUCUUAGGCAUUGGAAGUAAGGCAUCUUCAGCACUUGCACGAUCCAAAGCAGUAACUGUUUACCAUCAGAAGAAUGAUAAUCAAUGCAAAGGAAACAUCUAUAGAUUCUAUACAUGUAGAUAUCUGCAAAUAACAAAGAAGUUAGUAUAAAUGAUAUACUGGAGAAUCCAUGCUUGCCUCAUAUUCUCUCAAAAUAAUGACAAAUUGAGUCUAUAAUUAUUUCAACAAAUCAUGAGGUCACUGGGUAAAAUGAUAAUCUUGGGAGCUAAUUACUCAUUUCAACCAACUUAAUGAUCUUUAUGCCCAUCCAAACAACAAAAUAAUUCUAUUACCAAUCAGAUAAUGAGAUGUAAUAAUUGUUAAUAAUCAAAACUGAUGAUAAACCAAUUGGGCCAGUCAUGCAGAACAGUCAAAGAAAUAGCCAAUAAUGCCAAAAGUAUUCAGCUAAGCAUCAUAUUUUACAUGUACACAAAUUGUGUUUGAAUCAGUGGCAAUAUAUUGAAUGUUUUGAUGCAUUUUGAAUUCUGAGGCAUGAAAAAGUAAUCAUGUAUGGUGGCAACUGAAUGUGUAGGAAGCACCCACACAGAAGACGACACCCAAAAAAAAUAAAAAAUGAAGCAUCCAAUGCAAUAUAAGUUGCACGAACCAUGCAGUCAACCAAGUCAUCUAGCAAUUUCAUAAAAAAUCAGAUUAUCAAUCGAUAGCUCAUGAAUGCAAAACAGAUUCACAGACCAUUCAUUUAGCAGAUUCUGAUUUAAUUAGACAUGAAGUAAAAACAUAAUUUGACAUUUCGUGACAUUUAGGGAUGUUUAUAGUCAUAGUAAUCUCAAACAACUGAAUCUAGCUUCGGAUCACGGUCAAUAAAAGCAAAUAAUGAAAAUCCAAGAUGCUCACAGCAAUUUUCUGCACCUAUAUAGAGAAUAACCACCCUUACUUUGAUUGUGAUUGUCAGUUGCUUUCUUAGAUUUGUGUGAUUGACUGAUUGGUAGAAGAAAUCCAUCAAGUGAACUGCUUAACUUUACGUCUGUCCCAGGUUGCACCAAAAUUUUUUCAAACAAAGGCUUCACUAACGAACCAUAUGCGAUAAAAACAUGACCAAAGCCAGGUUUGGCAACACUUUGUAGCUUUGCAGCAAACAUAUUAGGCAGUGCUCCCUUGUGCUUCUUUGGUAAUGUGUCAUCAUAAGACAUGAUGAUUUUUGUGGGCUUCAAAUUAUGCAAUUCCUUUACACUAUUCCCAUACCAGAAGUAGCAUACACCCAUUUCUGAAAUGGCCAAAAUACACAGGCCUGCAUCAUCUGAAUCGCUAGUAGCAAUGGUCCUGCAUUCCAAAAAGACAGCAGGAUGGUCCAUUGAGAGAAAACAGCAUGCUGCUUUCUUUUUACCCCCGUCUAUCCUCCAAAUUGCAACAUAUCGUUCACCCACAGCAGAAGAAAGGACAUAUUUUCCAUCAUCAGAAAAGACCAUACAGCGGACAGCCCCCUGUUAAGAAGCAAUAAGAGAAUACUGUGUAUUAACUGACACAAUACCAUACAAAUGCACAAACUAUUUCCUAUAAAUAAAACGAAAGAAUAAAGAAAAUUUCAGAAAAAGUAAGUUGCAUAACAACUCACAGGAUGGCCUGAAAAUUUCUGUAGCUUUCUGUGAUCUGAAGAACUAAAAAUCUUCAACUGUGCUGCAGCAGUAGCUAAUAUCUUCCCAUCUGAAUCAUUGAACAAAAAGUCGAAAACAGUGAUUAGCUCAAAGAAACAAAUUCAAAACGCAAAACUCACAUUUGCAACAUUCCUAUAGACACUUGAGCUAAUGAAAGGGAAACACAGAUUAUUGAAUUCAUGAAAACAGGAAUCAACCAAGCCAAGUAUGACAAGAUCGUCUGGAACUUCUAAAAAAAAUUCAUUCAGGGUAAACCAUCCAAUCAACUAUAAUGGCUAUAAUACUACUUGUGCUCCUCAGAGGGACAUUUUUGAGGAUUGGAGCCCAUCGUAAACACACCCUAAAAUCAUUUUCACAUUUUUUGACAUUCUCUUAAUGUUGCUAAUUUAGUGAAAUCCUUAGAAAUAAGCUGAAGAAAAUCCAUAGAGUGGACAUAGAAGCUGUGCAGAAAACCCAUUACACCAAUGAACUAACUACAAAUAAGGCCUUCAUUACACGACUUGCCAUUGAAUAUACUUAAAUAAAGUUGCUUCACUACCUUCUUCGUUACCUUCAUUUAGUAAACUAAAUGUAACUUGGUACUUUCUCACUAGAAAACUUGUUUCCAGACAAGAAUUACUUUUGACAAACAGGAGAUGUUACAGCAAGAAAUUGCAAAAAUAUCACCCCCAAGUUUAGCGAGAGAGAUCAUUAUAGGAAGCUUAAACUGCUAUUUGACGAUCAAUCAAAAUAACCAAUCAUCCUUAUGAAGACACUAGAUGUUUUCAUAACACCAAACUUAAUCUAAAUUGCUUUAAAGAAGACCUUAUGUUGGAUUCUCAACCAAAAAGAAGCACCUUUAGGAAUCCUACCAAAGCGCGCACAGCUGAAAUCAUCUCCAGGAUUUAGACUUAUAUGACAUCAAUGAAAGUAUAUUAUACCAUUGUUUGAAUUUGGAUCCAAAACAAUGAAUUUUUGACAUUAUAACUUGCUUGAAAGGACUAGAUCUAACACUACCAGUAAAACUAUCCUAAAUUCUCCAGAUCCAUCAACUUAAGCAGGAUUUUCACGAGGCAAAGGAAAUAUCUGCAUUACUUAUUGAAAUCAUAUAAGCAUUCAAACCUGAUGACAUAGAGAUUGAUGAUAUUGACUUUGUAGAAGCUCUGAACUUGUUUGAUAAAUUUCCUGACAUGGAGUCAAGUUCACAAACCAUUCCAUCAGCACCAGCAGUGCAAAUGCAUGAACCAUGUGGCGCGAAUGAAAUUGCACUGACUCCUCUGCACAUAUAUAAUUCAAAAGAGAAGCUUAGAAUACUUAAUCAUGCAAUCUAUCUUAUGUAGUCUAUCUUAUGUAGUUCACUUAUUUUGUACAGUUUUGAAUCAUAAUAAUUAGAAUAAAGAUGAAACUAGAUAUAAUAAAUAAGAGAAACUUGCUUCUGGUUUACUUAUGUUAUUCCAAGAAAUCAGCGAAAUCCUACAUGCAUUAAUUGGACUUGAAGGCAAGAUACAUUAUUUUGCACUAGAUUCCUGACCGUGAAAGUCUACAAACAAUCGUUUCAUUUACAUAUCCAUAAUCUAUUUGAGGCCAAGCAAUAACUGAAUAAUCAAUCAGUUAUAAACAGAACACCAUAAAAACUCUGGACAAUUUUACGUAGAAAUAGUCUCCAAUUGAAAGUAAGUACAUCAACAGAAAGCCUCAUGCAAAAAAUGAAAUAAGAAGGCAAGAUAAAACAAAUACAUCAGAAAAAUCACACAAUAGAAAGAUUCCAGCAACUUACCCAGGAUGACAAUCAUUGACUCUCCAUUUUAACUGGCCGGCAGCUACAUCUAAUGCCAAUACAUCACCACUGCCUGUUCCUAGCACCAAUAACGAAGUACCAAGUUUCCUUUUCUUCUGAAAACAAGAUGAAGAAACAGACAAACAUGUAGCAAUUCACCAAAUUUGCGCAUUGAAAUUAUACAAUCAAAACAAACUACAUCUUCAAUUGUUUGACAGAAAAUUUACCUUCUUGUCCAAGGACAACCACGCCAUACACUUAUAGUCCACAGAAAGGUGACCACCACUUUCUGGCUUACUAAAAAACUCAUUUCUUGUUUCACUUGAGAUGAUAUCUGCAAACUCAGUUUGCACCUGACCCUUCACUGUGUCCCAUAUCUAAUAGCAAGCACAAAAAGAAACCUCACGAAUCACCAUUAAUCCCAAUGGAAAACAUAAGUUAAUACACUGUUACAAUUGGUAAAACUACAUCAUUCAGACUCUUUUGUCUCCUAUGACUUUCAGCACCAAGUGUUAGUUUGGGGAGCUACAGUCAAUCAAGUUUUUUCAGGAUGGAGCAGUUAGAAUAUCAAGCGUGAUACAAGCUGGAAAAUGAGCUAUAGCAAUUGGCAAAAUACUGUCUAAGCACUCCACCAAAAAUUGUUUUAACGUAUUAAUUCAUCCCUAUAUAAGCAGCAUCUCCAGUUUUUAAAGUACAUUACAUACUGUGUCUCAAAUUGGCAAUGGCAGUGAAAACCAUCUACAAGCAAGGAUGCACCAACAUAUGAAUAAUGACAAGGCUGCAGGACCAUGUUUGAGGGACAAAUUUUAAGCUAAAACUUUGCUAAUGUUGUUUUCCUAAUUAAAUUCUACUUACAACCUGAGAAAAAUAUUCUUCCAGCUUCCAAGAAUGACACUUUAUGUUAGUUUCAGCUAGAAUAAAGUGAAGAGCAAAUAGACAUAAAAAGGAAAGGAAAGUAAAAAAGGACAAAGAGGCAAAGAUAAGCCAAAGGGUACCUUAAUUCGCCCAUCACCAGUAGUAAUAGCAAAGAAGUCCAAAGAAGGACUAAAUGAAGUCAAUAUAUCUCUUAUAUUGGAUGACUCCAUGUCCAAAAAUUUCACCUAAAAAAAGAAACAAAAAUUGAAGUAGGACAAUCAAGUCAGGAAAGGAACGUAAUUGAAAGAUAUCAUCCUUACCUUUAGCAUUAAAAAUAAUUCUCAACACAAAAAAGACAACAAAACAAAUACUAUCGAAUCGAACAGAUCCAAUAAAACCUAAAACCGAGCAAUCAUCUAAGAUCAGCAGCAGCAGGAUUCAUUCCGAACAAAAAUUUAACCACGGAAACCUGAUCAAUUUAUGCUAGCAUCAGGCAGACAUGAACAAUUGAAUACAACUAAGAAAACAACACACUACUGAUUUAACAAAAUUAACUCAAUGGUCAGAAGAAAAAAAAACUUAAAAAAAUCCAAACUUAAUCGCAACGGGUCUAGAAAAAACCUUAUCAAAACCGAACUUAAAUCCCACCCAACAGAUCUAGAAAACCCUAGCCAGUUAGGACUGCAAGCUAUCGUCCAACCAACGGGAAAUCACAUGGAAUCAGAAAAGAAAAACAAUUGCACAAAAAAAGUAGAGCACCUUCUAGAUCCGACUAGGACUGCAAACGAGCCGAGUCGAGUCGAGUUUUGGACUUAUCAAGCCGAGGUCGAUUUAAAAAUAGGUGAGCUCGAGUUCGAGCUUGAACUCAACGAGCCUAUAGAAUUGAGCUCGAGCUCGGCUCGACUAAAAAAGCUAGGCUCGAGCUCAACUUGAUAAGGCUCACAAGUUGAAGCUUGAAUUCUGGCUCGCAAGCAGCUCGAAUUGUGAGCUCGAAUAAUAGGUUGCAGCACAAUAAUGACAUUUCAGAUACAUAUUGGGGAUGAAAUCGCCCUUGACUUUUUGAUAGUAAUUAAAAACAAAUAUUUAUAACAUGAGAAGUUCAGAACUUGAAUGGAAUGUUUAUCAUGCAAUUCAGUCAUUAUGAUUUUUCAGAUUGCAACAAAAUCAAGCAAAGGAACUACAAUAAAACAAGAAAAUUUUGUCCUUUAUUAAUUAGAGCUCUUUAACGAGCUGACGCCUACAAUUUUGUUAAAUACGCCUACAAACCUUGCAUAAGAUUAGCCACAAUAAAUCAGCCUAAUAAAUCAGCCUAAAUCAGCCUAAGAUUAGACACAACAAAUUUGUUAAAUACGGUUAGCACUAAUAAAUCAGCCUUGCAUAAGAUUAGACACAAACAGCAGAAAUCUGGUUUUGGAUUAUUUUGCCUCAAACAUUUUUCUCUAAAAUAAAUAAAUGGGAAGUGAAACGGACUUACAAUGUGGCAAAGAAGAAAAGGAUUCUUCUGGGUCAAUAGUCCAAGUCUCCAAGAGGAAGAAUGUCGGACCGCCGAUGCUGCUUAGCUGCUACUACUUCUAAUGUAAAGGAAGCUGACAAACGGGAGAAAGGUUAGGGGCUUAGGGCUAUGAAGUGUGGGCUGGCGGUGGCGGUGGCGGUGGCUGUGGUUUGUGUGAGAAAUUGUGAAGGAAAGACGGAAAGAGAGACACGGAACUUAGGGGUUUAGGGCUAUGAAGUGUGGGCUGGCGGUGGCGGUGGCGGUGGCUAGGGUUUGUGUGAGAAAUUGUGAAGGAAAGAUGGAAAGAGAGAUACGGGAGGAAGCAAUUAGAAAUGGAACGCAACCUCUGGAAAUGAAUCGUUUGAUGAAUUCUAACUUAGUAAUUAGUUAUAAAAAUAGGGGCAUUUUUUUAAUUUCACAAGACUAGUCAAGCGGCUCGACGAGCUAACAAACUUAAGUUAAAAUAGCUCGAGUUCGACUCGCUUUAUAAAUGAGUCGCUUGAGUUCAAGUUUGAUCGAAUUCGAGUUGAACUUUGACUCGCGAGUGACUCAGUUCAUUUGCAAUUCUACAUUAGACUGAAAAAAAAAAACACGUAGGAAAUCCAGCAUAAUCUAUUUGAGAGAGAAAAAUGAAGGAAAUCUUCUUCUCGUCGAACAAAGUUCAACAACCGAAAAUGAGCAAAGGCGGAUGAUGAUAAAGCGGCGGCUACAAGGAAGACGGAGAAUGAUAGAAGCAAUCCCGUUUGAAUUGCUAUUUUUUUGAAGUUUUUGUGAAAAGAAAAUACUAGAAAUUUUCUGGUUGUGCCAAUGCCCAAUUUGUUGUGUAAAAAAUAUUGAAAAUUUCCCUAUAACUCUUAUUUUUUAAUUUAAUAGAGUAUGAAAGAUCUUAAUUGGUCAUGUUGAGAAACCAUGUCCAUGUGGAAACUAUUAUAGCAGUAGGGUAAUUAAAGCAAUGUCCAUGUCCACGUGCAAAACCAGAGAAACUAAUAUAACAAGGAAACUGCAAAAUAAUUGAAAAUUGAGGUAUGUUAAAAGUCUUUGUCCCCUUAAAUUAGGAUCCGUCCAUUGAACAAUCCCCUCUCAAUGAACCAAAGUAUGGAACUCAAAAGUGCUUAUCUGUGCUAAGAAUUAAUCAGUGCAUGACCAAUUCCUAAAAUCAAAAUUUAAGCAAAAACCAAAUUAUAUCAAACAAAUCAUGAUUUGAGUGCAGAUUCUAUUUGUUGAGCCCCAAAACAUGUGGAAAAUUAGAACCAAGACAGCAAAAGUCAGGGAAAUACUCUUUAACUGGUCAUUAGUUCUAACAAUGAUAGUCACUAAUAUGAUAAUGCAAUAAAAGUAAAAAACAAUCGAUGAAAUUAAUGUUUCUAGGUCUACCAAAGUAUUGUUUCCAAUGGAAUUUAAAGACAGUUCGAGUCAUUGCAAGACAUUAAAGGAUCAUUCAACAUAUAAACACAAAAGCAAAAGUAAAAUCAUUUUUGUUUAGGACCAAAUGGUAAGCUAAAUAACAUCUCUCAAAUCAUCUAAUACUUCGGCUUCAAAUCCUCUGUCCCCAAAAUAGUCUAUGUUCCCUGUGUUCCUUAUUUGUACAACUGCCACGUGUCCCUAGUCUUUUGUUAACCCAAACUCAAAUAAAUUGAUAAUAAUCGGUUUACAAGUUUUGUUAACCCAAACUCAAACAAACUGAUAAUUCAAAACUUUUUUUUAUUUUCUUUUUAACAAAAAAGAGUCUUGUUAAUCAUAAUCUUUAACAAACAAGUUUAGCUCUUUCUAAUUUUUUUACAUCUCAUAAUUAUGUAAAUGCGAUGAUUUAAAAUUAAUUACUCAAUAGUUUUGAGUUAUCUGUAAAAUCAACCUUUGAGUAAAUCUGUCAAUCGACUGUUAUCGAUUUGUUUGAGUUUGGAUUAACAAAAUUUGUAAACCAAUUAUUAUCGAUUUUAUUUGAGUUUGGGUUAACAAAAAACUAGGGACACGUGGCAGCUGUAUAAAUAAGGGACAUGGGGAAUCGAGACUAUUUUGGGAACAGAGGAUUUGAAGCCACUCACCAAAUGUUUAUUUGCCUUCUUGAGCUUGCAUUAAGGUGGAGAAAUAAUUUUUAAGGAGAAAUGACCAAUUCAAACAAACUUAUCGGACCCAAAACAUCUAAAGCCAUAUCUUUUUUUUUUUUGUCACUCGUCAUCAUCUAAAUCUACACCUACUCUUAAUUCUAAUCUAGCCUAUACUAGAGGAGGAACCCAACAGGGUCACGAAAAAUCGACAGGGACUAAACCACCGUCUAAAGUAGGGCUGCAAAUGAGCCGAACCGAGUCGAGUUUUGACCUAAUCGAGUCGAGUCUCUACUAAAUUUUACCAAGUUCGAGCUCGACGAGCUGACAAUUUUCGAGCUCGAGCUCGACUCGAAUCAAGUCGAGCCGAACUCGAGAUCGAGCUCGAAAAAAUAAAAAAUAAUUAUUUUAUUUUUUAAAAAAUAAAUAAAAUAAUAUUUUUUUGAAUAAAUAAUAAAAUAUUAAGGAUAUAUACGUAAUUUCACUAUAAAAAUAAAAAAUAUAUAUAAUAUACGUAAUUUUAUUAUUAAAUAAAAAAAAAUAUAUAUAUAUAUAUAUAUAUAUACUCAAGCUCGCGAGCCUAACGAGUUUAAUAUUUUGAGCUCAAGUUUUACUCGAGUCGGUUCGAGCUCGACUCGAGCUUGACUCGCGAGCGGCUCGAUUCGUUUUUAGCCAUAGUCUAAAGCCAUAUCAAUAUGGUAUUUAGCAACACAAAAAGACCAUUUACAAGUGCUCUUCAAUGAGCAAUCAUGUAUCAAGCGCUCUUUGGAAGUUUCCUAGGGGUCACGUUCACCGAUGCUCUCUUGAUAACCUCAAUUCCAAAUAGACAGACAUCCUAAUCGAAAACAACACAGAGAAUAGAUUAAGAAUAUGAAUCAAAAGCAUGAAGACAUUGGAUAAAUGCCACAUUGAAUUUUAUACAGACGACAAGGCUAAAAAUUUACCUUUAUAUAUACUGAUUUUUUCUCUUUUUAAAGUUGCAGACCAUAGGGCCUAGGACUUUAGAAAAUGAACCAGUUGACGGUCCCGAUUGUCAACUCACUCCUUGCAAAAAGUUGAGCAAUAACUGUAUUAAUAUGUACUCAACUUUAGUGAUAAACAUAUUUUAAAUCCACAUCAUCACUUUGAAAUGGUGCAAAAACAUGUUAAUUAGUACUUUAUUUUAAGUUUUAAAUCACAUGCUUAUUAUACCAAAAACGAAGAAAAUUUGUAAACCUUUAAGCAUAAGUUAUACUAUGACAUAGUAUAGUGCCAUUAAUCUGUCAUUACUUGUAAAUAACUUUUUACCAACAACGAAAAAGGAAAAUGCUGCAAUCAUUUUUAAUUAGAGAUCUUUAAGAAAUUUGAGAGCUGACAACAAUCAUAAACACUAGCAAGUAAUACCUUUUUUAAAUAUUAAAUAUUUUAUGAUGUGAUGUAUGUGAAAUAAAAAGGUGAUUGGAAAGAUAAAAGGGUGUGUUAGAAAUUGUGUUGUCAUACAUGCAAAUAAUUUUUGGCCAAAUAUUUGAUACACUUUUUCUUUUCUUCUUUUUUUUAGUUUCUUUUAUUACAUGAAAAAGGUAACAAAAGUUAAAAACAAAUUAACUUGUUUUAAUUUGUCUUUCAUAAACAUUCAGAGAAAAAGCAAACAAAACAACUUUCAAUGAUUUGCUAUAAAAAUCAUUUAAGCAACACAGAUUGCACCGGUGGGUUGGGCUGUGGUGACAAUAACAACGAAAUAUUUGCAUCGAAGAUGUUGGCCCAAGCCUAUAUCUAAGCCCAACUUAUUGCCAGGAAAAUCAAUUCAACUAUAAACCCUCUCUCGCAAAAACCCCAUCGUGCGGAAAGCUUCGACCUGAGACUGCACAAUCACACAGAGCUUCAGAAAUGGCAGCGAAGCCCCUAAAAAGCAACGAUUCAAAGAAGAGAAAGAGAAUUGCUGGACCCAAAGGAGAGGAAAGAAAAUCCAAUCCCAAGAGAUUGAAAUCACCUUCUACCAAUAAUUCUCAGUCGGGGUCCAAGAAACCAUUCAAAGCAUCCAAACGACCACCAUCUAAGCAGCAUGGAGCUAAGCCUCCGACACAGAAGCACGUACCAGAUACCAAAAAACAACGUCGUUUGCUAGCAAAGGUUUUUUUCUUUUUUCCUUUUUGGGGCACCCUUUUUGGUUUUUUGUCGUCCUUUGUUUUGUGGACUUUGCUAGCUGAUAGAAGGUGGUCUUUGGUGGAGGUAGAAAUUAAUCCAAUUUUUGGCUGUUGAUGAUUCAAAAUUUUUUUUUGGGUUUCAUAUUCAAGUUGGGAUUUCGAAGAAGUAAAUAAUCAAUUCUAUUGAAAAAGCCUUUAAACUUUUUUCUUGGGUAUUGUAUAUUUUGGUUAGGUAAAACUUGCAUUUUUAGUUCAAUCUUUUUUGGGUGCACGGACUUGAUGCAGGAAUUGGCUGAAGCAAGAAAGAAGAAGAGGAAGAAACACUAUACUCUGGAACAAGUAUGUUUUGUUGCUACUACUUUAGCUCAGUAAUCAUUGUUGACAUUUUAAUGAAAGGAUUCUUUGAUUCUUGGUAUUGAACAUGACUUGGGGAACUAUCAAGUACCCUGGAAUGCUCAGUGCCUUAGUAUUAUUUGAUAUCAAAUCUUCUGAUUUGGAAAAUUCGAUUGCUUUGGCAAACCAAUACUAGGCUUGGGUAAUGGCCAGUUCCUCAGGACCAGGUGGGAUAAAGCAUUGGCUGCAUAGGGAAAAGAAACUUACCAUCUUCAAUUCAGCUGUAACAUCAACAAUACACCCUAGCCACAAGCAAGAAAUUAAACUCUUGAGUGCAGUGGAAAUUGGGAAUAUUCAUUGUUAUUAUAUCUUUGGCUCUCUCUCUUCAUUUGUCUAUAUCAUCUUCGCUCUUCCAUUCUAAACUGACGCACAUAGUUUGUCUGUGAGGGUGUACAUUUUGAGGUGUUGAUUCAUUCUCUGAGUAGAAUGUUUCUUGGGUUUUUGCUUCUCUAGACUUUCAAUAUUCUGUUUUCGUUAUCCCAAAAAAUUUAUGAUUUAGCAUAUGCCUUUGGAUUCAAAGCUUUAAGUACAUGUAAUACAUACUUUUAAGCUAGAAACCUAGUCAUGGCUGAGUUUUAUCUGACAAUGCAACCAGACAGUAGCUGUCAAAUAUAGGAGUCCUGACAUCUAAGCAAUACUUGAAAUUCUUUCUUUGACAGGAGCUUUCAAUCCUGUGGGAGAAGAUGCGACGUCGAGAUAUUGCGAAAGAAGAUAGAUCCAAGUGUGUUAAUUUUACGAAAUUAGAAAAUUAAUUUGCUAUUUUGCUUUUGUCCAUUUUCCUUUAGAAACCCUUCUUCAUCCGUCAGGUAGUGGAAAAAAAGUCUUUACUUCUGUCAUUUUCAGCAGUCAAUAAUAAUGGUUAUCUUUUGCUUGCAUCCCUCUACACAUGCACAUAAAGAUUGGCAAGCGAAGCUCUAGGAAAAAUGAAGGGCAAGAUUCCUGAGAUCGCCAGUUCUCACGUUUCAUCUCGAGUUCUUCAGGUAACAAGCUGUUUAUGCUUCUCCUUUUUUCGGAGUUUAAACAUUCCGGAUUAUUGUGUGUUACAGCAUAAAUUGGUUUUGUCUCUUGACUAGACAUGUGUUAAGCACUGUUCACAAGAAGAAAAGAGUGCAGUGUUUAUGGAACUUCAGCCGCAUUUUAUUAGCCUAGCCACAAACACUUAUGCUGUUCAUCUGGUGACAAAGAUGUUAGAUAAUGGUAAGAUUAAGUUGCAUUUAUCCUAUUGCUUCUAACAAGAUGAUUCUUUAUGUUUGUGGUGGAUGAUUCAUAUAUCUUACGUUCUUUUGCAUAUUUUAUUAAGAAUUGCUUUAUGCUUGAUGUUUCAACCUUCAAAAUCAUGAAGUGCAUCAAAGCUUCUUUUUCCUUUUUUCUUACUCUGCUUUUUAUUUGGUUGUAGCAUCCAAAGACCAGCUGUCAGAGUUUAUUUCCUCACUGUACGGGCAUGUUGCGCCUCUGCUUCGACACAUGGUGGGCUCACUUGGUAGGAUCCAAUUCUUUUUUGGCACAUACAAUUGAUAUAUUGACUAGUUAAAACCAGUGAAAAUUUUGAAAUUGCAAUGGUAAUAUAAUUUAAUGUGAUUUUGGAGAUAAUUUGUGUGGUUCUACAUAAUCAGAAGGCUAAGAGGUGUUUGUCAUGCUUUUAAACAUGAUAUUUGAAGUGCAGCUUGCUGUGGUCCUUAGCUGAAUUUCAGAUGCAUGCCAGAUUUGAUUUUUUUUUUAUGCAAUAAAUGUUGAGGAUGAAGCAUUGACAUAUCUCCCUCAACUUGACAUGUAACAAUGGCAUUGAAGUAUUGAAAAUUCUGAUGUUCUGCUGCUUUAUUUUUUGCAGUUAUUGAACAUGCCUAUAAUGUGGGAAAUGCAAGUCAGAAACAAACUCUACUUAUGGAACUAUACUCUCCCGAACUGCAGUUAUUCAAAGAUCUUGUCUCUAUGAAGGAAACCAGGUAAAUAUUUUUGGCUUAGUAAUUCUAGCGAUUCAUGUUAUAAAUCCAUACAAAAAUACAUAGAUACUGAUAUGUUCCUUUUUUUAAUAUGAGCUGUUAUUCUUCUGAAAGUUUAUGAGAGAUGUUCUUUUAAGAGCUAAACUUUUCUAAGAUAGUGUGUGAAUAGUUUUCUUUUUCUUUUGUUAUGUAAGGAUAGGGAUUAAAUUCAAAAUUUUCAGUAAAGGAGUCAAGUUAAUUGCAUUGGAUGUUGUGAUUCUCCACGGUUUGUCCUGUCUUCUGGGGUUGCAAAAAUACCAGUUUUGCUCUUUUCUAAUUGAUUAUCUUGUUCUAAGAAUAGAUUUAAUGAGGCUAUUAAAUUAUAUAAUUGCUCCCAAAUUUGAAAAGAAUUUUAGUUCUAAUAGAGGCUUGUUUACUUUGAUGCCUUUCCUGUCAGAUUAGUUGAUGUAAUUUCCAAGCUACAGUUGCAAAGGUCUUCUGUUGUACGUCACAUGAGCUCAGUGCUUCAACCAAUUUUGGAGAAAGGAAUAUUAGACCACUCCAUUAUACACAGAACACUAAUGGAGUAUCUGACCAUUGCAGAUCAGGUAGUAUUUCCUACGUGAAUUGCUCUGUUGCUAGGUGACCUUGACUUUAAGAUUAACAACGGUUGUGUCUAUUUGUGAUCCUACAUAUCUAAAUCAAGAAUUUUAAAGUCAUCUGCUGCAGAUGUAAUUCAGCAGUUAUCAGGUCCACUUCUUGUUCGGAUGAUACACACUAGGGAUGGUUCCCGGGUUGGCAUACUAUGCAUCAAACAUGGAAGUGCAAAGGUUUGUUGAAAAAGUUUUGUUUUUGUUCAUCUUCUGUGGAAAACUCAAAAGUUCCCUGCUCUUUUUGUAUAGUCAUCUGUUGUUGAUCAAUCUACUUUUCGUUUUUGUUUUCUUUGAUGGUGUGUUUUAGGAGAGGAAGAAAAUCAUUAAAGGAAUGAAAGGUCAGUGUGACAAGAUUGCUCGUGACAGAUUUGGGAGUAUGGUGAGUAUGAUUUUAUUAUUGACUUGUCUUUCUUUUGUAGCUAUUUGCAUUUUUUGAGUUCAAGAACUCAGAAUCUCCUGGUUAUUUGUUUUUUGGUUUUCUGCAUUCAUUUUACACCAUAAUAGAUAGCAAGAAAUUUUAAUUGUCGAACACACAUUUCAUUAAUAGGCCAUUUGGUUGUGAACUUUACUGACUUCUCAGUGCAUUUACCCUACUUUCGUAUUGGAUAGUUGGAAGUAUAACGUGCUAAUACAAAUUUCAGGUUCUUGUCUCCAUUCUUUCAACAGUUGAUGACACGAAACUCUUAUCAAAGGUUGGUUCCAUAGCUAUUGGUUUCUAGCAACUAAGUUUUUUAUUAAGCAGUGAUGUUAGGUGGCAUCUUAGAAGUGCAUCCUGCAUUACAGAUCAUCAUUCGUGAGCUGGAGGGCAUUCUGAAGGAACUUGUUCUAGAUCAGGUUUGUAAUUUAAAGGACUUGUUAAACUUGUUAUAAUCUUCUGGUGCCCUCACUUCUCAGGCAGUUAAAAUCUAGCCCAAAUUUAGUUGAGUGUCAGCUUUCUUUCAUGUGUAAUAGAAGUAAAGGUUCAAUUACAAGAAAAUUGUCUCUAGAGGCAUUUGCAACUUGAGUAAUGACCUUCUGCAACAGUUUCAAUAAAGUUCUUCAUUAUUCUGGGUUUCUCUUGAUGCCAGAAUGAGUUGAUCUGCAAAACAGUUCAAGUAGUCUUAAUUGUCAUGUCUAUGCCCUAUUAGUUAUCUUCCCUAGUAAUUGAAAAAGUGAAUGGCUUUUUCUAAGACUUGGUGUCAAGCAUAAUCCAGUGACCUUGAAAUUUGAUUUAGAAGUCCUGAAUUUGUAGUAAAGGUCUUCUGUCUCAGCUUGAAUUGGAAAGAGCUAGCUGUCUUAGAACUAGAAUAUCAAUGUGCCUAGCAUGGCAACCACCACGUAUACUGAGUUGCUGCAAGACCCUAGUUAAAGUAAAAAGGAUUGCUUUGCCCUUAUUGAGAUGUGGAACAUUGUGGCUUAUUUGCUGUUAAUGAACAUUUGUUCAUUCCAGAUGUGAUUUGUGCACUCUCUUCUUGGCUGGAUUCCUGGUUAACCAAAGAUGUGAUUCUUCAACCCCUCCCUUUGUGUAAUUUCUUAUGCUUAGGCCUGCCUUUCUUUGGUCUAAAGUUGAGUUUUUUGAAACUUUAUUUCUUCCCUGCAUCAAUACCAGCAUUAAAUUAUUUCACAUUUUGGAUGAACAGUGUUGAUAAUGCUUUAGCUCAGACUACUUUCACCAGAUGCAUAAAUGUUUCUUCGUUCAUGGACUUUUAGAGAUCUGUAAAUCUUGAAUCCAACAGGUUUAUGUGAAAUAGCAUAUAUAUAACCUAAACAUACUUUUUGUUGUUUCAGAAUGGAAGGCGUUCGCUUCUGCAGUUACUUCAUCCAAAUUGUUCUCGCUAUUUAAGCCCAGAUGAUCUCAUGUCCUUAAGUUUGUCUAUCCCCUCUUUCAACACCAAGGUAACUAGCUUGAUCUUUUUGCUAGUUGAGAACUUUGCAACAUAUAAAUGCAUUAGUUGAACCUAGUGGAUGUAUUUUGGCUCUGUUUAUAUGAUAUUAUGGUAGCUCAUAAACAAGUUCUUUCUUGUCUCAGCAGAAAGAGUCUUCUGAGGUUAAUGAAGCAAGUGAUGAGGAGAAGAGAGACAAUGGUGAGAUCUUAGUUGAGGCAAAUACAGGUAAAAGUGCUGGGAAGAAUUCAGAUGUAAAUGAGGUUGCGAAGAAGGAUCCUUUAACACGAAGGAGAGAGUUGUUGAUCAAUAGCGGGCUUGCUGAGGUUUGUGUUUUUCUGUACUUUUAUCUAUGUUUUGAUCCCGUAGAUUUGUUUUUUUUUACUAUUAUUGGCCAAGGAUGAGGCAAACCUUGGGGCACUAGCAAGGCUGCUCCAAUUUUUUUCUUGGAGCUGACUGGGAAGAAGCAGAGAAUCUGUUUGCAAAUGCAAGGCUACAUUCUCCUAGCCUUCUUGAAACACUUUUGUGGCAAGAGGCUUCUGCACUAGGUUUACCAUUGAUAUAUAUGCAUUACAGUGGGCUUUGAAACUGAGCUGGCAUGACACUUCAUGAUUCUGCUGAUAUUCUAUAUUCUUAGCCUAUAUUUUUGUACUUCCCUCUUAAGAUUGUAUAGCCUUUAUGUGAUUUACCAAAUUCAGACUGUUUGAUUGUCUCACCGUAGACGCUUUGAUUCCUACCUUAUUUUUACUGAUGUUCCUUUUUCUUUAUUUCUUUCUUCUUUGUUUUUGGGGUUGCAGAAACUCAUUGAUGUAUGCAGUGAGAUGGCAGAAAAUUUGCUAAGGUCAAAAUUUGGCAAGGAAGUCAUCUAUGAGGUAGGUUUAUUGGUUUUAAUUGGAUCCACACUUAGUUGCAUGUUCCAGUUCAGUGGUGGGACCGAGAUUCUAUGUUUGGGGAGGUACCAUUCAGAAAUGACUAGAAAUAAAUUAUAGCGUUUCAGGGGAUAUUGCCAAUUAUCUAAUGACUUUUGAACUCACCAUUUUAGAAUUUUGUUGAAUUAAGGAACUUUAAAUUUAUAGGAAAGAUGUAAAUUCUGUUGUCCUCUUACGGCAGCGGAUAAGGUUCUUGUCCCUAAUCUGUGAAUUUACUACAGAAAUGUAACAUUUCUUAACGAGUCUAAGCAUACCCAGCCUACCAUGGAGAAUAAACUGUAUAACCUAGUUUCUUGAAUUUGUUUCGAGAUGUUCAUGAAUCACAGUUAUGGAAUAUAUAGGAACUUACUAACAAGUUUAGUUUAGCUGUGCUUCAGUGGAUUAAAACCUGCACAGUGGAAGACAGAAAAUCACUGAGAGGUGACUAAAGGUAUUGCAAAGCAGGCACAUAAAUCCUAAUGUAAAUCCUCCUUGAUUGUGAAAUCAGACAAGAAAGAAAGCUAUAAACAAUUGGCUUUAAUUGGUCGCCGCAUGGGUUGACACUAAGUUGUGAUGCAACAAAAAGAACACUUUUGUGAUCAUACCACUCUUUUGUGUUUCAUGCUUCAACCAAGCGUGAGUUUAACUAUUGAAUGUUAAAAAGGGAAAAACAUCUGACAGUCACUCAGGGAAGAAAGAGAUAAUUAAUCCUCCUUCCAAGUUUAAGAGAAUACGAUCACUGGUCACUGAUCUUUGCCUUGUUAGGUAACUGGUAUGUCAGGUUUUUUGUAUGAGGAGCACAGUUACACUAGUAGUUCUUUUAUUUUUCUCAAUUGCUUUUACUAAAGAAGUAAGUUAAUCAUCUUAAAUGAGGUGUUCAUGAAUUAGAUUACACUAAAUCUCAGAUGAGUGUGUGGUUAGAAAGAAGAGUGGUUUUAGGUGAAAGUUGCAACUUCCAACGUAGAGAUAGAGAGAGAGGUUAAGAAAAAAUUACAUGACAAUUCUAGUUAUAGAUGUUGCAGUUUAGUAUGUUUAUUGGUCCUUAGGAACCAUUGUGCUCUACAAUGUAAUUUGGUCCAUUGUUUUUCUAAGUCCUAGGUGAUAUACUUAAGUCUAUUACAUUACUCUUUGGAGUUAUCUAGAUAGAUGUACCUAAAUUGUUUCCAUCCACAUUUUUAACUAGCUCAAAACGUGAGGCAGACCUGUCACUCGUUUUUCCUUUUUUUUUUUUCUUUUUCCUCCAAAAGUUUUGGGAUUAUAGUUAUUGUUUUUUGCAGUGAUUUUAAAAUAAUUUUUGCAUUUAUCAAGCUGUUGCUUUUCUUUGACUUGGCUUUAUAAUUGUUUCUUUCCUUAGCUGUAGUCUGUCAGCUUAACUUUUUGUGGAUGAUUUCAUGUAACAUUUUUACUUUCACAUGAUUUGCAAAUGUCUAUACAUAGGUUGUAACUGGGGGUGCUGAUGGUGUUCUUCACCCUGCUUUGGAUGAAAAGUUGGAAAAAUUGUAUGAAGUAAUAGCAACUCUUGUAGCAGAACCUAAAUCAGAGGGAGCAGAAGACGACCAUCUCCUUGAAGAUUUUCAUUCUAGCAGGACCAUUAGAAAGCUUAUUCUAGAUUGCCCUAUCUUUGCUUCCAAGUUGUGGGAGAAAGCUCUUAAAGGCAAAUGUGCAAUAUGGGCUCAGGGUCACAGGUUCAAUUUACUACUUUAGAGCUUAGCUUUUCUGUCCAUGUGAGAACAAAUAAACAAUGCUGAUGAUCCUGUUCUUUUUUGUGUAGUUGUAAGGUGAUUACUGCAUACCUAGAGGCCUCGGACCUUGCCUUGCGUGAAGCAGCAAAGAAAGAGCUGCAACCCUUAAUUGAUAGUGGCGUUCUUACAUUACCUGCAGUUAAUGAGUCUGCCAAAGCCGAUCAGGACUUCCAUUAAGGAGCAAGAUUGGGAUAUUGUCCAAGCGAACUAAGCAUUAUUGCACUCAUCCAGCCAUUCAAUGUCUUCCAACAUUUGCAUCUGUUGCUCCAGUUGCAUAAGAUUGGUGAACACUAAAGUUUUGUACUCAAGGUGUAAAAGUAAAUAUUUAACUUAGGAACCCUUUAAUCUGUUAGAAGGAUAUUGUAAAAUCACUUGGUGCUUAUGAAUCUUGCUGAUAAUGAAUUUUUUUCUUUUACAAGGGUUGUUCACAAGUAACAAAUCCAAAACCAAAUUCAAGACAAGUUUUCUGUAUUGGCUGUAAUUCUUUGAAUGGCUCGAAGUUUGUAGGUUUGGCUAAAGUUGGUACGGCAAGUUUUCCAUUCUGAUCUGCAUUCUUCUGAUUAUGGUUUCGUGCGCAAUAUGUGAAGCCCAUAGUUUCUGGAAAUAGAACGCUCUAGUUUCUUGUUAUUGCUAGUGGUGCGGUGAGGAUAGCCUUGGGAAAGGUAAUCUGCAGGAUUGAAGGUGGGUAGUUCCUUCCUGGAUGAGUCUGAUACCCUUGAUGCUGCAUUGGCCUUCAGACAAUUCUCUAUAAUGGUAGCCUCUUCCAUAAAUCUGGCCCGUAGGUCCUUCAUCCUUUGCAAGGCAUGAUUAGAUCUAGUCCUCUCUGAAGUGGGUAUUCUCUUCGGUUUUGUGUUGCUUGGGAUGGGGGAAUCGUCUGAAAUAUUGCUGCACUUGAAACAGAAGUUCCUAUGCCUCUCCAGAUUGAAAGCUGUUCUCCUGGCGUCGUCUGAUAGACAUGCAUAUGCCUGUGAUGAACGGGGUAGCACAAAUAAUUUAAAAGAGAAAUGACAAUUCAAAAAGCUGAAGGCACCCCAACUCCCCGCCCACCCCAGCAGAAGGGCGAUGUUUUUGGCUUGAAGGUUUGCUAUAUGGUUACCUUACCUACGCGACAUUAUCUAAGACAGCGGUAUGUAAGGACGGAUUAAAAUCUAUCCAACAUCUACAGACGCAUGUCGUCAUUUCGCAUUAAAGCUUUGGCAAAUCACUUCUAGAUUCUAGUGCUGUUAUCUGAUAUGAACGGGUACGCUCUAAGAAAUCUGAACCGAAGCUUCAAGUCGAAACAAAGAAGAAAGAAGAAAAGAUGUCCAAUUCAAAAUGCAAUUCCCGUAGUCAUCUAUAUGAAAUUGAAAAGAAUAAACAGGAGGACGUAAGUUUACCUCGGAGACAAGCUUGAAGGCUGUAUCGGCCUUGGGAUGCUUGUUUUUAUCAGGAUGAAGCUGCAAAGCUGCACGGAGUGGAAAUGCUCACAGCAUUAAGCCAGCUGCCAUCGCAGAGUAAAACCUAGACGGGGAAGAAGAUUGGCGAAUUUGAACUAUACUUGUUCAACUUACCAAGUCUAAGGUAAUGCUUCCUGAUGAUAUCGGGCCCUGCAUUCUCAUCCACCUGUAAGCCAUCGUUGGUUCAAAAACAGCUUGAGAAAACACUUGCAACGGAAAAGAUGGAAUGAAACAUACUUUGAGGACCAGAUACCAAUCAACGAAAGGCGGAUUAGUAGAACGGAAAUGAUGCUGAUGAGCGCAGGUGACAGCACGGUCUGAUAUGUUGCAUAUUUCUGUUACCAAAUGGGAUUUGAUAUCUGAAUCAGUUCUUGCUCUUCCCAUUGAUGCAAAAGAUGAAUCCGGUGAUAACUGACCUGGAAACUGAAGAGUAAAACAACAAUGAGAAAUGUAAGAGUGCUUAUUCAGAGUUCUAUGUACGUAAUUUACUAGCAUUUAAGGAGAUAACUAAUAGGGUGGAGCGGUUAAGGAAAAAAGGGCUUGUUUUGCGGGGCACAAUUUGGUUUUGAAAGUGGAUCAGUACUCACUACUCAGUAGGUAGCUAUAAAGGUGAAUUUGUGGAGAGGUUAAUGUCUUUCACACAAAUUUUCUUGGUGGACUACCUAAGCAGUCAUUUGAGUCAAUCAGCAAGAAAGCUCACACAGUAUAAGAAUCAAAUAUUGCCCUACAAUAAAGGGUAUGUCUUCUUCUUUCUUCCUUCUUUUUUUUUUUGUUCAAAAAAUUUUUUUUUUCGUAAGACUCAAUUCUCAGCGCCAUUUCCCUUAAUUGCAGUCCUCCUUCAUUGUACGUUGUAUCCAUCAUAGGUCUGUACACAAUGAGUAGAGAUCCUGUGACUUGACUUCCAUGGUCAUCAGUUACUACUACACGUUUGCAAGUACAUGAACAUAUAAUCCUAUUGUUAAAAGAGCCACAAAGGAUUGAGUCCUCCUCCUUACUUAUUGUUUAACAUUACAAAAUAUGUGGUUUUUAAGCAUCUUUGUUCUCGAAAACAUGUUUGACAGAGCUCUAGAAUCGGGGAGUUCAAGAUUGAGCGCAUCUCAUGUUUUCAACAUCUCCAGAAUACAAAAUAAAGUGAACUUGGUAAGUGCACUGAAUUCGAUAUAAAGAACCAAAAGGAAAAAAGAAAUAAUAUGUAGUAUUUGUUUUCUUAAAAGAAGAGCUGAUAUACAUAUAAAUAUUUUCUUUGGUGUGUACCUCGAAAAUAAGGGAACAGAAAAUUGGAACCGGGUCAUAAGAUUGACUAGAGCACCGUGACCUAUUCAAAUAAACAGAGCCGAGAUGAUGGAAGAAGUUAAAAGUUAAAAUCUCAAUAGGCUACCAACUAAGAAUUGGUUAGUAUUAUAUAAAUCUAGCAGUAGCUCCUGCUGUACAGGAGGAUUCUCUUGCGAUGCUGCAGUGAGAGCAUAAUCAUCAUACGAUGAAUGUUUCACCAGUAUUAUAUUUUCAAGUUGCAUUAAAGAUAAUUAAUCGCAUUUAAUUCCUCACGAGCUAGGCCAAUACAGGGAUCCUUUAAUCAAACGUGAUGUUGCAUGUGACCCGCAUGCAAAUGUACAGUUCCAACCUCUCCGGUUGGGGACAUUCAUGGAAUGCUGUUAAGACAGGAAGCUUGGUGGUGCUGGUUCUGUACAUUGUUGUGUGUUGUCCGCCCUUUUCUGGGCAGAUUGCGAAGAACGUCCCAAAAAUUUUGAAUUGCAUUCAAUGUAAGAUUUUUUUUGGUUAAAAGGAAAAGUGAAAAAGAAAAUCCCUCGAUUAGAUACAUUACCCAGUGGUGUAAGAUAGUGAAGAACUACUAGUAUUUGUUUAGAUAGAAAAUCCAGUUUCAAAGUUUUGGUGACAGCAGACGGCUGAACUUACCUAAUCUUGAUAUCACACUGUAAUAGCUUAGUGUAUUAAAACAGAGACACGAGAUUUUUUUUAUUAUUAUUUUUUUAAAGAUGGCUGUAGCAACUAAUUAAAAGGAUUAUUUCUUAUUGGGCUUGAUUCUAUGGUCAACGCCAUGCUCAUUGUAAGUAGCGUUGGUAAAAUUUUUGCAGGCCCAAGUUCUUGGCUUCCUGUCGUCUAGCUGGGUUUCUGCCCAAAUUUUUUAUUGCCUCAUCCAUAAUGAAGACAUCAAAAGAAUUGUCCAGAUAACUUCUCAGAGGUAACGCGCGCACACACACACAUAUAUAUAUAUAUAGGUUACAAAUUCUUGCUUGCAGUUUUGAAAAGGUACCAUCAUAAUAUAACAAGUACAACACCCGGGAACUUCUGAUUCACAGUCACAGGCAAUCUAAUAACCGAUAAAUAAUGGUUGUACGGCCAUAAUUCCACCACAUCAGCAACAAAAUCAACUCCCUUUGCAAAGUGCAUUCCCGCUUAAGCUUGAUUACCUGCUGGUAAUGGUAUAUAGUUUUGGGCAUUCCCUCGUAUGCAUUGCUUUGGACUGACUAUGAUGGGAUAUUUUGGGGAGCGAAUUCUUUGAUGCUGGCUGCCCAAGAACACUCUUUUGCAGUUGGGGGCUACCCACCCCGUCCCUGGCCCCAAAAAAACUUGAAGCCCAGCGGAUACAUUUAUAUUGUUAUUGCUGGUUGGUUGUCCACGUCGGCCCAAAAAAUGCAUAACUUAAACCCCCGACAGAUACAAUCACCCAGCACUCCUAAAUGGUUUAGCAAGCUCGCGAGGCCUCGAUGUGUAGGAGUCCUCUUUUGUUUUGGUUUUUUAUCUUUUUCUGGAAUCAGUUGUAAGAGACAUGGGAGACGUUAAAUUGACAGCAAACACAAGAGUAGGACCGUUCUCUCCAAGAGGAGGAUGAGGAUGUCAUUGCCAUUUGCCAGCUCAACCCUCUCAGCCCGAAAUACAAACAAGUUGCUGGCAAUAAGCAUUAAUGAGCGUCCACAGAUCAAAAACAGGGGAAAGGAACCCAGAAAUUCACACAGAUGAUUAUGUUAAAAAUAAAAAGGAGGUCUUUAAAGCCACAACCAACCAACCAACAUACAUAUCUAUGCCAACAAAACCACCACUUUCACUACUAGUAUCAGAAUGUCAAUCUCAGUUCAUCGCCCCAUUAGCAACCUAGACAAACAGCUAAUCCCUUUUCCCUUUGCUAGUCCCAUCGUACAGGCCCUCCAACCUGGACCGUUUAUCUCGCCCAGACCACUUCUCAUAAGCCAUGAAUCCAAGUUUGACCGUGACAUAGGCACAACCAAUGCUCGCUAUGAAUAGAGUUUCAUUCCCUGCAGUCACAAACUAACCAAGAUUAGAAACAUUUCCACGGGAGGAUCAUAAACCCCACACCCCCCGGCACCAAAAUCCAAAAAAAAAAAAUUAAAAAAAAGCUCUUGUUGAUAUUCUGUAUAUUAUUAUAUUAUUAUUCUGUAUGACAGGAAGGUAACUCACUGAUGAUCAGCAUUGCAGUAGGACCUGAAACCAAAAAAACAUUAUUCUGUAUAAUGUUUUCGAGAACGUAAAAUGGUAGACAAAAUUUAUCGCCCAAACGAAUAAAAAUAACAGUCAGUAAAAAAAAUCUAAACUUAAUCGCAACGGAUCUAGAAAAAACUUUAUCAAAACCGCACUUACAUCCCAACCAACAGAUCUAGAAAACCCUAGCCAGAUAGCAUUGCAAGCUAUUGUCCAAACAACGGGAAAUCACAUUGAAUCAGAAAAGAAAAGCAAAAGCACAAAAAAAAAAAUAGAGCACCUUCUAGAUCCGACUCAAAAAAAUAAAAAAUAAAAAGAAAACACGUAGGAAACUGAUCAUAAUCUAUUUGACCAAGAUCGAGGAAGGAAAUCUUCUUCUUACCGGAGAAAUCUCAGCAACUGAAAUUGGGUAAAGGCCGGUUGGGGAUAGAGCAGCGGCUAUAGGGAUAAUGCAGAAUGAUAGAGACGAAGGAAAGAAUGUAACCCUUUUCCCGUCUCUGUCGUAUUUUUUAUUAUAUUAUUAUUUUUUUAAUAUAAAUAUUAUUUUUUAUUUUUUUUAUUUUUUAAAAAUUUAAUAAUUAUUAAUUAAAUAAUACAAAAAAUUUAACAAAUUCAAAAAAUUAAAAUUCAUAAAAAAAAAUGAGAUUUUUUUAUGAAUUUUCUCAUAUGAAUGCCUGGUAGAAACAUUUUUCUUUUGACUGUUGGGUUUAGUCAGCCCGACAGCUACGGGAAUUUUUUUUUUAAAAAAAAUUCUGCUAGGUUAUUAGCCUUAAAGCCUGCAAUUUUUUUAAAAAAAAAAAACUUGAAAACUAAGCCCGAUAGCCUUUUUGGUUAAUUUUUUUUAUGCUCAAGCAUAAGAAAAAUGUCUAAGUAGAUUUGCUAAAUCAAAUAUUUUUAUUUUAUGUUCAACCUUAAGAGAAGUUUUUAGAUUAAAAAAAACCACAUCUCACUCAAUUUACAAGAAAAUGCAUUCCCCAAAUCUUAAUGUGCAACAGUAAAUAAAUAUUUAAAAAUCUUUGAAAUAUAAUCAUUGAAAUUAUUUUGUAUAAGAUUUGGUUUUAUAUUUUUAUAAAAUAUAUAGAAAAUUGACAAUUACAUAAAUAAUAUAUACAAAUAAAUUAUUAUUUGGUAGUGGGUAGUAAUAAGAAUAGAGGCAGAAGUAAAUAUAUGACAGUGGUUAGUUACACAUAAAAAGUAAUUAUUAAUCUAAACUAUAGUUAGACCAAUAUAACAUUGUUGUGCAAUAUAAAAACAGAACAAACAAAAAAUAGAAAAGAACAAAGAUUGAAUAACAUGAAAUGGUGAGAUGGUGAAGUUUAAAAAUUAAAACGUUAACCAUUCAAAUGAUAAAAAUUUAAAAUAACUCUAAAUAGCAUAUUCAAAUGGUGAACUUUAAAACCAUGUACAGGAAAUGAUAAUAUCAACAACCAUUGCGCCUUUAUCAACUCAGCUUCAUACAACACCAAGUGAUAAAGGUAAGGGCAACAAGCGCAAUGGCCAAUACGUUUCAACAAUCUGUAACUAUAGAAUAGAAUUUUGUGGACUCCACAUAUAAUGUAAAAAAUCAUGUAUAAGAUGAAAUUUGAACCUUACAUUUUUUUUUUUUUUGCCAAAUAUUGACCAUGAACCUCCAGGAACGGUCCUGCCACUCCUCCAGUAUUUAGUUAUGAAUCCAAUGAUGGUAGUAUGCCAACUAGAUUGAUGCAUAGUUUAGGACCAAAAUUUUGAUGUAAAGUAGUUACCUAUCAAUUUUGAUCGCAUUCACAUAGUAAUCUGUAUUUGAUAGAAUCAAUGAGUAUGUCCAAAUUUCAAUAGUUAAUGAUUUAAGCAUACGCAUGCUAUUAGCAAAUCAUAAGAGAAACUUAUCUUAAUAACUAGAGAGUUUUAUAUUAUGCAAAAUUCUCAACCUGGAAAAUUACAAUAUAUGGAUAAACAAAUGAAAAAUUGGGUCUUUCCCCAAACUAAUUGCUACAAUUAUUAUGCAAGGCCAUAUAGGACAUAUCAAUAUACAACUUUAUGUUUUGAGUAAGGAAUUUCUUCAAGGCAAUUAUCACGCAAAGAAUUUUCUUUUGACAAAUUUUAUGCCUUUCACACCUAACACCAUCAAGUCUUGAAACCUCCUAAGGGAAUGAUAAAUUUCAAAUCCUUAACAUAUUAUUAUACUACAUAAACUUCCUAUGUCAACUACAAUAUCAAUUGCUUAACAAAAUAAAAGUAAGAUGGUUAUCGACAAUAAGAGUGACAUUAUAGCACUUAAGUAAUUAAAAAACAAAUAGAAAUUGAAUAUAUACAAAAUCUUACUGGAUCCUUCAAUUGAAUUUAAUACACGAUUCGGGUUCGUUUGGAUCUCUUGUUUUUGGGGCUGUUUUUGAAAAACUGUUUUUCACAUUCCAAAUGCUACAGUAAAUGUGUAUUUCCAAAACAACUCCAAAAACACCAUAUCCAAACAUUAUAUAAAAAACAACUACAUAUGUAUAUUUUAAUUGUGUAUAUUAUAUAUAUAUAUACUAUAUUAAUAUAAAUUGAAAUAUACAAAUUGAAAAUUAUAUAUAUUAUAUUAUAUAAAUAUUUAUAUACAUUAAUAUUAUACAUAAUAUUGUAUAUUAUACAUAACAUAAUAUACAUAAUAUGUAAUAUUGUAUACAUAAAUGUGUAAAUAUUUAUACAUAAUAUUAUGUACAUUAUAUUAUAAUAUAUACAUUAUUAAUGUAUAAUAUUAUUAUGUACAUUAUUGUGUAUAAUAAUGUUAUAUAUAAUAUAUAAUAUACAUAAUAUGUAAUAAUGUAUAUUAUGUAUAAUAUUAUAUUAUAAUUUAUACAUUUAUAUAAUUUAUAAAUUAUGUAUAUUAUACAAAUUGAAAAUUAUAUAUUAUAUAUUAUAUAAAUAUUUAUAUAAUGAAAUAUACAAUAAAUAUUACAAAUUGAAAUAUUAUAUAAACACCAUAUUUAUAAUAGUAUAAUAUUUAUAAUUAAUAUUAAUGUAUAUUAUAUAUAUUAAAUAUCUAUAUAUUUAUUUAUACAUAUUACAAAUAUUUUAUUUUAUUUAAAAAAUAUUUUUAUACAUUUAUAAUAUAUUUAUAUGAAUAUUAUAUAUUAUAUAAAUUAUAUAUAAUAUAAUAUGUAAUAUAUAUUAUAUAUAUUAUACAUUUAUAUAAAUGUAUAUUUAUAAAUAAUAUGUAUAUAUAUUAAUGUAUAUUUAUAAUAUACAUUUAUAUUAUGUAUUAUAUAUAAUAUAAUACAUUUAUACAUUUAUAUUAAUAUACAUAAUAUUAUUUUAGAUUUACACAUAAUAUUAAUACAUUUGUACAUUUAUAUUAAUUAUAAUAAUACAUUUAUACAUAAUAUUAAUAUAUAUUAAUAACUUAUAAUUUAUAAAUUUAUAUAAUAUUAAUUUGUAAUUUAUACAUUUAUAAUAAUAUACACUUAUACAUUUAUAAAUAUAUUUAUAUCAUGUAUUAUAUAUAUUGUAAUACAUUUCUAGUACAUUUAUAUAUUUUUAUAUAAAUACAUAAAUAUAUUUAUUCAUAAAUAUUUAUAAAUGUAUUAUAAAUGCAUAAAUGUAUAUUUAUAUAAAAAUAUAAAAAUAAUAAAUAAUAAUUUAUAAUUUAUAAAUUUAUAUAAUAUUCAUUUAUAAUUUAUACAUUUACAAUAAUAUACACUUAUACAUUUAUAAAUAUAUUUAUAUUAUGUAUUAUAUAUAAUAUAAUAAAUUUAUAAUACAUUUAUAUAUUUUUAUAUAAAAAUAAAAAUAUAUUUAUUUAUAAAUAUUUAUAAAUGUAUUAUAAAUGCAUAAAUGUAUAUUUAUAUAAAAAUUAUAAAUUAUAAAUUAUAAUUUAUACAUUUAUAAUAAUAUACACUUAUACAUUUAUAAAUAUAUUUAUAUUAUGUAUUAUAUAUAAUAUAAUACAUUUAUAUAUAUUUUUAGCGAAUAUAUAAAUAUAUUUAUUUAAUAAUAUUUAUAAAUGUAUUAUAAAUGCAUAAAUGUAUAUAAAAAUAAAAAUAUAAAAAUUAUAAAUUAUAAAAAUAUCCAAAAAUAUGUUUUAAAAAUACCUCUAAAAAUAAUCCAAAAAACAUCUACAGUAAAAGUUUUUCAUAUAGUUUUUGAAAAAAACCCAAAAAACAACUAAUCCAAACGGACUUGUAUUUCAAAAACGAAAUGCUACAGUGCUGUUUUUGAAAAACAACCCCAAAAACAACUAAUCCAAACGGAGCAGUCAUUGCAAACAGGGAGAAAACAAGAAAGAAACGGAGGGAAACAGAGAUAAAAGAAUACCCAGUUAGAAUUAUCUCGGUGGAAGCAUCACAUGAUAUCUGUUCUCCUAACAAAAAUACACAAAAUUUGUAGAUAAUUACAAAAUAAACAUAAAAAAAGAAAAGGAAAAAAAUGCGAAGUAAGAAAUCAAAUAUUGAGAAGAGAAAAGAAAGGAAUGAAUUUUUGUUUUAUUUUUCAUUGAAGAGGAUCACUGGCAUAAAAUUAAUGCUAAGAUCUUUUUAUAUAUUUUAAUAUUUCACCUUUUAUCCAUAAAGAAAUAUCAAAUAACAAUAUCAUCUUUCAAAUUUAGCACACAAAUGUCAGUUGACUAUAACAUUAAGAUAGAAUAAUAGAGCAAAUAUGAGAGAUGAAAAAGAAAAGAAAAUGUAAACUAGUCUCAAAGAAAAAAUAAAGACCUCUCAUUGCUAAACAACUAAUCACCAGAACAAAAUAAGAAAAAAAACAUGGCAACAUUCUUAGCUAGAUUAGUUUGAAGAAAUAAUAAAUAAAAAAAAUGAGGGAUGAUAGUGAGAAGAAGAAAAAGAGAUAGAGUGCAUUUUCUAAUAAUGUAAAGAUAUUUUAACCUUUAUGGCCAAUUGAAUGAAAAAGGGAAGGAAAAUUUUAGCAAAAAAAAAAAGUUUCAUUUGUCAAAAGUUUAGGCAAUACACGGGCCAAAAUGAUGGGAUGUUAUAGUAACUUGGUUUUCUUCGUAUAUACAAGGUAGAGGUAAAUAGAUAUUUUAGACUCAUAAAAUGUUUUUGUAUUUUGCAUCUUUUAACUUUGAACUUUGGAUACUACGUUGGAAAUGUCGUCCAUUUGUAUUCCUUAAGAAGGAGAGCUGCACCAAUCGUCUCUCAUAUAUUACAUAUGUGAAAAUUUAGUCUCUUUGAACAAAAAUGAUCAGUUUUGAUCCCUAACAAACAAAAAAUGAUCAUCUUUAGUCCCUUUUCACUUUUCCGAACCAAUUUUGGCAGGAACUUAUUGGGUCCACAUGCAAUGCCCAAUUCCUAAAGGGUAAAAGUGACAGAUCACCGUUGACCAAUUAUGCGAGGGACCAACUGUGCAAACCUUUAGUUAAACAUUCAUAAAAAAACACAAAAACUAAGAAUCAUAUUUUUGGCUUCAAAUUCAGGAUAGUUGUCUUGGAGAAGAGCAAUAGCUUGUUUUGUAGCAACACGAACUGCCUUUCUGGAUGGCCCGGGUGAGUUCUUGAGAUCAUUGAUCUGAAACAAGGAAUUUACACCGCCAGGCUUGAAAUCAAGCUUUUGAAUCCCUUUCUCCAUAAGCUGGACUCUCCAUCUCAAGAAUUGAUCCUUAGUCCCAAAUGUAUUCUUGUAGAUCUCCUUAUCAUUCAAAACUCCAAAAAUGUUGUAACAGAUGGGCCUUUGCAAUCAAUCCCAUUCAUGUAUGCAAUAGAUGCAAGAUCAUCCCUUAAAUCUUCAUCUAAAACCGAAUCAUUGUUCAACUCUUUUCUCCAUUGAAGUGUAUUCUUUAGCAUCUCAAAUGCCUCAUUGACUUUGGAUUCCCUAACCCUCAAAAAUUUCAGGAGAACCAUAUCAGUUCCCUUAUGCCCUUUACUAGCCAAAAGGGGCACUUCCCAAAUGGAGAUAUCCUUGUCAAUUUCAACAUCUGCGUCAGCCUUUUCACCCUCCUCACCAUUAUCAUCACUUUUUUUUUCGGUAUUUUCUUUAGUUUUCUUCUCUUCAUCACCUUCCUUUUCCUUCUUUCCAUUUUUUUUCUCUUCAAUUUUUGCUUCACCUUCUUUUGCAGCCUCCUCUGUUUCUUCUUUCUUCUCUUCACCUUCCUUUUUCGAUAACUCCUUUGGAGUCUCUUUAGCCACUUCUUUCUUAAAGAGCUUGUUUCCCAUAAUGGCUUCUUCUAGCUUCGACUUCAAAAUCAUUCAAAGCCUUAUUCUCAAACUCUUUGAGAUCAGAAUGGAAAUUAGUUUAUUCCCUAUAAGAAGAACUCUUCUCAUCCAUCUUCCCUUCUUUGCAUUCAUCACCAUCAGUCACAUCCUUCACUUGCUGCACAUUCUCCAUCUCCUUUUCUUCCUUUAAAACCUCUUCCUUUGUAACAGCCACUUCAGCCAACACUUGAGUUGCCUGUGAUUUCUCCUCAACAGUCAUGAUAACAAUGCCUAAGAUGAAUGCAAAAACACCAAAAAAAUGAACAAAAUCGUUCAAUAAAUUAAUCAAUUACAAACCAAAUAUAUAAAUUAAAGAAAGCCCAACUCAUUUUUACUUCUGAUUUUGUUGAAUUUCUAUCACAAACUCUUCUCUUGCUUCUCCAAUCUCCGCUGCUGGUUCUUCUUUGGCCUUCUAAAGAGUUGAGAGAAGGAAAUCAAUAAUGGUUUGAGAGAAAGGGGAGAGAGGAGUUUUACUCAUGAUUUGUCACUUUUACCCUUUAAAAAUUGGGCAUUAGAUGUAGACCCAGUGAGUUCCGGCCAAAAUUUGUUCGAAAAAGUGAAAAGGGACUAAAAGUGAUCUUUUUUUGUUUGUUAGGGAUUAAAAAUGAUUAUUUUUGCUUUGAAAGACUAAAUUUUCACAUUUGUGAUAUGUGAGGGACGAUUGGUGCAGUUCUCCUUUCUUAAAAUUAAUGUCAAGCUAACUCAUAUCACAAUACAUGUCACGUGAUGUGCGACAUGUCAAGAGGUACUAACACAUGGUUUGGACACGUGUCAGGGGUAUGACACAUGUUCGUCGAGGUAGACGUGACAAUUUUUGUGUAUUUGCAGUAAUAGUACUUUAUGUUUGGAAUUAUAUAUUUAGGCCACAUGUAGCUUCUCAGCAAUCAGGACUUAUUUUCAUGUAAUAUCAUUUCAGUCAUACCAUUUACUUAAGAUAUUACGCAUAAAUAAGGAAAUACCCUCUAUUUAUAUUUAAUAAAAAGAGUUUCAAAGCCAAAUUCCUAAAAAUAAAUUCCAAGUUUCCAGUUUAGGGUUGUACAACUAGAAAAAUUCUAGAAUGAUAGGGUUAGCCUAAUUUCAAAAAAAAAAAAAGGCUAAUCCUAAUUUUCUAAAAUAGGGUUAACCUAAUUUAAUCAUAAGAAACAAAUAUCGAGAUUUUUUAUUCUCACUUUCUAAGUGUUUAAAAUACCAAACUUGUUGUGGUACUUAGUCUUCACAAACUGAUCAAACUUACGCACAUGUAUUCCUGAACCCUGAUAUUACUCGAUAUGCAGCUAUAAACAUCCAAGGGUAUAUGUUCAUUCUAUUAAGUGCUUUACUGUGUCGAGAAACCUUCUAUCAUAAGUGAAAUUAUAUGAUCUAAUCGUGGGAUUUGACAUUGGCCUUGUGUCUUUAAACUAUGCACAUAGCAUUCACCUGUGCACCAGAAUUGGAAAAUCAGUACGACCACGAUCCUCUCCACCCAAACUUUUGGUCUUCGAAAUACCAGACUUUUGGUCCACUAAGACACAGAAACGUUAAUAAUUUAAUUCCAAGGCAACCCCAAAUGUGAACUCUGACUAAACAUCUUCAGGCCCAAUAUAUAAAGAAGUUGACCUUUGACCAAAAAAAAUCAACAGGCCCAACGGCUACCAAUAACUGUGUGGGCCAUUACACUUCCAAAUAGCUGCAAAAGGUUAAAUCGGUAAAUCAAACUGAGAAUCUCCCAUCAAGAUUCAAGAGUUGUACCACAUGGCUCAACAAAUGAUUCACAUGGACAACAAAAUUACUAAAACGCCAACCACCUUGGACAGACCAAAACCUUCAAAAGCUUGGAAAAGGGUAAAUCAGUAACCCAAGCUAACAUCCGCUGCUUUAAAGAUUGUACCACAAGCUCCAUCAAUGAUUUACAUGGCAUGGAAAAGUACAAAAAAAGCCACCGGGAGGCGGACGAAAAGCUUGCCAAAGCUGUUGCCAAAGUGCUUUUUAUACUACAUGUAGGAUUACUAUUUUUUUUUUGGGAGCUUGAAUUAAAAUUUUCUGUUUGUCACAUAAUAAAGCCUUUCUGUAAAAAUUUGACCAAGAAUCGUGCUACCAAAUGCAAAUUUAAAGGCGAAUAACACACUUUAUUAAUACUUCAAAACUCUAUAACAACGGGGCAACGUAAUUGGUAGAAAUAUGUGCAUAAGAAACACAAUACUUCAAAAUUCCAGCCUCUCCGGUUGGAGACAUUCAUGGUAGGAUAGCAAGCUUGGUGGUGCUGGUUCUGUUCAUUGUUGUGUUGUCCGCCUUUUUCUGGGCAGAUUGCAAAAAACGUCUCAAAACUUGCAUUUGUUUAAUACUAUACAUAGUUUAGAUAGAAAAUCCAGUUUCAAAGUUUUGGUGAUGGCAGACGGCUGAACUUACCUAAUCUUGAUAUCACACUGUAAUAGCUUAGUGUAUUAAAACAGAGACACCACAUUUUUCUUUCUUUUUUUUUUUUUAAAGACAGCUGUAGCAACUAAUUAAAGUGCCAUUUCUUACUGGGCUUGAUUCUAUGGUCAACUCCAUGCUCAUCGUAAGUAGCGUUCGUAAACGUUUGCAGGCCCAAGUUCUUGGCUGGCUGUCGCCUUGCUGGGUUUAUGGACGAGCAUCUUCCCCAAUGGUUACGGGUUUAUACUUUAUACUAUAACGUAGCGAGUGAUGGUGAGUUUGAAGGAAGUCAGGCACCCAGCGGCGGUGGAGUCUUGCUUUGUCCUAAAAAUGGAAAAUCAAACAAAUUGGCACUCGCUCAAAAUUUGAUCUUUAUAUCUAAGGAAUUGGUUGACCGUUGAUUUUUCAAUCCAAGAAUUUGCCCAAAUUUCGAGUAACUGUAAUGUUAUUGUGUACUAGUGCAGUGUGUAUUCCUUAUACAACACACAAUUUUCUAUUCCAACUCAAGAGCCCGAGCAAAUCCUCCAUUGAUAAACACUGGAGCUCAAUUCAUCAGGGAGAGCAGAGGACCAAGCAGCCAAAUCAGGCAAUGCCCCUGUCAAUGCAAGAAAGUUUGCACCUUUUUCUUUUGGCAUUAACUUCCAGUUCAGCUCCUCGGCACCAGGAAAUGCUUUCCUCAUUGCUCUAAUUGCAUUAUUUUGUUCCCAACCCAAUUCCAAAUUCCCUUCCAUUAAUUCUUCACCUGCAUCAGAAGAAACUCCCCCACAAUUCACCAUUAUUCUACCCUUUGGCAUCAGCUUCUCUCCAAUUUCCGUCCAAGUUUUCACCUCCUCCAACCCCCUUAAAACCUUUCCGUCCGCAAACAAAUCCACGAUGAUUCCGGCGUAUCCUCCGGCAACACUGGCAUUCGCCGAGAGCGCAUCGCCGAUGCGAACUCUUAAUCCUCCUCCUCCGGCUUCCGCACGGUUCUCGAGCUCAGAGAGCCCUAGGUAUUCUCUGGAUUUAUGAACUAAGAUUUCGUCGAUCUCCCACCCUUCGAUCUGCAACGACGGCCACAAAUGAAGCAUUAAAUCAGCUGCUGUUCCUCCUCCCAAGCCAAAAAUCGCAAUCGGACCGGCAGGAAUAAUCGGCGGCAAGCUGGCGAACUCGUCCCAAUACGAAUCAGUCCAUUUGCUUCCGCCCUUGCUGAAAAUGCUGUGAAUCUGGUGGCUGGAGUCGAGAAGCAAAAGCCUCGACUCUGAAGUUUCCAGAAUCAUAAUGUCGUUGUAAAUGCUUCGAACCGCAGUUAAUAACUUGAUAUCUUCGGGCGGCGGUUCGUCGGUAUUUUGACCAUGUCCGUCUUUAGCUGACUGAUGCUGAACUUCAUUUUUAGCAGUGCUGCUUCUUCUCCGGCAAUGCAAGAGCUGUACGGUCCUUCCGGUGAACGGAAAGGAAUGUAUUGAUGAAGAGGCGCGGCGACGGCGGCAGCAUUGAGAAGGUGGGUAGCUGGGCGAUGACAGAGGAAGGGAGGAAUAGGUAGAUGAUAUGACACUACUGGUAGAAGAAAGAGUCUUCAUCGAGGAUAAGAAUUUUUUUCCCUGUCUACUGGUUGACCUGACUAUUUUCGUGGCUUCGUUCGACCAAACAAACGACUGCGCCUGCGACGACGGAGUACCUAAUCCCCGCGUAAUAGCAUGCCACUAGUUGGAAUAAAUAAUGAGCCGUUCCAAUUAUGCCAUGGGGCUGGAAUCUCUAUCUAUUGUAUAGAUUGGCCUGGCAUUCAUUCAUGGAUCCAUUAGUCCUCCACGAAUUGAGUCAAUUUUAUUUAGUUCAAUUUAAACGGUCAAUUGUGCUGUUCAAUGACCAUACAAUGGCAUAAUGAAAUUAGUUCGAUUUGGAGUGUUCAUUGUGAACGAAAAGAACGACCAUAAUCAAAGCAAUUUAAAAUUUAGCCCAAUUCAAACCGUCAAUUACGCUGAGCGAUUCCUCGCCAACACCAAAUACCAGAGAUGAUGAGAGACCCCCCUUGCACGCUAAUCUUAUCCAAACCCAGGUCCAGCAAACCGGAACCCGACCCCUAUUUAAAUUCUAGAACCAGCCGUCUUGAUCGAGAGCUGAUUUUUUUUUUUUUAUCAACACAAGGGUGUCUCGAUUUUUGACUAGACUAAUCUCCGUCCUGCAUUGGUGCACUCCGCCCUCCAAAGACAUAAAAUAAUAAAAGGAGUCAAAUUCUGAUCACACGGUGCUAGGACCUAAUGAGACAACUCAGCACCGGUCGAGUCAACCCGAGGGGCACCGAAAGCUCAUUCACGAGCCCUUACUUAGUUGGAACCAACCAUGAACGAAACUCAAUCUCAAGGGACGAGACCGAUCAUACCGGACCCCACUCAAUCACAAAAAAAAAAAAAAAAACCCCAUACACGCUUAUCGCCGGCCAUAACCGUAGACAAUCACGGCCCCACAUUUACCCGCCACUUUUACUCCUCCUCCUGCAUCUCCCCCAAUCUUCAUAUUCCCCAGACCACCCAAAAACCCAAGAACAAGGAGCCCCUUUCUUCUACUUCUGACCUUUGCAACACCUUUCCCUUUAAAUUGACCUUCCCACCCCUUUUCUCCUCUUUGACCUCCUCACCUCACCGAGGGCAAACCUGUCCUUUUCCUCACUCCACCUUCUCUCUUAACUCCCUUUUUUUUUAGUCUUUUCGAGAUAUUGAUCUCAGUUUCAAGCUUACCAUUUCUCUCUCUGCGUUUAUCUUUUUUUUUUUUUGCCUUACUGAAAGUUGAAACCUUUUUCUUUUCUGUUUUAUUGGAGAUUGAAUCCAAAUAAGACGCCACAUCACGGUGUAGUGUAAAUUUGAAAUGAAUAAAUAGUGUAUAUAGGGUUUUAGAGUGUGUUUGAUCUUAUGGCAGCCACGACGAUGGCGACCGCCGCUGGAGCGGUGGUGCUGCUCUACUAUGUGCUCAAUCGGCGUUUAUCGGCCAAAGGAGGGGAUGAGGAUGUUGCUGGUAAGAAUGGCGAGGAGUACUCCAAGCGAUCCGGCAGACGGAGGAUGUCUGCCCGGAGGCCAGUAGCUCAAGCUCCGGCUACGUGGUUUGAGACGAUUAUGACGUUGUCGGAGACGCUUAGGUUUACUUACACCGAGACGUUAGGGAAAUGGCCAAUUGCAGAUUUAGCAUUUGGAAUUAAAUAUUUAAUUCGAAGGCAGGUAAAGUCUUUUUCUACCCCCUCUUCUCUCGAAUUAAUGAUAGAAUGCUUAAUUCCAGUGUUUUGAUUUUUUUUUUCAUUCCUCUGAAAAAUUGUAUGCAUAUAUACGUUUUUAUUCAAUUUUUGUCGUUUGCUAGUGUAUUUAUAGGCUGUUUUAGUUGAUAAAGUUCAAGACUUUGCUACCAAGCGAUUCUGCCAGCUUCAAUUGAUGCGUGUUCCUAACAAAUCGCGUCUGAACUGUGAAAUGAAAUCUUACUGCGGUGAAUUGGUUCAUUUUUUAAGUUUUACUUUGAAAUAGGAAAUACUUGAUUGCUAUAGUAUUGACUAAAAUGUUUGAAAGACUUUGGUUUCUGAAACUUUCCAAAUAUGCUGUUUUUGUGGAAAACGCUGGACUAUGCGUGCUUUGGAUUUGUUGACUUGAGGAAAAAUCGAGCUUGUUCUUGAUAGUGUGGAAAUGAGAUUUUGUUCUUAAGGAAUUUUCUUUUUUCUAUUUGAUUUGUAUGAUAGAUGUUUUUCUGACUUGAAGUGUUUAAUUUAAUUUAAUUUUUUUAUAGUGUUUGUAUUUGGUUCUUCAAAAGGCUAAGUUCUCAAACUGGCUUACAAGGGAUGCACAUUGGUUGUGACACGGCAAAACCGAAAUAAACAUCUUUGUUUGAGUCCUUCCUGUUGGGUGCUUGCUUUUGUUUAGUUGUUGAUCUAAUUUGCUUUGCUUUUAAAGGUUCAAUGUUCUCAGAAUUUAUAGCUCAUAUAUUUCUUGCAGGGCAACCUACAACUUGCAAGUGUAUAUGCUGGAGAAGAUUCUGUACAGUUGAAAGGCAUUGAAAUAAUUGCACAGUUGUAUUAUUAUUUGAAGUUGCUGACUCUUUGUAUGCUGUUCUCAAAGAAACCAUUUCCAGUUUUUUUGGAGUCUGCUGGUUAUUCUCAAGCAGAUGUCCUCCUUCAAAAGGCCAAAGCAGGAGUAUGAAUUAUUUUUUGCUGUCUCUGGUUAUAUAGUUUGUGGUGCUUUAUGAAGUAUUCAUCCCCAAAUUUUAUUUCUGCAGCUUUUGAAGCCUGCAUUUACUAUUAUACGUGAUAAAGAUUCAAAAUGCUUCCUUCUUCUAAUUCGAGGAACUCAUAGCAUCAAAGACACAUUAACUGCAGCAACAGGAGCAGUGGUCCCUUUUCACCAUUCAGUUUUAGAUGAUGGUGGCAUAAGCAAUCUAGUGCUGGGCUAUGCGCAUUGUGGAAUGGUUGCGGCUGCACGUUGGAUUGCAAAGCUUAGCACUCCCAUCUUGCUAAAGGCUUUACAUGAAAAUCCUGACCAUGAAGUCAAGGUAGGUGCUAUGUUUACUAUAAAUUUCUUCUAAUUGAAUAUUUUAUUUAUUUUUCUUGUUCAUAUAUGGUUACCUCGUAAUUUGCAAUACAACUUUUUGUUAUCUUCUUUGGUUAAACUGUAAUGUAUUCGAACAAUUUACGACGCUUAAAUUACAUUGAAGUUAUUAGUUUCAGACUUUGUGCUCUGUCAUGGCACUUGCAUUGUGGUGCAGGCUUACUAGAACUAUGGCAUAUGUUUAGUUGCUUUUUAGUUUAAAUUUCUCCUAGCUAUGUUUAUGAGUUUGCAAUUCUGCACGGUAAAGCUGACUUCUUUUACUGUGAUGGUUUAAGAGUAUUAGACAUCUUGCAUAAGCCACCCAAUGAUUUUUGUCUUCUAUAUGCGAAACCCAUCUAGCAUGGAUACCUGUUCCCCCUCUCUGCUUCAUAAAUCCCACCCCUCCCCUGCUGGAAAAAAUUUGAAAAAAAACAUGUAGCAAGUAAGAUGAUUUGUUUUUGGUAUUGCAGAUGGUUUGAGUAGUUUAAGGAAUAAACAUUCCCUGAAACCUACAAAAUUAGAGGAAAUACUUCUUUCUUUUUUUUGAAUAUCGACCAAGAUCUUUGAGCAUCUGCAAAUUUGCUCAGAAAGCCAUUGGCAGCUCAGUUUCUCUUGCAGUACAUAAACUAGACUAUUGAGUAUUUAGUUCGACAUAAAUAAUUGUAAUGAAGCAUAUCAAAUUUCAGAUUGUUGGCCAUUCACUGGGAGGCGGCACUGCAGCACUUCUUACCUAUAUCCUCCGAGAGCAGAAAGAAUUAUCCUCAAUCACGUGCGUCACUUUUGCACCAGGCAUGUUAUGAUCUUCUAGGGUAUACUUUUGUGUUGACUGAUGAAAGAGGCUUGUUUCUUCGAAUGUCAAUUACUGCAAAAUUUUGUUUCUCAUCCAAACGUUUCUACCAAUUAUUUUAUCCCAUUGCUGUGGAGUUGUUGAUGUGUUAAUAAAAUAUGUCGUUGGCUUUUAAAUCUGCAUCUGCAGCUUGAUUGUCGGCCAAAUUUUUACAGAGGCUUUAUCAAGUGAGAAAUUGAAAGUUCUAAUUCAAGCUUCAAUAUGUAAAGUGGAUAUGACAAAGUGUAUCAGCUGUAAAUAGGUGUUUCUGGAUCAGGUGUCUCUAUUAUGUAAGCCAUUCUUGCUGGCAGAUAAAGAUUAGUGUGUUAGAUCAACCUGCUAUUCCAAUACAGGUCAAAGAAUUGUAUCAGCUACACUGGUUGAAGUGUACUAUAAGUUGUACAAUCGCCCUCUUCAUUCAAUUAAAAGGAAGGGAGAGUUGGGACCCUGGAAGCUUCUUAAAAAACAUGCGGUUUGAUGAGUCGAAGCUCCUCUGUUCAUAUAGAGCCUGUUUACAUUCACCUAUUGUCUUCUAUGUUUGAACUUGUAAAGAUGUUUGCUGUGAAUAAUUCUUCCUUCAGGGCAGUAAGCUUUGGAUUUGUGUAGCUGAUUUACUAGGGAAACUUGAUUUGAUCUGCUUUAAUAUGAGUUGGUUACUUUAGUUGAUCUAUUUUUUCUACAUUGAGACAAUUAUUCUGCCAUCUUUGUUUUUGCUUUUCUUCAGCUGCUUGCAUGACAUGGGAGUUGGCAGAGUCAGGAAAACACUUCAUUACAACAAUAAUUAAUGGCUCUGAUCUUGUGCCUACAUUUUCAACUGCUUCUGUGGAUGAUCUUCGUUCAGAGGUUUGGUAUUAUUUUCAUUUGAAAAUAUUUUUAUGGGAUAUUAUUCAUUCAUGAUCUGAAAAUAACCCCAGACUCAGCUGAUAGGACCUCAUCUUAUACCCCAUUAGGUGACAGCUUCAUCUUGGUUAAGCGAUCUGCGUGAUCAAGUUGAACACAACAGAGUUUUAAAUGUGAUAUAUCGAUCUGCCUCUGCUGUUGGGACUCGCCUACCAUCUAUAGCUAAUGCCAAAGCAAGGGUUGCAGUUGCGGGUGCAUUUCUGCUGCCUGUUUCAAGCAGCACUAAGGUAAGAUGUCGUGUCACUUAUUGGUGUAUUUUCCAGCUAAUUGUUGUCAAUUUGCUUAUAUAGCAACGUGGUUUUUCAUUGUCUGCAUGCUUAAGAUCUGCCUUUGAAGAAUGGCAUGUACAAUGUGGAAAGUCAUUUUGGUUGUCUUCUCCCAAAAUUUGAAUAGCUCAUUAAAAUACUGAACCAGGCCCAUGUUCCUUAUUUGUUUUUGGGCACUAUUUGGAUCUGGUAGGUGAUUUUUACUCUCAUAUAUUACAGGUAGUGAUGAAGCGUGCACAAGAUGUAGCUCAAGCAGUUGUUAAGACCCGCACUUCUUUCUCAUCAUGGACAUGCAUGGGUCCACGUCGACGAGUGGUGAAUGCUCCUUCAGACCCUAAAGCAAAUGAUAUGUCUGAGGCCUCUUCUCUUAUUAGUGAAACAGUGUCUGUAUCUAGUAUGACUGAAGUUGUAAACAGAGAAUCCGAGUCAAACAAGAUGGAAUUCUGUUCUUCAAACAGUGGUUCAGCACACGAGGAAACUGAUGAAGAGGAAGAUCUUAUUCAGGUGGAUAGAGUCAUUGCCACAUCUACCUUGGAAGAUAUAACACAGGGUGAGUUGUGGUAUGAACUGGAAAAGGAGCUUCAGAGGCAGGUGAAUGAGGCUGAUAUUCAGACCCAGGAAGAAGAAGCUGCUGCUGGUGAAGAAAUUUCAGAAGAGGAAAAGUUGCUGGCUGACGCAGUGGAGAGUCAAACACCCAUCUCAUCUUUAGAUGUUUCAGAAAACCUGCAAUUUUACCCUCCGGGCAGAAUAAUGCACAUUAUUUCUGUGCCUUCAUCUGAGGCAAGUGAAUUUGGCGAGGAUGAUCAUAAACCAGAGCAGGUUGGCAUCUACGAAACACCUAGAGAAUUAUAUAGCAAACUACGGUUGUCGAGGACAAUGAUCAAUGAUCAUUACAUGCCAAUGUAUAAAAAGAUGAUGGAACUACUGAUCAAGGAAUUAGAAAAUGAGGAAGAAGACGUGGCUGUGUAGCUUUGAAACCAAAUUGCUGCAGAUUACCUGUUGAUAGUUUUGGACAUUCCCUUGUAUGCUUUGCCUUGAACUAUGAAUGACGCAUUGAGGAAGCAAAUUCUUGAUGUCCUUUUGCAGAAUUAUUAAUAGUAACCAUUUUUAACUGCCAGAAUUUAAUUUUCCAGCAUUAAUCUAUUGUAAUUGCUUUCGGCCCAACAAGUUGCAGAACUUGGAACCCCAGCUGAUGCAAUUAGCAUGUGUACACUGUUUAGCAAGUUAACGAGCCUCAGUUUAUAGCAUUCUUCUUUUGUUUCAGGUACUUGUCUUUUUCUUUUAAGUUACCUUUGGGGUUAACCUGAUCGCAUGUUUAUCAGGAAUCAGUUGUAAGCGCCAGAGAAAUAUAAAUUGAUCAUAGGGAUCAAACCAACUUCAGUAAAACUCCUAUCUAAGAGAAUACACGAACUUGACCAAAACCCUGAUUCUCAAAAGGAUAUCUCUACCCACUUCCCAUUCCAGCUUUCUGAAGGUCUUACUAUUAGACUACUGCUUGAAAACAUGCACCAACUUCACUAUUGGAUAGUUACAUGCUCCAACAGAAGCUGCCGCUUUGGCCUAUCUCUACUCCAAGACAGAGUAGGGCCUCUUAAAAUUAUAAGAAGCCAGCAAAAUUAGGAGACUAUAUCCUAUCCAAAUAAUGUUUCAAAUGAAGUCUUUAAGAUGCUAGAUUUAACAUCCAUUAAUGCCUCUCAGAAGUUUGAUGUAUCAACCACCAUAGCGAAAUUUUAGUGGCCCAGGAGGCUCCUCUUCCAUGAUGCCUGAACCAGUUGUUGCCAAGUAGUCGCGGAUGGUUGUUUUACGAUCCGCAAGAAAUGUGUGAUCAACAAAGUUAUUGUAGUCCAGAUCACCAAGAUUUUCUGCUGCCAGUACACUGCAGUGCCUUUCCAUCAAUAUUGGCUCAUGUAUAGCAUAACAAUAUAAUUUUGCCACAACAAAUUUGCAAGCAUAAUAAAGUUCUCGUACAUUAAUGGCAGUAAUAGAUUCUUGAAAAGUAAAUGUAUGAUGCAGUAAACAAGUGAUGCAGAACUAUCACUCAAGCCAUCACUGAGAAGGUCUUGAAAACUACAGAUACAAUUCCAUAAGUACAUCAGAUUCCAGAAAAACAAAAGUUCCUAUUGUCCAAAAAAUAAGAAAAUAAACGAAAAUAAAGAAAAGUGAAAUUGAGUAGCACUCACCAGUGACGCAAAUAAACACGACAAGGUAGUAUAUCAUCAUGCCAAAUCUUUUGGAUACCAUAUCGCCCAUACCUUUGGAAAAAUAUUUCGUGGUUUCCUGAAAGUUAUGUGCAAGAAGACAGAAGAUGUUUUCAUUUUACACCAUGUUGCUUAGCAAAAGAAGAAACAUAUAUAAACACGUUUGAACAGUUGGAUAAGAGGGUCAAGGGUGCACACAAGUAGGACAAAUCACAGUGCAAUUUAAAAUAUAGAGGAUAUUCAUACUCCCUUGAACUUUAAUAAUUAAACCCAUAAACAUAGUAGGAUACAAAUAUCAGUUAGUUUCAGAAUUAAAGGACUCUAAUUUGUCAAAGAUAACAGAUGCUCAAAUCUCACCAAACUUCCCAAUAACCAAAUUGAACAAACUGUUCAUGUCAAAUUUUUGUGCAACUUUUAACAGCUUGUUAGAAACAGAUUCACUUUCUCCACCACAAAGUCUGAUGCAUGGAUACAAUGGUAGUUGGAUGUCAUCAUAUCAAGUAAAAGACUUGAGGAUUACGUUAUAGAACACAAACAAAAUUCAACAUACUGCUUUUCAACUCCCCAAUUUGUUUUAUUUGGGGGGCCCAGAGGGGGUGUUGGGAACUAGUCAAUAAAGAUAUCUGAUAAUCACCUUUGCAUCUGUUCUGGAAAUAUUCUUCAUCACUAUAACGGGCACAAAGCACCUGCACAAAAAUUAGCAGUGGAACAUAUCAUGAACAGACUUAUGAGCAAGUUAUGCCAAAAAAGGUAAGGAAUCCAUGAACAAGAUUCAAAAUCUAGUCAAGCAUACCGCAGGAUUAGUAUAAAACAAUCCGUUUAUUGUCUCGGGUACUACCUAAAGACAAAUAAAGAAAUCAAUCUUUAGUUAAAAUAAUGAAAUAUUUAGAUUGAGUACCACAAGUUCAACAGAAAAUGAAGAAUAACAAGGUAUGGUAAAAGCAACUCACUACUAAAAAACGGAAUUCGUGCUCCCUUUCAAUGAAUGAUGGAAUCUGAAUUUGUGAAUAAAGAUAUCAGGUCUCAAAUAACAUCUGAAGCUAAUGGUAGAAAUUCAACAAUUCAAGAACUAAAAGUAUACACAUACCUCUGAUUUUGGGAUCUCAAAAAUAGUGAUUAUCAGAGAUUCACCAUCACAGGGCUCCACACUCAAGCUUGAUAUCUCCUAAAAAACAUAGCAGCAUUCAGUUAAAAGAACUCAAAGUCCAAUUCAAAAUUGUGAUGAAGUGCAACAAGAAAAGGAAGUCCUUAGCAUCUUUUUAGCUAAAUCUCUCCUUGACACCCUUACAAUAAGUAAAGGAAGAGAGGCUGAGACUAAGAAAAAUAAUCAACUUGUAAAGCUUUUUAAGUCGUUAGGUUAGCAACAAGCAAGAUGAUUUAGUGAUUGACAUAAAAGUUCAGAACAUAAAACUGAAGCAUCAAGAAAGUCACUGCAACUCAUCGAAUCCUUUUUCCUCAACUCCUGGUGGUGUUGCGGUGAUAAAGUCGGAAAUCCUAGUUCUAUAUCACAAGUAUCAAAUAAUUAAGGUGACAGACAUAUCAAAACAAAAUUUAAUGCAGUAGUCUUUUAUGGAUUGCAUUAAUGCCAUGCCAGAUACUUAACUCAGACUUCGGACUAAGGAUCAUUCUCUCUCAUCCAAAUAUCUGCUUACACUGAUCAGUUUCGUAUUACAGCAAAACUUCCUUUGUUUUUCGUUAGCUCCUAUAAUUGCAGUAAAAUCUCUUUUUAUUUGAAAAAUCAAUACUUUAGCAAACUAGGAGCAUGAAAUGUAAUCCACAACACCAAACUUGCAUGAUCAAUUUGAUAGCCAAAAAACACGCAUUUGUUCCUCGUACUAACACGGAACAAGUGAAAUGUAGAACUGAAACCUUAGUUUCAGGUUUCGCGAUACCGCGCUCGAAGAAAAUCGGAGCAACAUGAGCAAAAACUCGCCGGAAUCCACUCAGUUUACCGAUUCUGAAGUUUAUAAGCUCCGGAAACGUGCUCCGUGCACUCCUCUCUGCUCUACCAACAACGUAAUCAUCAAAAUAAGCGAAUACGGAAUACUCCCUACAAAACAAAAAAGUUACUGCCAUUACAAAUGCCGGAUUAAAGCAACUAUACGGACCGGAGAGGAGAGAACCGAAGCCGCAAACGGAAACAAGUCCAUCGGAGGAGACAAUUUUGUCGAAAUCGGACUCGUGGAUGAGUUCCAAAGGAUAAGGACAGAAGAUGUCGCCGGAGGACAUUGAUGGGGGAGUUCGCCACCGUCCACGAGCGAAGAGGUUGGGGGAGAAGUGGGGACGAGAGAGAGGGAGCGGUUGCAGAAAAAGGACGGAGGAGGAGGAGGAGGAGGAGGUGGUGGGAAAAGGGAGGUGUGCACGUGUUCGGCACGCGUGGCUCAACAUGUGAAGAUAAUGGGGAUUUGGUAAAUGUCCUCUCAACUCGUCUCACCUUCAAAUCUUCUCUGGCAUAUGAAUCACGUUCUGGAAAUGGAAUGGAAGGUGUCACGUCACGUGAGUAUUUGGUAAGAACUACGUCGUAUGAGCUGAUCCGCAAAUCAAAAUCACUGUUGAUUUACAAGUCAAGAGUAUUUGGCUUCUGAUUCACAAAGGCCCAUUUUUCUUCUAAGCAUAUGCCAAUUGUUUUCUUUUCAGUACAUGUACAUUCUAGCAUGUUGUUUAAUUAUUUUACUAUGAAAAACAUGUUACUUUUUCUUUUCCCUGCCCAGUGAUAGAUGUUAUAGCGGGAUAUAUACAAUCUUUUAACAACAUGUCAACUAUGGUUUAAUUGUCAAUGCAUUUUAGUAGCAAGUGUAAAGGGAUAGGAGCAGCAGUCUUUAUCUAAUGGAAUCUAAUGGACAAAUCAUUUUACAAGGCAUGUGAAAAUCAUUUAUCCAGUGGUAUUUGAUGCUAAAAUAGAAGUGGGUUCAUACAACUUUAGUGCAUUGUUAGUACAUUUUUGUUAUUAUCAAAUCAUGAAUUGACCUUAUUUGAAUUCUAGUUUUCAUUUUUACGUUUUCUGUGAAUACAUCUACAUCACAUGCAUCAAAUCGUUAUAGUGAAUACAUCUACGUCACAUGCAUCAAAUUAUUAUAGUAUUUUUUUUUUUUUUACAAAAACUCCUAAAACUAGCAAUUUCAUAGUAUGAGGUAGGGUCUUGUUUGUCUGACCUCCGGAAACAUGAAUACAUAUUCAAUAAACUACUUUUAGUUUCUACUUAUAAUAGUUGUAGCUGUUAGCCCUUAGAAUUAAGACUCUUGCUGAUGAUGAACUCAGUGAUGUGCUUGUCAACGUCCUUAUUAAGCAGUAGUAACUACAUCUUUUCUUGCUACCUCAAUGAUUCAAGGGAAGCAAGCUACACUAUUUUGGUGUAUGUCAUAUUAACUCCUUUCUCCACCAUUCUUGAUUUAAUCUUGACCGAGUUUUGAUGCAGAGAGAAAUCAACACAUGGACAGCGAUCUUGGUUGAUUUUAUUUUUGAAAAGACUACACGUAUUCGGAGGAUAUCCUUCCUGUACGCAUAGGAUUGACCUGGCAAUCCUGUUGGCUCAUUGGUGAUGUUACCUUAAUCUUGAUGCAUCACAAUCUUCACAGAACAUACUAUCACAAAAACUUUUAUGUUUUCGGGUCAUUCAGCUCAUAACUGUUCCCAUGUAUUUACAAAGACAGAGGCCUGGAAUGAUAGCAAAUUCAUCUACAUCAAGAAAGCGAGGCUGCAGCAAAUGCAUCUCUCCUUGUGGUGUUUCAUGCAAGUUUCUUACUAAGCUUCAAAGGAUCAAAUUCUUGUGAGGGACAAGAGUCGUGAAAAAAAAGGCAGAUGGCUGAUAUGUCAUCCAUCGCGAUACCUGGUCUCUUGCGUUUCCAUGCACAGACUGCUGAUUCUACCAGCUUCUUAGCCGAUUCUUCCCUUUCAGGUGUUGAAGAUACUAUGUCCACAGCUUCUUGGUUAGAGAUGACAUCCCACACCUACCAACAGAGAACAUGGAGGACAUUAGAUUAUGUUCCAACCUCGUGGGAUGAGCAGUACAAAAAGAAAUAUCCUUAACCAGCCUACUAGCUAAAGUUUUCCUCCUCAGAGAAGUCUCUACUUUUUACAUGAUGCUGAGUAAAGAAACAAAAAGGGCAGAACAUACACCAUCUGUUGCCAAAAUGGCAAAUUGAUCUGUGUCUGUUAUCCUUCUCUGUGUUAAUUCUGGUUCAGAAAUUAGACCAAAGUCUUUUAUGUAGUAGUCACCAAAGGCUCUUGAUAUUGCUAAUCCGGGGCCUUCAAGUGUGUUUCCAUUUGGCAUCCAAACUCUGUAUACCCCCGGUUCAUCAUGACAGGAACAUAUCCUUCCAUUUGACUGUGUAAUUCGCUCGCUUUCCUCUGUAACAUGAGAAAGAGACACCUGCAUAACUAUGGGGAAAACUCAUGGAGAAAGAAAGAGAGCGUACGAGAGAGAGCUCACGAGGUAAAUUAGGCUUCAGGUCAACAGUAAGCUGAAUUGGAACCAAGCUGCCAUCACCAGAAGUUGUUGCCAACACAGCCCGAGAGUCACCAACAUUUGCAACAACAAUGAGAUUACCCUGUAAUUCAUCAAAAGAAAUGAUUCAGAAAUAAGAAAUCCACUAUUGGAUGUACAAAUUUGAAGUCACCAUCACCAUAUUCUGAUUGAUUUACAAAUCCAAAAACAAUAAAUUUGAUAACCUGUCUGACAAUUGUCAAAGCUGUUGAACCACUAUAAAAAGAAUCAAUCCCUGGAAGCUGAGCAAGUUGAUAAUCAAUUGCUGAGCAAGCCUUGAAGUAAGACUGCUUCCAUAUGUCAAACUGGCAGCGGCAUCCAUCUGAUGAUCCAAAUUCAUCACUAUCUGGUUUCACGACAAAUUGGGCAAGAGUUUCUUGCCAAUUGCACAGCAAAAAGGAUGGCAUCAAUUGCCUCACUGUCUUGGCCACAAGAUGUCCCCAAGGACCAUGCCCGUCAAAAAUGCCACAGAAUAUCAUGUCCUCUUGGCAUCCAAACUCCUAAAAAAGGUAACCCAAUCUCAUCAAUAAACAAAAUCUUAAAAACUACAGAUUGUUUCAUUAGUAUAGUGUAUUGUGGAUUGUAAUCUACAUACCUCCCAGACAAUAAAGCGAUCCUGAUUUAUUCCUUUCUUCCCCUUCUUAGAAUAAGCUGAAGCCAUAUUACUGGUCCUGUUUGCAUUGACAAUGCCCGAAGAAGUCAACAUCAUUUCAUUUUUUCUUGCUUCCUUGGCCAAAGUAUCUGCAGCAUCCCUCCCAACACCAAGUCUACUCUUUCUACCACUCCUAAUAGAAAUAUUUUUUGCCAAAGUUGAAAGGAUAGUGGUAAACUGCACCAUCUUCUCUAAUGAUUGUCCUGCACAAGCUGAUGUUACUGCAAAAUUUCACUUUACUUGAAAAUAGAUCUUAUUGUACUGGAAAAAAUCAUCUAAAAGUUAGUUGAGAUCACUAAAAUUUUUAGCUUCAUUUCAGAACUCUUUGUUAUUCUUUUUUCUCUGAAUUGGCAAGUACAGCUACAUGUUCUAUUAACCCAAAGUGAAUAAAUAAAUGACGAUUGGGGAUAAUUUAUCUCUCAAUUUUAUUGAUGAAAAACGAAGAGCUUAAAUAUUUCUUUGAGGCAUUUAUUCAUGUUGACUGUACUUUGAACUUUAUUUAGGCAAAAGUGAUGGAUGCUUUCAUUUUCUUUCAAUCUUUGCAUGUCCAUUCUGAUAGGAAAAAGGGCUUGAUAAGUAAAAAGAUCAAUUUUCAGUAAUCAUGUUACGUUUAUGCUUUUAUAAGCUAAAACCCCACGAGGACAUGAGAAAUAUCCUUCAUCUGUCUUUUCCUGAGCUGUCAGCAAGGUUCUAAUGGAGAAUUUCUGGAAUUCUACAGUUUAAAAGCAUGCUUGUUUUUCCUUUAUUUUGUUGGCAAAGAAACUGUGCAAGAAUAGUUCUACCAUCCACUCAUGUUACGAAUACCUCCAUGUUUGAAGAAAGUAAUAUGCUAGGUGCCAAUUUACACUUUAUAGAGACUUGGUUGUUUUUGGCUUUUAUAAAGAAUGAUAGCUUCAGUUUCAGAACUCUCAAAACAAAGCGAGAACUCGUAAUUUUCCAAUCAACCUUCUACCCUCUUCUUCUCCAAGAUUUCUCAACAAAUGAAUCCAUCGUCCUCCUUUUCAUUCACAGCGAAAAACCACUGAAUCCAAUUCUAAACAAUAAUGAAUAUUCAUCAACCACAUAGGGAAAGUUAUGCAUAACAUCUUAGAAGUCAAAGAAUAUAUGAGAGGACGGACAGAUGAUACGCACCACUUGUUACUUGCGGCCGGCUCUUUAACUUAACCAAGAAAGAAAUUCUGAAACUCUAGAAAUCCACAGCAAGAACCCAUUUUCCGUCCAGCUCCGGGGAAAAUUCGGCUAGUCAGAUUGAUAUGUAAGGGAGCAGGAGACCCUUGAGAUGGCUUACACUCCAUUCUAGUCUCUUCCUCAAACAACGAGUUGCAGCGUAAUAUAUAGAGUCAUGUAUUGCUUUAAUGCAGACGCGCCAUCGGGGAAUGAUAGAAGUACAAAACGACCCCUUUGUUUAACAGCCAAAAUCCAAUCAAAAGCUGGCCAUUUUAGAAAUUUAACAAUGAUUUUCUUAAUCACCAUUCUUCGUUUCCUAUCGAAAAGCCUUUCUUUCACUAAGUCUUUUUCUGGAGGGUAAUGGAGGUCAAUGUUGGAGUAACCUUCUAGUUUAAGAUGUCAAAUUAAUAACGACCAAGCAUUGUUAAAAGCUAAUUACAAUUUAAUCAAGCAAUUAAGCAUAAAUUAAUGGGUAUGGAUUUGGAUAAUGAUGCAAAUGCAUAGAAUAUUAGGGGUAAGCACUAAAAUAAAGUAUCUUGAUGGUUCAAAAUGUUGCAGACUCAGCUUGGCAAUUGGAAGAGCAGUUGGUAACAUAUUAUAUGUCACCGUUCAAUAUUAAAUGUUAAUAUCGGUAUUCCUUCUAUAUUUAUUUAGGUAAUUAAAGAAAGACUUGAGGGUGAUACCCAGUCUCACAAGUUGCAUCACCAUUCUGUAGUAUUUUAUCAAGCGCUAAUUUUAAAUGGUUGAAAUUAUAGGAACAUUUUGGUUUGUGGUGGUUCCUGCUAGAAGCUCGUAGCAAAAGGUUAAUUAGUAUGACAAAGUCAAUGCAGGACAGACAUGAUAUGAGAAUUUUUAAUUCACUAUUUAGAUGACACGCGACACAUAGUAUUAGGAAUAAGAAUAAUUUUUUUUAUAUACUAUCAAUGUAAAAUUUUUUCUUUUUUUUUUAUUUUUUAUUUAGCGCAAGCAGAUUUAGAUUAUGUUACAUAAUAUGAAUUUAAAUAACUUAAAAUUCAAUACACGCACAUCUGCAUGUAUUGAAUUUUUAUAUUAGGAAAACAUUACUAUCUUUUUUUUUUUUUUUUAGUAGGCCUAACAAAAGGCAUAAUUUGACUUGAAAGUGGCCAUGGUAUGGAAAAGCAGCUGGGAAGAAAUGGAUUCUACAGCGCAUGUCGGCAUCCAUCAACUAGCGAGUAGAAGAAUUGAAGACGUUUACACGUCCAACUAGCUAGCUAAUUAUUGAUUUACAUAGUUGGAAGGUCUCUGUCCAGUUUGUUUGUGUAAAAACAGCUUUCGCAAAGUUCAACUUUCUUUCCUCUUGGAGAGGCUGAGCCACACCAAGUUCGAGUGUAUUACGUGUUGGGGGUUCGGAGUACGUUACUGUCUAGGACUGGAAUGCCCGCCUUGUGCCUACUUGACACUGCAAAUCCAAGUACCGAACCCUUGACAAUAUCUAGGGACCAGACCAUAUACGAUGUUGUCUUAUUCUAAUAGAAUACUAGAUGAAGUGAUUACAUGAAACAAUGAUACAGUUCAAUUUCUACCACAGAGACACAUGAAGGUCGAGAUUUUUUCCUCCCGAGCAUAUGAAGUCACAAAAUCGAAAGAACUAUCGUGACAGUUCCACAUGCUACACGUGUUCUACAGGGGGGAAAGUCCACAACACGUUUAAUCAGCAUGCUCCAUUUGGUUAAAGAUUUGCUAAUGCACUCAAUGCUCCAACUUUCAGCUGGAUUUUGCUUAGACAAAAAGGUUUGGCAGCUCAACAAACACACAAGUUCAAUAAGAUCCCAAUAUAUGAUCGCAUCUAAACAACUACUCAACAGCAUUCUUUUUUCUUUUUCUUUUUAGUGUAAGUGAGAGGGCUCGAACCCGAGAUCCCUCACUUACAUUCUCUCCUCCAAAUCACCCAGUCCAUCCCUUGCCCAAUCACCCCCCUCUCUUCGAAAGAGUGGGGGGGGGGGGGAGGGGUUACUCAAUAGCUUUAAUACAAUGCAAGGCAGCAAGUGACAAAUCUUGCACAACUUUUACAGCUAUUGUAAACAAACUUGGGGAGCGUUUUAAGUUGAAGACAUCUUAAAGCUCCUCAUGGCAGGAUAUAGGAAUCCACCCAGUAGAAUUUAUCAUACAUCAAACCAACUGCAAUUGUUAAGUCUAUAUUGCUGUAAGUGAUAUCAAACUCAAACAAACAUUUGGCAUGCUUAGCCAAUCAAUCAUUCCAAACAAAUAAGAGAUGUGAUUAACAAAGAUCAGCAAUUGAGCCUCACUGCCAACUCAACACCUUUUUCUGCUCACAACUUAUCAGAGAUGCUGGCAGUUCCUGAACAUGAUGGUCAACUAUAAAGCAAUGCUUGGUAUAGCAGUAUUGACCAUGGACUAGACUUCUGGUAAGACCAUGUUAUCAUCCUAAAAAUAUGUGGCCAAUAAGUAAUGCUCUUGGCUAAAACAGUUUAUGAGAAUAUACAAAAGAUAUCUAGAGAAUGCAGAUCGCAGAAAUUUGAUUGAAUAUAUCAAUGAAAAGAUGCAAGGGAAUGGGUAACAAGCAAAAGGUAACAACUAGCUUUGUGGAGGAAUUGGCUUCCCUCUCCAUAAAGAUAUUUUGCUUCGCUUCUAGUUGAGUUCCACUCAAAAUAGAUACAGGAAGCCAACAUCUAUACGAUUAGGCAAGAAAAAUAAAAACAGCCAUAUUUUGUUCUCAUCUUUCUCAUCUUCAGAUAGAAUUGACAGUUGAUAUUAACCUUGUAUCUUUUCUAUAAAUAGAUAUUACCCUAAGACGUCGUGCUAUUCAUCUGCUCAGCUUGAAAGUCUCUCAAGAGCUGCAGAGACUGAUGAUAGAGAUUAAGAUCCAUGCCAUCUACAUUCCUACCCACUCGCGCCCUCAAAAUUGCCUGACAUUUAUGAUAAAAGCUCACAGUAAAUAAAAGCAUGAAGUGGUCAGAAAAAAUUUUAAAAAGCCUCGAGAGGUUUUUUAUGUGUGCCAUGAUUAGAUUACGCUUAAGCCAAAAGACACGCUGUGUAAGAUAUAUUGCAUAUGUAAGCACAAUCAAUCAAACAUGCAGGGUCAAUUUAAUUAAUUAAGAGCAAAAAUCACAUGGUACAUUCAAAAAACUUAGCUUGAUCACAGAAAUGAAGCGUGGAAAUAAAGCGAGAGGUUGAUCUCCAGUUGAAGAAUGUCCCAAACACAAAUAUCACACCCAUUUCCUAAUUUUCCUAUGUAACAUCACUUAUUUAUCAUCCUCUGCAGCCUGUUGCUCUAUAAGCCACUCAACUUAUAGAUGGAGAGAUCAAAGGAUUCCAAACAUCAAAUUGUCAUAGGGGUUUACAGAAAGGGCACCAGAAUGGAGGAUAUAAAUUCAAUGAUUGCUCAAAUAUUUGUAUGUAGUUGUACAAGAAAAUCACCAUAGACAUGCAUACCUGAUUGCUGGGGUCAAUAAGCAGUUCUCCAAUGAACUGGUACAAGGAACCUAUGCGAAGAUUGACCUUCAAAUGUUGCGUGUCAAUCUUUAAGGAAGCAUUGCCUUCGACAAUUGACGCAAUUGCAGUCUCUAUGUCAUACUCCUGUAGCCUAUAAAAUAGAACAAAUUAACCCUCUCAAAGCUGCAUAAUUGAUUUUAGAUUGUAGCACACAAGUGGCAUAUCCGACAAAAUAUCAUAAAACAAUUAAGGAGCUGAACUUUCUUUAGAAUCCCGUGUAAGUUUGUAUAAUUUUAUGUUCUUCUGCACUCGAAACACCUCAGAAAUUUUACCGUGGUACAUUGAUAUGAUGGUAAGAAAAGUAAAUGGCAAUGAUGAUACCACCACGCUUGAAGUUGAAGUAUAGUUGCAGAUAAACAUCGAUAUAAAUAAAAAUAAAUAAAUAAACUUCUGAUUACAGGAGUACUGAGACAUUUUGUGUUGGCGAAAAACAAGCAGCAUGGUGGCUAAUUAUUGAAAAGCAAGAAGCAACAUUAUUGUCACUAACAAGUGUGCAAAGAUACCAUGACAUGAGCCGAUGAAAGGGCCUAUCAGAAAAACCCACUACCAUACUUUCGAGUUGAGAAGUGGCCCUGCUUUCUCCCCAUCUUAUUAACUUUUUCUCUAUAUGUUUCACAAAUCGAAACAGACAAAAUUCAAGAAGCAUUUGCAACAAGGAGCAACACGGAAACACCUACUUUCCAGUAACUCGAAGCGAUGCUCCUUGCGUGAAUUGUGGGGAGGAGGGAACUAGCUCCUCAAGAGUCACCAACGCACCAAAACGUACAGCAGAUGUUGCCAUUGAAGCAAUUCUACAAACAGGCGGAGCUAUUAGAGUUUCACUGAGGUAUUGUUGAUCGUAAACGAGAAAUUAAGAUAAAAAUAUCCAAAGUUUGAGAGCACUUUACAUGAUCAAUGUCAACUAAGUAAAUCAAGACAUGGAUUUCCAAAAGACAAAAGACAAUUUUAUGAUUAGUUUGGGGCUUCAGAAGCUACCUCCAGAUGAAGAUUAAAAAUGUUCCCUCGGUUUCCAAAAUUAAAAAGGCCGGAAAUAUUUUGGACCAAUUUAGUUAUCGAUUCGGCCACUUGGAUUCUGAUUUUUCCCUCGUGGGCCCGUUUGGAUUGCUGAUUUUUAAUCAAUCUUAUACUAUCUCCCUUUAAGGUCCAAUGUGCUCCAUCAUUUUUCAGUAGACGAUACAUCUUUUCUUCCACAUGUUUACCGUGUCAAAAGUGGAGGCGAGACUACCGCAAACAGAAAUUCGAAAUGAGUUGAACAGGGGCAGGAGACAACUAGAAAGCGGAUUGUUGGUCUGAGCAUCUGAAGGCACUUUCUAAACUAACCAUCAUAAUGUAGCCCAGACUCUCCACCGCCCAGGCGUUAUAGACCAAGGGAAACAUGACGUUGCUGAACACACGUUCAUCAUUUAUAGGAACUAAUUUAUGUAAAAGUUAAUUUGAGAUAUAUAUAUAUAUAUAUUUUUUUUGAAAACGACAACAGUUGCAUAAUCUAAUCUAUUUCACACUAAGAAGGAGGAGCGGACCUAAAAAGAUCCAGAAAUAAUUUGAGAUACAUGGCCAACAAGUUAUAACUGUGUCAGGAACCAUUAAAAAAAAAAAAAAAAGUCAUCAACGUCUGUCCACAAUGUUCCUUUUUUCAGUUUUUAUUUUUUUAGGGGUGAGGGGAGGUUGGUUGAACCAUAUUGCUCUAUAAUCUAUAUUGCACAGAAGUCUUGUGCACAAAUUUUUGUGAAUCUUUCAAAGUACAUAAAAUAUCACUCCCAUGAAGAAUUUAGAUAUCUUCGGUGCCUGCUGAUAUCGUGCUGAAUAUUAUCGGUUGAGAAGGUAAACAAUCAUUUCUUUGUCACUGGAUCCUCAUCCUCCUCUAUGAACAGAACUGCAAAUCUUAAUGAAAGAGCUUCCCGCAACUGGCAAACUCCGGCGCUUAUUGUCAAAGUAGACCACCAGAUAUGAUAGUUCAGGUGUCAACAAUGGACUAAUGCCUUGAGGAACACCAGAGUGAAUCAUGAAACUUUAAUUUCAUUCAUGUACAUGUAGAAACAUUAAGCAGAUAAACUUGUAUAUAACUUCCACUUCCUCGAACAUUAAGAGCCCUGCUAAAGAGCGCCUAUAUAUAACUUCCAUUUUUUUUCUGAAUUUUCUUGCUUCGAACUGAAGUUUCUGGUCAACCACCACCCCUUUCCAUCUCUCUCUCUCUCUCUCUCUGGUUGGGGGGCUCCCGCUGUGUGUGUACUCUCCGCCUGAGGUGCAUGUCUCACCAUACUUAAAGACACGUGGAAGAUGAUUUUCAGCUAUAUACAAGCCGUAGUUAAUAAAGAUGAUGCUCAGUGAAAAACUUGAGAUGAUGCAUAGUACUCGCUUUCAUUGAACACAGGUCUUAAAUCUUCUUUGGACAUGAAAUCCAAAGGGAAAGAAACAAGAUGCCCCCUAACAGAUUCUAACCUCUCCAAGGGAUCAGUGCAUUUAAUAUCCCCAUCUUGAUAAGACUCGAGCUUAUUUGGGGCUAUUCCUAAAUCAAUGGUUGCCUGGCCAAGUUUUUCUUUCCAGUAGACCAUGCAUUGACGGAGAGAAGCCCUGCAAGCUUACAAAGAUUUUUAUACAAUCAACAACAAAAAGAAAAACAAAUCUUUGAAAGAAGGAACGCACCUGGAAUGGAUUAGAUCAUUGGGUAUACAAGAAAAAACAUCUUGGUAGACCAUGGUAUUUGUCUGGCAAAAUCACAUUACACAGAGAAGUUAGUUGGAGGUAAAUAAAAGCCAGUGUUACAAACCCUAACUCAUAGCACAUAUGAGUUCACUCAUUGUGAGAAGUUAGUUUACUCAUUACAUUGAGAAGUUAGUUGGAGGUAAAUAAAAGCCAGUAUAUAAGAUUACUCAUUGUGAAUGGAUUAAUUUUCUAUACACUGACCGUGUACACACUUUCACCAUUAAAUACAUGACACAUAAUCCGAAUUUGAAUUUGAAACCCAAAUUUUGCAUAUGUGUCGUGCAUCCAACCGUGAUAUUGUAUACGCUGUCAGUGCAUAUAAGAUUUACUCAUUGUGAAUUCUUUCUUUUACAUUCGAGAAGAUUACAAACUUGUUGGCUCAAGUAACUAAAAUGACUCUUCCAUCAAAUCAUACUCUGGAGUUUAACUCCCAUCUUUAUUAUUGCAGACAGAAAAUUAUACACUGAGAAUCAAGAUAGAAGUAAUGGGCAACAACCAUAUCCUGACAAAGAUGAGCAAACAUUUCAUUGACGACGUACUUGAAAAUGGCAUUUUACCUUGGCAGUUGCCAUCCAUAUUCCCUUAUACGUAGAAUCAAUCACCGGAUCUCUUAUUUGAUGGACCUAAAAGAGGAUAACCAAUUAUCACCCAAAUCUCACAUCUCAGAAAAAGAUGAAAGACAGAUGCAGAGGCCAGAGGUUAGAAAUCUUUCAUCUAUUAAUUCUACCUAGUCCUUUUCUACUUGCUUUUCUGUGAAUGACACAUAAAUUGGCUAUGCAUAUCCCUCCUAGAAAGAAUGGGGAAAGAAAAAAGAAAAAAAGGAGUUCCAUAGAAGAAAUGAUUUCGAGAGGUAUGACUAUCACACGGUAUCAAAAGGGUGAUGGAAACUAACCUCUCCAGCUCUAAGACCAAGGUGCUCAGACCAUAGAGAAAGCCGCAAGCUCGAUGCAAACUUCCCAGCCUUCCAUGCCUUGCCUCCCAUUAAUGAAUCAAACAGUUCUUUGUCCUCAACUAGUACACCAAUCUGAAACAACAUAAGUAACAUGGCUGGUCAGCAACCAGGGGCAUAAUUUAAAAUGCGAAUCAGAACCAAAUUCCUAGUGAAAAGCAAACCAAAUUCCUAGUGAUAAGCAAUCCCAAAUUAUGUAACGAAGUGGAAGUAAGAUUCAACAAAUUUUUUGAGGUUCAGAGUACUGCAAUAUGACAUACAAGUCAACACCCAUACCAAGAUGUAUUUAGAUGUGCAUUUUAUCAGCUAGGAGACAAAGCUUGCAUAGCUUACCAAACAAACUUCUAUGCAUAAAGAACAAAAGGAAUGGGCUGAACGACGUGAAAAAUAAUAAUUAUUGCGAUGCUAAGAAAUGGCUAAGAAGCUCAGGAACUUAUGCUUGCUAGAGGAAGACCAAGAUAAAUUUGACUCAGAGAAGAAGUAUUCUUCCUUUUCUAACAAAGCUAAAGGAAAAGUAUGUGCUUUCCAUUAUUCUUUGAAUAAAAUAGACGAAGCAGCUGACAUCAAUCACUCUGCUUAAAUGAUUAUACAGUGAUGCCUGGUGACCAGAAUAAGCAAGGUACAAGUCCUUUACAGAGGUAUAAAGAUGCAAUUUACCACCCGUAAUCUACAAGGAACAAACUCAAGUAAGAACCCAUGAAUAAAGACUGAAGAGAAUGGAAAUAGAAUAAGAGAGUAAUGUAAACCACCCCGAACAUUCAACUAAAUCUGUAUAAAAAAUCCACAGAUAAAGAAAAGGAAUAAAAUAUAUACCUCAGAGUCCCUUGAGCCAAGCAAACUUCUAUCAUUGAUGUUAGCAGAUCCAACUAGAGUUAUACAAUCGUCAACUAUCAUGAUCUUGCUAUGUACAUACACCUAGAGAAAUGAAAAAAUCACCAAUAGCAUCAUCAAUUUUAUGUUGUAGAAGCAGAAAAGAGAACUUUGUAGUGAAUAGAAACAGUGAAUUCUUAUCCCCUUGAUUUGCUUUUGCAAGUCAAGUGUAGUGGAAAUGAAAUGCAAUUAUCCAAACAUUCAACAAAUUUAUUUUUCAGUGCUGUAACCAUCAGACUAUUACAUGUUUCCAUGAAUUUCAUCUUUUUAGAUACUAAGCAGUUCCAUGGCUUCAUGAGCUGUAACUACUACGAGUAGUAUCAAUCAAACAAACAACUCAUUUGAGUACGGGCUGCUGUUUUCUACCGUGCAUAAUUCUGCUCGGAAGAAUACAAGUGGCUCUACAUCAAGAUAGAAUGAAGAUAGGGGCAACCCCAGAAAGGUGGACAGGACCCAAGGUGUGGAAGAGAAAGGAGGUGAAAAUGUACAGGGUUUAAAAAAAAGAGUUAAAAAAAAAGAAAAUAAAGGGACAGAUAGCAAUAAAUAAAUAAAUAAGAGAGUUGUCUUUGCGGCUGCAAGGGGUACAGUUAAAGCAAUGCAAAGUUACCAAAAUUAAAUAAUAUUUUAGCGUAAAAAUCUUAAAUAAAAAUAACAAAGGACUACCUUAGCAUUUCUUCCAAUUUCAAAUAUGCAACUUGCAAACUUCUACACUUAGAUAUAAUGUAUACCAAAUAACGAACUAACAUAUCCUUAUUAAAUAAUCAACUAAAGAUAGGUCCUGCCUGUCUAAUAACUAACAAAUGGACAGUUCACUCACCUAAACGGUAAAGUGCAUAAACGAGUCAAAUUUACACAUAAAUACCAUCAACAACUAAACAAUCAGAAGGUCAUAGAACUAGCAAUCAGAUGCUUGCAAGAGACUUCUUAAUACACAAAACUUGAAAAAAGAAAUUGCACAGUCACCUGACUGGAGGCCACAGGACCACCUUCAAAAAGUCUACCAUGAGCUCUAAGACCGUAGAAAGAUAUAUAGUCAUGCACUCGAGGUCCGAUGUGAUCAUAAAGAUUGUCCAAUAUCGAAUUACGUCCUCUGCAUAUUGUUCGAUACUGCCAAUGCAUAAUUGCUCUCACAGAUGCUGCACCACCAUCAUCCACACCACCCUGCCAAAGUAUAUAGAGUGAAAAAAUAAAUAAAUAAAGCAAAAUUACUCAUAUUGGACAAGGGGAACACAACCAAGCAUAGUACCUGGAAGCCUGGAAGAAGUGGUAUGACAAUUAUAACUCUGAAACACUUCUUUUCCUUGUAAGCUCGCAUAAUGCGUUGGUAUAAUGCUUCCAAUACACGAUUCCGUAUGAUCUCGUCUCCAGAAAGACCUGAGAUGAAGAAUUGAUUCUGGAACAAGUUUCCAGGAAUUUAUGUCAGACAAGAAACUAAAAGCAGUUUAGAAUAUGCCUAGCCUCCUUAAAUGGAAAACCACUCAAGAAAAGACUAAUCAAAUACUCACACUGACGGCAAUUGCAUCAGACAAUUGAAUGCAAAUUUGAUAAUACAAAAUCAAAAAGCAACAAAAUUAUUCAGUAAAAAAUAAGAAUGUUCAACAAAUGACCUGUCACAGGCAUGGUAAUCGCUUUCAAAAGAUAUCCCUUGUAGAAAAGGAAAACCAACUUCCUCAAAACCAGACCAUGAAACUUACAGAAGAAAAAAAGACAGACAAGUGCAACCAUCACUAACAUUAGCUUGUACUUCAGAGAUCAAUUGCCUUAUCCAUCACAGGAACGAAAAGGACACUUUUGAAUAAUUGAAACCUGGGGAGCUUCAGAAAAUGCUAAAUGAAUGGCUAUCAAGACAUAACAUGUAGAUCCCACUGAAUGCUGUAGAAAGUCGAGCAUAGGCAGUUUCUUAGCAGUCACCAAGGAUAAGGUAGUGUUCCAGUUAUAAACAGGACACUAGUGGCACAUAGGGUCCUUUCCAAUAUUAUUUUCCAAGUUAUAUUCUCCUCUGGCUGUGCCUUUAGUCCCAUCCAUACCACCUUCCCAUAUUUCACAAUUUUCCAAGACUUGCUCAAAUAUAUUAAACACUCCGCACGAAAAGUCACAUUCAAAAUAUUUACCUUCCUUCUGAAACUACUGGCCCAAAUUUACUCCAAAUUAGUUACCUAGAUUAACACAAUUAAUUCAUUGAUUAUCAAAAAAAAAAAAAAAUUACCACAACUAAAACUAAUAAAGGACAGGAAUACCUCAAUAUAUAUGAAGUGUUCUGCCUUCUCGAUAAGAGAACAGUAAGCACUGUGAAUGCUUUCCUCUAUUUGGCUAGUUCCAGCAGACCAUUGACUGACACUCCUUAUAACCUAAACUUGGAAGCAUCAAAGGACAGUAGUUAUUUAAAUAACCAACAUAAAAAAGAAAAAAAUUUUAAAAGAGUAUAAUCCUCAGAUAUAUUACAUAGAAUCUUCUAAAACAAGCUCAUGUUUGGGAUGCUGUAGGCCCAAAAACAGUUGCAGGUCAUUUUUCACAAUAUACCCAUAAAACACAUUCCACCACCUCCGCAAUGACAAGCCAUUGUAACAUGAUGUAAAAGUAAGCAAUUAAAACAAUCUUAAUGAAAUUCAUAUGAUAUCACAGUACAUUCUCCCACUAAGAAAAGGUUUUAAGCUAAAUAUUGUGAACUAUACUCAUACCAGAACCAGUUCUUCUACCUCAGCCCAUGUAGCAUAUAUAACCGCUAUUUGCUUACAAGUAAAGUUAUGUAGGUCAAAGCCCCCCAAAAAGAACUUGUUAAGUAGAACAAGCAAAGAUUCCAGCAUAGCCUAAAUAGUCUUAAACAAAGUGUACUUUGUGCUCAUUAACCAGUAACAGACACAACUGCACUAAAAAGAAUGACAUAAACAACCUGGAGAUUAUAGCACACCGCUCUGUUUAUAUAGCCAAACACAACGUACUAUGAAUCCCACAUAGGAGGAUAGCAUGAGAACAUCAACAUAUGAAUCACGCUUAUAAUAGUAAUAUGUCUAAUGUUUAUUUGUUACAUGAUACAGAAACAAAAACAUGAUCUUAAUAUGUAAUAUAUCCUUCCUAGCAAGUGGGAAAAGUUACUAAUCAUGCCCAUCUAUUAGGACAGGAACCUAAUCUACUUAAUAAUCACCAACACUUUUUAUAUCAUACACUGAUGGGAUACAAUAUGGAUGCACGCAUGUCACUCAGUAUAGAGAUCCUCAACCUCCUAAAGAAAUUAUAUCUAACCCCACCUAGAGAAACAAAAUCCUGAGCCAGAGUUGCAUGGCCUAAACACUACAUCUUCAAUGAUCAAUAAAAUUAGAUGUAUACAUGAACUCAAGUAGCUCAUCAUGGAUAAACAUUUGAUCAGAAAGAACUGGGGCACUGUGACAUUUAGAUCUCACCUGACAUCGACAUGAAACACGAGGACCAACUUGUCCACUUUCAUCUGCCAGAUCAACUUGACCACUUCGAUCCUGUGUUUCCCACCAUUCAUUACCUGAAGGCUUGAAUCCAGGCUGCAUGGAAGACAACUCCUGCAGCAUAUGUGAGGCAUCAAGAUCAUCUACAAAACCUUUCAUUGGCAUAUCUGGAUUAAUUGGUUCAACUUUUGACUUUCGGAAAGAGAAAGGACUUUUGCUGGGCCUGCUUGCUUGAUCAUGGAAACCAUAUUCCCUACUUAAACCAUUUAAUUUUAAUUGCCCCUCUGAAGCAUCGAGCCCAUCUGCUUCUUGAGGCAUGAGUAAGGGGAUAUCCUGGCAGGAUGAUCGAGCCGAAAAUGAUUCUUGCUUUUUGGUGCGUUUACGGAUGUUUCCAUCAUUCUUAAUUUCAUCAUCAAUGUCUCUGUUAAUUCCCAUGUAGUGGGGAAUAACCAUGUGAUGCUGUGGCAUAAGGAGUGGGAUCGCCUCCUCAUAUGGAGCUUUAUUCCUCUGAAAAAUGAUAUAGCUAUAAAAUCACCAAAGCUUUUAAAUUCAGAGAAUACCUAAAACUGUAACAAGAUUAACCUUUGCAUAGUUCCAACGCUGAACAAAAUGUCUAGCAACAUCACGGCAAGGCGGUCCCCAAAAAGCACAGUGAACAUCAUGCCAUGGCAUACGCGGAUACUUUUGCCGAUCUAAUUCAUCUUUCAUAGUAUCUUCCCAUGAAUUUGGUUCCGACUCCCUGAAUUGUUAUUAGGUAUCGGACAGGCAAUUAUUAGACAUAAUCGAUGCAGAUUGUAGCUCUCCACAAAGUCAAUCUCAUCACUGUAUGUGUGUGUGUGUGUGUGUAUGUAUGUAUGUAUCACACAAUGAGUCGGUACAUUUGUAGAUCCAUUAUCAUCAAAAAGCAAAUUGACAUUGAAAAGUUCCAGAUCCAAAUUAUUCAUACUUAAAGUAAACAAUGUAAAGUAUCCAUCUUUACUUGUUCUUUGCAACAACAAUCCUCACUCAGGUAUAGCAACAAACAACUAGAACUACUUCAAGAUCAUUAAGACCAAGUAAUUUAUGGAUGUUCCAAUGCAGCAGACCAUCAUGUCCCACUAGAUAAUUCUGAGACUAAAUUGACUUCUAAAAUCAGGAUAAAUAGUUAGCUACAAGAUUAAAAUGAACUUGUAAUGAAAACACGGGGAAAGCACCUUGGGUUGUAAUAGUCCUUUCCAGGCCAAUUGCAGGGAGGGUAAUCGCCCACUUUGUGAUCAAAUGAAUCAUAGCGACCAAAGCAGAGGUCAAGCCCUCCAAGAAAGCAAAUAUGGUGGUCAACAAUAACAAUUUUCUCAUGGUGCGACCUAUGUAUAAGCAGAUGUAAGUCCACAGAAAUUUCUGUUUCAUCACUGAGUGAAAACAAUAAUCAAGUACCAUAUCUGUAGGAAAAGAGUAUGAAAACUUAAACAGCUACUGGCUUUGACAAUAAGGUGCAUACCAUAAAUAGACACCAGUAGAAAAAUGGUCUGGAUAUCGUAGUACUCUCACAUUCUCAUGGAUGCCAAGAAGCUUUUUCUUGCUGUAGACACUGUUAAUUUUCAGAGCUAGCGCAACCUCUUUGUAUAGAAGAAUAUAAAUCUACAGGAAAAGAAAAUUCAAGAAUCCAAAAUUAAAGUUCAUACAGUUAGGAUAACAAAAGCAGGGACAAGCCACGUUCAGAUGCAGCCAUAUUUUCAUGAAAGCCACAAUUGUUUCCUUCAAAGAACUUCAGAAGUAUUGGCAUGUAUGAAACAUAUAACAAGUAAAUCAUAUGUACAGGCGUAUAUACCUGAACACCUUGCUUAGCUUUCAUUUCUAGUAAAGCAUCAAGCCGAGAGGAUGCAUGAGCAUCAAAAGGCCGCCGCAGGUAGAGUUCUGGGCAGAGCCACCAACCACAAAUAAAUAUCUGCAGGAAACUUCUAUUCAUAUUCUACUUGCUCAUAUAAUAAAAAGUGAAGAAUAUUAUCUGUGAAGGUGAAACUAAAGCUUUGACCUCUGAUUUUGCAUCCUCAAUUGCCAAAGCAAUCGCUUCAAAUGCCACCCGACCAUCUACAAACCACUGAGCCUGACUACCAUCUUCUGUCAAUCCCCGAGGAGGAGCAAAAGAUCCAAAACGGUGAGGGUGACACCAACCCUCAGGUGGCCUAAGACCAGCAUCAUUAAUUGCAGCAACCCAAUCUUUGACUUUAGCAUUGGCCUUGGUUCUGACCUUGAUGCACCGGAUUCCACAAGAUACCUAAUAACAUCAUAAUAACUUCAGAAAAAGUGCAACUUCUUACAAAUAGCAAUGCUGACCUUGGAUGAAAACCAGUCACUCAUCAUUUUAACUGGGACUAGGAAGCUAGAGGCAAGGUAAUACAAGUCUAUGCUACAAACUUCCUUUAGAUCAUGAUGCUUUUUCUUGUUAUUCUCAUAAAAGCAUGGUACCAAAUAUUCCACUGAGAUGUGGAAAAGUUGGGAAAGGAAUAGGUUUUUAUUAAAAACCCAAAGGGCCCCCCAACCCAUGAACCUUUAGAGUUGCUUCAUUUCCACAAUGACUUGCUUGGGUAUUGACCUUCUUCUUCUCCUUCUACAUCCUUUCAGGAAUAGUAGCAAAAAUAUUCUUUGCAGAUCUCCAACCAUCUCAACAAGUUUUCUCUAAUUUAACACAAUUAUGAUUGUUCACUUUUUGUAACAUUUAUUUCGUUCAAAUUCAGGUCAACAUUUUAUUUCUUAGUUGACUAAAUCAUUAGCAAUUUCAAUACAGCUCCUUACUUGCCCAAAUUAUCUCUCUUCAAAUAGGUGGCCUUAACCCUGAAAUUUUCAUUUUGAUUAUACUGAUGCACUAUGACACUAGAACAUAUAAUGCUAUCACUCCAUUUAACCAUAUCUAUUUGUUCCUAUGAAUGCAUCAUCCCCGGUCCCUUUUUUAAUUCAAUCAUGAAACCUAAGCGCUCAGAUCAGUAAACCCAUUAUCCAUAUCUUUAACUAAAAUAUUCCGUCUCCAACAAUCAAGAAUUCAAGGAAAAUUAGAAUCCUAAUCCUCUUUAUAUUCAUCUACAGGUUUUUAUUUAUUUAUUUAUUGAAAAUUGAUUGUCUACAGACACACUCCCAAAGACAUCCUUCUCAGGAACAGGAUGCAAAUCUUUGUUAUCUUUAGAGACCCAUAAGAUGCUCUAAGGACUAACAAGAAACUUUAUACUUCAGGACUGGACUCCGAAUGUAAUGCUUCAGGAAGAGUGUCAACAUAGAAUGGGUCCUCUACAAGAAAAACAUGCAUAAACAGCUUACCCUGAAAUAAUGGCGCAAAGGAUUGUGAUCCUUUACUUCUUUUGCUAAUGAUACACGGCCAUCUCCAUUACCAUCUGAUGCUGGUAGUACAUCAAAUACAAUUAUAUCUAGAGGUUGCGCAUCAAAAGGAUCUUUGAGGAAGGCCAGAAAUCCAGGCUUGAGUACAGCCCAGACCUGCAUAUAAUUCCAACACUGUGAUAUUCCUUGUAGAGUAAAUCUAAAUUAGAUACUACAAUACAGGUAUUAGGAGCAUGACCAGAUUUAAAUUAGAAACUAAACUAUGCAUAUUGAAAGCAUAACUCCAGAUAGCUGAAAGCAGGUUCUAACAAUUUCAGCAUUCAAGCACAUGACUGGUGUUAGCUAAUUGAGAAUGCUUAAAAUCAAGUGAGGACACACAAACAGAUUUUUGAUGACAAGUUGAGGCCACACAGUAAAAAUGCUUAGAUUAUGGUUGACACAAUAUUGAGGGAUCCACAAGAAAAACUUUCCAGUAAAGAGAGAACCAAACGAGGAAAGCUGUAAAAUAUGAAAAGACGAAAUGAACGCAGUAAGGGAUACAGAAAAGCAAACCCAGUACAGCCUACCUUUUUCAUCAGGUUGCGAAACCUGUAUAUGAAGAAAAGGGAGAAAAGACUAGGAAUAACAAAACCUAAUAAUUCUCUGAAUAAGAACCACAUAAACAGGAUGCAAGGAAACUCAAAAUUCUAACUACCCCAAGCACUGACCUCUUAGACUCUCCAACCAAAGUCAUCAUGAAAUAAAAGUAAAGCAAAACAACAAUGGUCUUGUAGCAACUAAAAAUUGAAAGGUCACCAGUCAAUGUCAUGCAGUAGUUGAAAACAGUAAUGGAUCCAAAUAUGAGAAGAGGAAUUCUCAAGUAGUAUGCAAUUUUCAUUAUCCCCAAAAAUCAGAAAAAACAGAACGAGAGAUUCAUGGUAGAUUAUCCAGCGAAGAUAAUUACCUUCUGCCAAUUGUCUUUGCAGCAGCUGAACCACUGACAUGAACAACAGCCUUGAUGUUCAUCAUCACUCGGGAUUUUUGGUAAGUGCUUCACCAUGACAUAAUCUUCUUUUAGCUUAGGACCAUACUCUGGUAAAAAGGACAACCUGGAGACUUCCAAAAAUCUGCAAACCUGCCAUAUAAUUGGGAAAUGUGAAAGACAGAAAAAUACCGAGAAAGAAAUCUGGAGUAGCCAAAACAUGAAUUCAACUUAAUUUUCAAAAAAUGGAAACAUUAGCUGCAUAAGAGUUGUAGCCUAAAUACACAGUUCAGCUUAAAACAAAUCAAAGCAACGAUAUCUUGACUAACAAUCGCAAUCUCCUAGUGCUAUUACGGGUUAGUUACUAUUCCACCACACAGAUAUUCCAUGGUCAAUUAUUCUUUGGUGAAAGAGAUGUGCGAGAAUUUCAUACACAUGAUAACAUGGAAGUACGUGCUUGUGAAAAUUUUCCCUACUGAAUUUGUAUAUGUAACAUGAAGGGUUGAAGUAGUUGCCGAAUAUCAGGUAAAAUCUCUCUAGGUGCUCAUUUAAUUCAAGGCAACUUAAGAAACAAGGUAUCUCAUUUACCGGGUCAAGCUACUGACUCAUGCUCUUGGUGCAAGCACACAUGCAUAGAAAACACUCUUUCUGUUAGUUGCUGAAUUCUAAGGAUGAAAAUAUGAACAUUAAAGAAAACAAAGUGUGCUAAUUAUUAGGUUGUAACAAAAGUUGCUACACUAUCUUGCAAGCAAAUCUAAAACAAAAAUUCUAGAGUAAGACUUUGCAUACCUCCCGCGAAUUCACUAUAUCCAUGUUCCCAAGAAAGUGAUUCAAGUAGCCUUGCAUUGCUACUUUUGAUCUGUCAGACAUUGAAUUCUGCCGUCCUAGGGCAGGCCGAAUAAUUGGCAGGGCAGCACUUGACGGAACAUCUCUGAACAAAAAACUACCUGUAAGAAUCAUACAAAUUAUGAUGCUACUCGCAGUAUGUAACACUUCCUCCCCUUUCACAAUAAGCAAUAUAAUCUCAAGAUUCACCUGUUUUUGACACUUUCAUCAUUACGCAGAGGAAUGGUCUCAUCUUCAGCUUCUUCAUCAUCCUGCAUAACCGGUGUAUGAUCUCCUAUUCCUAAAUUUUGAAGCCAUUCUCUGACCUUCACAUUUACGCAUCCAUAAGAAACACAUCAGCAUUCCACCACAGAUUCAACAUGAGUAAAAAGUGCAACAGUUUGAUCAAACAAACCAACCUCCUAAAAAUAAACUGCAAAAAUGCACACCUAAGCAAAUGAAUCUAAGCAUACCUGCUCCUGCUUUUCAUGAAUUUCCUCAAUAAAUGCCCUUUUCUUCAACGCAAAAUGUAAAUAGAAUACUUGUGAAGCUUUCUUGACUAACUGCCACUUGAACUGAAGAAAGAAUAAGUAUUAGUCCAGCAGAAUCCAAUCAAUUACAAACCUCCUAACCUAUGGGGGGAAAAACACUAUUGGAAUAUUGAAGCUACCAUUCAACCAAUUGAAGUAUUAAUAUUUUUUUUAGGUGGAACUGACGGUAACGAAAGGUACCCAAAUAGGCUACCAAUCUUUUCGUCCCCUGUCACCAAUUUUAAUUGAUAAUUGUAGACUACCAAAAUUCGCACAAUCCAUCAAAAUUCACAUACUGCCCAUAAUUAAAACCAAAUAUGUGUAAGGUAACAAUAACUGUCACAACAACAAUAUAACUCCUAAAAUUCAUUUUCAGUCAAACAACAUCCUAAAUUAACAACUAAAUUUAGUUUAAUUACGUCCAAAAACCCAAACUCACUCAAUUUCAAAUCCGAAAAAGCCCCAGUUUUUACCUCGUCUACAAGAACUCUAAGUUCACCCUUUUGGCGUUCCCUGUCAAAGCCAACACUCCUCACCUCGCUCUGAUUCCUAGCUCAGGUAUAAAUGAACAAACUUCCAUUCAUAUCCAGUUCUCAAAAAUCCAAACUUGAGCUGAUUCCAGCAUCACUCUAUAAGCAAUCUGUUUAUGUUCUAGUCUCUUCUAUAAAACUCAAAGUAGCAACUUCUCCAUUAAACAAAUUUCUACCUGAUAUAUUGAAACAAACAAAAAAUAAACUAAUAAUGGCAGCAAGCGAGGCAAGGUGAAAUCAUACCUGUUUGUAUUGGAAUUCGAUUGUAUAAGUGAGCAUAAUAGGGCUAAUAUCGGCAGCAUCGGGGCGGGACACCUGAAUAAUAGUAGCCUUAGGCAACUCAUCGAAAAUUCGAGCUGACUCGGCUCCGUGAUGAUGAUGAAAGGAGAAGAAUGAUGACAUCAUCAUCGGCAGCGGCUCCGAUUGCACUUGCACGUACCUCGGGCCUCCUCCUCCUCCUCCGCCGCCGGUCACCAAGUGCUCCGUCGACGCCAUUCUCUCCGAUCACCACUGACGAUUUAACAAAAAAUACAGAAACACGUGUACAAUCGAUAACUAUGUCAAAAAAAGGAAUGACGCAAUUAAUUUGUUCCGGAUAGAGAUCAAGAAGAAGAUGAAACAAAAUUGAGAGAGAGAAAUUUGAGAAAAAUAAAGGGCUGAUUAGAAUUUGAUUUUUUGGGAUGAAAUGUGGAUUUUCCGUUUGGUAGUUUUCAACUUUUCUUUGUCUUCCGUUACGUGGACUUUGGUGUGUGGUCGGUUGUGGAUAGUCCGGCAUUUCAGGAUCCGGGUAGAUUUGAAUUGCAGUACAAGUCUCUCGCUCUUUAUUUUUUGGGUUAAUUACAUUUACCUCCCCUGAGGUUUGACCAUAUUACCAAUCAAUCCUUGAAAUUUAUCCAAAUAACAGUCUCACCCUUUGAAUGAUCAAACAUUUAACAAAAACCCCCUUAAUGCCGAAAAUGCCCUUUUUGAGACCAUAUUGCAUUAAAAAAAGAACAUAUUUUUAUUUAUUAACCUUUAAGUAAUCCAAAAAAAUCAUCAAAAAGUUUUUGCUUAUUAUUUUAUAAAAUUCAUAUCUUUGCUUCCAUAAAUAGUUUUGAAUCAAUAAUUAUUUUAAAUCUUAAAAAUAAAUAUUAAAAAUUAGAUAAAUUGAAAGAAAAAUAAAAAGGAAGCAAUUAUUUUAAAUUCUCAAGUAUGGUUCGAAUUUGUGGUUCAAGAUAUGUUGCGGAGAGCACAAGGCAUGUUUUCCUCAAUUUGAACCACACUUCAAGAAUUAAAAUAAUUUCUUCUUUUUUUAUUUUUCUUUCAAUUUAUCUAAUUUUUAAUAUUCAUUUUUAAAAUUUAAAAUAAUCAUUGAUUCAAAACUAUUUAUGGAAGCAAAGAUAUGGUUUUUAUAAAAUAAUAAGCAAAAACUUUUUUCUAUUUUUUUGGAUUGCUUCAGAGUUAAUGAAAUAAAAAUAUGUUUUUUUUUUUAAUGGAACAUGGCAUCAAUAAGGGCAUUUUCGGCAUUAAAGAGGUUUUUGUUAAGUGUUUGAUCAUUCAAAAGGUGAGACCGUUAUUUGGACAAAUUAUAGGGAUUGAUUGGUAAUAUGGUCAAAUCUCAGGGGAGGUAAAUGUAAUUAACCCUUAUUUUUUUCAAGUCUAUGCCUUCUAGUUUUCGUUUUCUGACUCUCUCUCUCUGCUUUUUUUUUUUUUUUUUUGGUGUUUUACAACAAUUUUUUUAAUGGUUUUGGUUGUGAUUAGCCGCUAGCCAGGAUAAUUACCCCGAGCUUAGCACAAUUGUGUGAGUUUUGGCCUUCAUUUGGAGAUAAAAUUCCCAGCACUAGUUUAAAUCAUCAAAGAGAUUAGGAAAUAGAAACUAUGAGUAUGGCUAUUUUGUUCAAGUGGAAGUUGGGAUAAAUGGUCCUUUUCAAUUUAGGUUCUAGAACACAAGAAGAAAUCUGUGGCUAGUACAGGGUAAUUACGGUUUGCUUUGGAGCAUAUCAGCAGAUGAGCUAUUGUUUAUACUUGACUAAUGGUCAUUAGGAUGCAAAAGCCUAAACCAUUUCUUGUUUUGAGUUUUGACUGGUAGAUUUUGCUAUUGUGACCCAGAUAAACCAACUUAAUUCAACGCAACUUAAUCAAUACUUAUAUAAAUAAAAAUUGUGAGUCAAUUGAUGCUUUCGAAUUUAUUUGCAUUAGAAUUUAGAAAUUGGCCUAGGUCUCCUUGAUCGCAUGCUUCGUCCCUUAGGAACUGACGUAAGUGUCAAGUUUGGACCACUACUAAUAUGCCAGGUAUUUCUAGAGAAUAGAGAGAGUUAAUUCUAAUCUGAUUAGAAGAAAUGUGGCAAAAAAAGAAACAAAAAAAAAAAAAAAACCAACGAAUUGAAGGAAGACAUAAAUUCCAAAUGUUUGGAUAGGAGAUUAUUUGGGAUAAAUUUUUAAAGAAUAUGCUGUGACAUUUUUUUGACAUGAUAUACAGUGAGAUAAAAAGAUGAUUAAAAAAUCAGUUGAUGACACAAAUAAAUCAAUGGAUGUAAAUAAGGUGCAAUCAAAACCAUUUAUUAGAUAUUGGAUCAUUUAAUCCAUGAUGAUCUAUUUACAUAAAACCAAUUAUCAUCCAUAUAUCAGUCUCUAAGCAAAGGCAGGAAAAAUGAAGACAUAAAGCAACCAAGACCAAGAGGGCUACAAAUGCUGGACUCAUUCUCUAAUAAUAAGUACUACUACAAACUGAAUGGUACUGAAUACCAUGGAGAUGUUUAAGCAGUUAAGAAUUACGUAUUUUUUAAUACCUAAUAACAACUAUACCAAGCGCCUUUUUGUUGCAUCCAAAAAAUUGGUAAAGUUAUUGUGGCCUGUAAAUGCACUAACAGUUUGGGCCCAAAGCAAAGCCUGCAGAUCUAGACGGUUGCUGCCUUGUUUAUUUCAAUCCAGUUUGGAUAUCUUCCAUCGAUUUGUACUUGUUGGGCUUCGAAAUCUUUUCCAAUCGAUUCUGGAUUUAUUAGUUCCUUUAAUAAAUAUGGCGGGUUGUUAUCGGGGACUAACAAAUAGUAGCAGUAGAUAACUUUAUGGAUUAAUUAAUAAUUGAGCUCACCCACCAUAAUAAAGUCUUUGGAUAUCAAAUCAGGCACAAGGAGCUUUUCACCAAAAUGUUCAAAUACAUACCUGACCUCACUUGAUUUUGUCUGCCUCAGGAGUUAGCCUAAACUUGACUUCAACAAUAAAAGCUUAUUAUUAUAUUCGGUGAAUUAUUAAAGAUUUGACUCAUCCAUCCAAAUUCCACCUUCCAUUCGCUUGCAAAUUGCAAUGCAACCUUUUUAUACGAUGAUAAACUAGUCUAAACCCUAUACAUGACAAACCAAUUUUCAGGAAAACCACUAAAAAGAAAGGUCCAAUCAUUUUGCCUAUUUUGACCCUUUCACUUCUCAUCCCACUCCUCUCUUUUCUAUAUUUUCCAAUGGAAUGGUAAGACAACCGUUUGCUUAUUAUAUGCAUGAAAUGAAUUGGCAAAGACAAGCCCAUCCUGAGGUGCUGCUGUGUUCGAUUCGCCCCUCCUACCGUCUUGUAUAUCUUGGAAGCAGGGUGCACAGGUACAAAAAGAGAUUAAUUGAUAAAAAAAUCGAGAUAUUUUCUGUAUCAAAAAAAAAAAUUUGACAAAGACAAAAGCUAUGAUAAACUAAUCUAAACUCUAUCAUUUUGCGCAUUGUACAUGAUCUUCAAGGAAUUUGUUACUACUUUUAAAAUACUACUAGAUAGACUAGUAGGUCACUAGAACUGGAGUAAGAUCUUUACAUAAAUGUCAAAAAAAAUUGCAUUGGAAAUUUGGAAGAAAUACUAACGUACUAACCAACCGUGGCGUAGGCGUAGAGGAAAAAUCUUUCAAUGCCACACGUUUAUUCAAGAAAAAAAAAAAGAAUCAAGGGUUAUGUUACCUGAGUAAAGCGCGGACCUAUGUGGGCGCCCCUUGAAAAUUCACCCCAAAAAAAAAAAAAAAGACAAAAUAAAUACUUACUAUUCCCUUCCCUUCCCUCCUCCCAUUGCCCCGGAAAAUCUUCGCUGCCCAAAAUCCCUAACCCUAGCUGAAAAUUUACUCCCGCUUCUCAAACCCUCAUUCAAUUUCCCGAUGGAAAUCUCUGUCAUCUCCGAUGCAUUAACGUCAGUGGCCUCAACCCAAGGUUUAAGCUUAGGGGUUUCAAAGCUCAACUUCUGUUCAAAUCAGUCUUCUGAACAAUCCGCCGGAAUUCUUCAAAUCUCCGCCAUGAUUUUUCCUCUCGAUGCUGUUGCACCACCGCCGGUGAAGUCGAAUCGGACAAGAACUUUACCGCGUAGACUGAUCAAGAAAAGGCGUCGUACCAGAAGAAGAUCUUCAACCGGUGAUGAUGAUAAUGAUGAUCCGGAAGAAGUUUUCGGGUUUUUUGGCGGCGACGGAGGAGUUUUUGAUGGGCCGUUUAAUAAUGGUGGCGGCGGCGGCGGUAGUUGGAAUUUUGGUGGGUUUGGAGGGGCAAAUUGGGAAGGGUACUCAUCCAACUCGUAUAAUGAUCCAGCGUUCGAUUUUGUUUACGAGGUGUUGUCGUGGAUUGUUUUAUCGAAUUGUUUGCAUUUUGCGUUUAAGAAGGUUGUGAGGAUUGUGGCUGAUGUAUUUGGUGAUCCUGCUAGGGAGAAGGUCCCGAUGAGAUUGGAACCUGUUUGCUGAAUUGGUAAAAGAAAUUGACUCCCCGAUGCAAAGAUAAACUCUUUACUCUGAUACACAUAAUUUAGGAUUUGAUUAUAUGUUCUUCGGGAAAAAAAUUAUGUAAAUAAGUGGACAGUACAUUUAGGACUAUGCUUCUUAAGUUCGCCAUUGCAUUUACCUUUUUAUUGUUUAUCAGCGUAAAUAAUGUAAAUAUUCAUCGAUGGAUGUCUGGCUGAUUUUCAAUUUGCUUUACUCUAUAUGAUUCUUCUAUCCACGGACUGAUAUAGUUGCGUUGCAUGGAUUGCGUGUUUGUGAUACUUCUGUUAUACGUUCUGUGAUGAUUGUUGUGGAGAUGUGUUCCCCUUCCAUCAUACAAGUCUGUGAGCAAAGAUUUGAGUUGUCUUGACAAAUAAAUAAAAGUGUAAGCUGGAGAUUUUUUAUGCUACUUGACUUGCAAUGCUGGAUAUGGUAAGGGUAGCACAAUCAAUUACUCCUAAAAAUUUUUUUGCUCUUGCAUUUUAAAGAUUUGCUUGGCCUUAAAGAUGUAUCUUUUUCUUUGUGAUUCUUGAUUAUCGUAGACUUCACAUCUCCCCUUCAAAAAUGAUUUCCCUCCCUAUAUCCCUGCCUUUCAAUGUGGUCUACGUUGUGUAUUCUGGGCCUGUUGAAUGGCAAGAUCGAGUCUUUGAGCAUGGUAUGUUGCUGUAUUGUUGUUUGGGAGUUCAUAGGAUAGUUAUUACUUCCAUGUGUGCGUGUCUGAAGCCUGUGAUCACCUGUUUCAUUUCUGGUUUACCAACUACAAAUAUUGUAACUAAUGAGAGCCAAAGAGGCCGUAUUUCUUUCUGGUUUGAGGGCCAGAAAUGUUGUAACUAGUAAGAUCCAAAAGGAGCAUUUGGUGGUUUUAUCUUCUUCAGAAGUAAGAAACCAGUAAUUAGGUUGGCCCCUUUGGGUAGUCAAAUCUCCUAUUACUGCCAGAAAUUACGAACUUUCUUUUGAUGUCCCUGCCCUUAACUUAUUAUGUUUAAGAUCUUACGACAAUGAAGUUAGUGAAUAUCGAUCAUAUGCCUUGUGAAGUGCUAUAUUUACAUUUUCUUGCAAAGGAACAUCCAAUGGUCUCUCUUUUACUGACUUAGAGGCCUUGAAUACCAUAAUAAUUGGGAUUUGCCUAGGGCAAAUUUCAGAUUCCUUAUUUUAUUUGAAGUCAGGCUGAUUGAUCGAAGCAUGAGUGCCUUUCUUUUGGGGGUUUUGUUCACGGCCUCUGAACCAAUUUAGUAUGAUUGCAAUUUUUUUUUUCUUCUUUUGGUGCUUGUCCUUGCAUUGACUGUUGAGUCAACUGGCUACCUCCUCGUGUAAUUUCUCUAGCACAAUCGCUGUUGCAAUUUUUUGUAGUUUCUUUAGUAUUUUACUAUUAAAAUGAAGACUAACAGAAGGUUCGGAGGCAUGUGCCUGAAAGACUGUUUGUUCCCCAGCAGGUUGGUUGGUAAAUUCUUGACAUGCUGUAAGGUUAAACCAAUCUACGGUGGAUGCAGCAUGCAAUGGACCUAACUUAUCCAUGACUUCAUACCACACUUUUCUACUUUCUACGCCAUUUAUCUUUUACGAUGGGGGAACUAGGUAGCAAACUGUCAAGGAACAUAGAUGGCAGUUUGAAAAAGCCCCACGCAUAUGUCCCAUUUAGAUUUGAAGUGACACAAUCAGCACUUGGUUCAUGCAUCUUCUUAGUCACUUUCGAUCGACUAACUAUUCCUAGUAAAAUCACAAUUACACAUAAAACACUGGAUAAAUUAUUUUAGUACCCCGAGUCUCUAUCUGCCGACGUACGGCUGUCUGUCUGGUCUGUGGUUUAUUCCUUUCUCUUCUUCUUGGAUAUGGAUCUUUCUCACUACUUUGUGUCUCUUCUAUCUCCUGUUCCAGUAAUAUUCGAUUUUGAACUGCUAGAUGUGGCAGUAAACAUCAUGGCAUUGUUCAUCUGUUUCGUAGAAAAGGGGAAAAGAUGUUACCGGAAAUGUGCAGAAAAUUUCAAAGAGUGCCCAAAUAGUUGUUGGUCCCAUUCAGCGUUUACUCCUCCUUUCCGGAGCAUUUUCCUGGGUAACUUCCUAAGUACCUUGUAGGUGAUACGGCUGCUUUGUACAUAACAGCUCUUCCCUCUAAUACCCGAACAUAAAAGUCCUGUGCCAAAAUAAACAGGCAUAGGAUGGACUCUGAGAACGAGAUGAAUGCUGGAAUUAUGUACGAAGCUUCUUCUUCAAAUUGCGUUGGAUAGAAUUUCAAGAAUGCGGGUGAUUAUCCAGCUGAAAACAAACUCUAUCGUACUUUAAUUUGAUCGCCGAAGUAUUUUGCGAUUUUUUUCUGUUAAAAUCAGUAGUAAAUUGCACUAACUUGUGUGAUAUAAACUGAAAAGUCAAAUUCCAAAAAGUUUAAGGACAUUUUUUUCCCCAGCACACCACCCUAGGUAACUUGCCAAACAAUUUAUCUUUUUACCAGAAAAGACCAUUCCAAACUGGUAUCAAGCACCUUUUGUUUUCGAAACAAACGAGUAAACAUGAAAAUCCAUUCGGGACUCCUGUCAAAUUAGCGAUCGAUGCACGCUUGAUGCGUGUGUAAUGAAUGUAGAAUCCUUCGUUUGAGAUAACGAAUGUAGAAUCCUUCGUUUGACAACAAAAUUUAAAAGUAGUAAAUUUAAAAAGUUAUUGCAACAAAAUAUGAUAACAAUCAAACAAAAAAAUUAAAAGAAGCAAUCACACGCAGUGAUUGACUAAUGAAUCUUUUAAGAAGUGGAAAAUUUUGUUCUAAAUGUACUCUCAUAUUGAGAUGGAACUCCACAAUCAUCUAGAGGAUAUUGUAUUCAACAAUUGAAAAGCAUCAAAAUCUUAUGGCAAGAGAUAGAAAAAAAGAAGAAGAAGUUUCGCACAAAGGAGAUGUAAAAGAAGUUAUUUAUGUGAUUUUGAUUUGUAGUUAGGUGGUGGGGGUAUUUCAUUGUGUGAUGUUAGUGGUUAGUUAGAGUGGGAUUAGUGAUGAGUAGCUAUUUUCUUGAUAAAGGUAAUAUGUACAUGUAUAAGAGAGAGGAGAGUUGAGUUGAAUGAUAAAGAAGGAGAGAUUUUUAGUAAGAGAUUCUGAAUCCAAAAUCUCCUACUUAAAAAAAAUAAAAAAGAGAAUAUAUACACGUCACAAAAGACUAAUCUAAUUUUCAAAUGGUUCAAAUCAACUUUGCAUUUCAAUGUAGGCUCCGUAUGUCUUGACUUGGAGGUGGUUCAGUAUUUUCCGAGUCUCCAGUAACAACGAAGUCGGGUCUAUCUUUUCUUCGUAGUAGUAUAGGAGUAGUCGUAAGCAAAUAUCUAUUAUGUUUGUCAAAAAAAGAAAAAAAAACAGAGAAAACACCUGUGUGUGCAACGUUUUCCCGUCAUAGAAUGUAGAAUAGUCAAUAAUGUUUCAAAUGCGCGGACUACCGAAUCCAGCCACAGUAAAAGUUGGUGUGCACUAUACAGUUGACCCCUUAAUUAUUGAGGUCUGAAUCCUUCUCUCUACCACUACCAGAAGAAAGGGUUCACGAGAUUGAGGUGCGAUUUUUCAUAUAUAUAUAUAGGUUGGAAUUCAAGACAAUCUAAGAUUUGACGUUUCUUGGGUGUUUUUUGUACUCUUGUCACCGUAGCAUUUGCGAAAUUUGGUUGAAGAUUUGAAAACGUGCAGGCUGCAGCUUAGAAAGGAGACAUUUUGGCGAUUAUCCGACGUGAAAAAACAGUGCGGACAAAAAAUACUUUGAUACGUUCGGUGCUCUUUUCAGCGUUUCCCCUUGACAAAUGACUGACUUAUUUUGUAUGUAAAAGGGGUUCCAGUCUUACAAUCUUAAAGGGGAUUCCAAUCACCAUAUGUAAGGAUUAUUUCCUUUCUUUAUACAGUCAUCACUGCACUAAUACUGGAGGUGGCAAAAUGGGCGGGAUGGGCGGGAUUUGCUUGGGUUUGAGAUGGAACCGAGUCAUAUGGGUUUGGGUCCAACCUUACCCAUAUGUGUUUUGGGACUAACUUGGGCGGGAUCAUUUUGGGAUGGGUUUAGAUUGUAUAUAAUUUUAAUAUUUUUGAUUUAUUAAAUUUCUUUUAGUUUUAUUAAAUAAACAUGCAAGUGCUUUAUACUCAAGAUUCCCACCAAAAAUUGGAUUAACAAAUAAAGGAAAAGAUAGAUAUACAGCCAUAUUCCAACAUAUAUCAAGAUGGCCAAGGUCCUUAGGAUGUUGAAUAUUUAUCCUCAUCAUUGUCCAAGGAUGACAGGUCUAAACUAACUGAAAUGCUGGAAAUUCUUGUGGAUAAUGACUAGGAAGACUACUAGAUUAUAUUCGCUGGUAUGACUAUAAAAAUUGUUAAAGAUAAUUUUUGAAUCUAAGACUCCGUUUGGAUUGACUAUUUUUUCAAAAAAUAAGUUUUUCAAAUACAAUGUUACAGUAAUAUACAAUAACUCAAGAAACAUCCCAUCCAUAUUAGUAUAUCAAAUAUUUCAAAAAAAUUUUAUAGUAAAAAUUUUUCAUAUACACGGCUACAAUAAAAUAUUUCAAAAACACCUACCAAAAAUAGCUAAUCCAAACGGAGCCCUUGCCAUUUGAGCCCAAUGGGUACCCAAGUAUUUCCCAUCCUUUCCCAUUCAUUAAUGGGUAUAGUUGGGAUGUGUCCCAACUUAAACCCAAUACCAAAUUAUAAUACCCAUCCCGCCCAAAGUUCCUUUGGGCAUGGGUAGCCCAUUGGGACUUGGGACAAAUUGCCAGCCUCUCAACUAAUACGUACUGACUUGGAGUACAUGGUGUAUUACGCAAGUCAAUUGUAAGCAAACAUUAUCUUAUUUAGUUAAGAAAUGGGUGAUUCAAGGAAAACAAUUAUACUACUAAUACGUUGUUAACUCCUAAAUAAUCUGGCCCACGCUCAACCAAGCCCCACAAGUAGCGGGAUGUAUUAAUUGUCAGUAAACGGGUUGAUGUUUAAAAGCCGGAAAUUCUCUCCGUCAAAUAGCUGACCUCAUCAUCCUCUGUGCCCCCCCCACUGGCACAGUGCUUAAUUACGAAAAGGUGUCUUGAUUGGAUGAAUGGAACAGCAUCAUUACCAAUCAGACAUUAUUAAUUAGCCAAAUGCAGAAUACGACACAAAUUUUUUGCAAUGAAGUAUUUCUUCUAAUCAUACCGUGAUAGUAACGUAGUAAUACUACCCUUGCUGGCUAAUUAAUUGAUGCCAAAGCAUUAUUAUUAUUAUUAUUAUUAUAGUGUACCAUGAUAUUGACACCAUCCACAGAAUGCAGUAAAAAUUAUCCCACAUCAGGCAGUAAAAGUCUGAAAGUACACGCAAAAGACAAAACAGGAGAGAAAAACACGCAGUUUCUAAUCUAGAUAGUCUAUGGUAAAAUUUCACUUAAUACAGCAGAUUAUUAGGCUGCUGGGCUGUAGCAACAAGAUCGUCCAUCAUCCAGAGAUCAACCGGGUCCGAUUCAGUGAUCCCACCAAACUGAGAUGUUGCUGUGGUGGUCGUCUCAGGUUCUAAGCCCAGGAAAGAUUCCAAGCUGGAAAAUUGAUCCCCAUACUGAUAAUCUUGAUCAGUCACUUGGGACGGAUAGUAAGGCUGGGGUUGGAAGCCAGGGUCCACUACUGGCGGGGUUGGUCCAAUUGACUCCAAGAUCUCCUGAUCAGGCUGAGGAUAAUAAGCCGGCGGUGGCUCAGGGGUGACACAACGCCGCUUGGCCAGUGGCUGCCGAGGUGGUGUCGGCUGUGAUGGGGUGGUUGGUGGCGGCUGAUCAUCAGCAACAAAGUUGAGUUUAGCCUUGUCGCCCCGGAUGCGCUUGGCUGCCUUGUCAUAAGCCCUGGCUGCUUCUUCAGCUGUGUUGAAUGUGCCGAGCCAAACUCUAACGCCCUUUUGUGGAUCGCGAAUCUCAGCUGCCCAUUUUCCCCAUGGCCUCUGUCUGAUCCCUCUGUACUUGUUCUUCCUAGGCUUCUGACUGAUCUUCUCAGACUUCUGAUUACCUGCUCCUACACUUCCAAAAAAAUCACUUCUUCUUGCUAAUACUACAUCAAUAAUCAUUCAAGUUCAACAAAUUCUUUCAAGUUGUUGUGUUGUAGCAUGAAAAAUUGAUCUACUAUGUACACGUACAUAUGUCAAUCUCAGAAUUACCUAUGCAUAAUACAUACAUGCAGCUACACCGUAUCAAAAUAUAUAGGUGGAUAUAAUAUAGUAAUACUUUGUACGUAUGGAUUUGUGAAAACCCUGAUGGAGUUGUUACGGUAAAGAAAUACUUAUUAGUAAAUAUGUUUAGAGCCAUCCUAAAUAGUAAAUACGCAGUCCCUAAGAAAGUAGAUAAUAAUAUAAUUGGAAACUAAAAGCCUAUUAUAUGUAAGCUUGCUGAAGUAUGCAUACAUACAUAUCAAAAUAUAGGAGCGUCCAAGUAUGCAGUAGAUGUAUUUACAUGUACGUAUGAAUCAUCAACAUAAAUCAUUUUCUGAGCGCGCAAUUAAUUAGGUCGUCAUACAACUAUUAUACUUUAUUAUUGGAGUAUUAUUAUUAUUUUUUUGGUAAUUUAUCCAAAAAUGGCAAAAAAGUACAUAAAGGUAGCAAGUGGUAGUAAUAAACCAAGAUGAAUGAUAGUAUCAGCAGAAAAUUCAAAGAUAUGUAAGCUAGUGGCAGUAGAUUGUGUUCAGGUAAUGGGGGGUGAGUGGACCGACCUUUCUUUGGGUGCUUGUUCUUGUCAGUGGCCUUGGUAUCUGCAGCCUGGCCAGAAGGGUCGAAGCCCCAGAAGGGAGAGAUGGUGUCAAACUCAGCCCACAGUUCUUUUGGGGUUAACUUCCGGCCGGGGUUGAUCGGAGACCCCCCGGAAAUGAUUGCACCUCCACACAUCUUUCUUUUUUUUUGUUGGUUGUUCUUGUUGUCUGGCAGAAGAAGAUGGUAGGAAAAAAGUUUUCAGAGAAAACUGAAGAGGAGGAGGAAAUGAAAUGAAAAAGGAGGAAUAAAUAGAGCAGAGAGAGAGAGAGAGAGAGAGAAGGAGAAGCGUUACGUAUUGAGGGUCUUAGUGUUGUGUUUUGUUACGUGAUUUUACGAAAGAGGGGACGGUUACGAAUCAAUAAUCAAAGGGAAAAUGACAAGUGAGGAGAGCUGAACCCAGACUUUGUUUUUAUUCGGAUUGUAUAUUUUAUUUAUAUACAUAUAUGGGAUCAAACGGUGGAGAGAGGGCCCAUCCAUUUGAUGUUGAUGAUGUGAUGUAACGUAACGGGGAAAUUUUCUUUUAUUUUUUUUUGUGGGUCCAGAUGAGAUGAGAUGUGUGAUGAAAUUAUGCACAUCAAAUCAGUAUUGAGAUUUUUGCAAGUUGGCAAGGAAAUUUGGGUAAAUUUGAGCUACCGUAUUUCGGUGCUCAAAACUCUGAUUUUCAUUCCGCUUACUUUAUUUUAAAUCUUGUUUAUAACUCUAAUUGAGUUCCAAAUUUCAAAGGCUGGUUCGCAAUGGGUGCGGUUUCUGCAAUUGGGCUAUUUUAAAAGAUAUACUGACAAAAUAAAUAAAUGUAAAUAUUAAUGCAUUAUAGCAUGUAAAAAAAAAAACAACAACUUUAGAAUUAUUUUGUUACAAUUAAUUUCAUCUUUCAAAUUUAUAUUGAGCACAUCUGGGUUAUUUUUUUUUUCAGACAAAAAACACAUCUGGAUUAUUAAUUGCAAUUGCUUUGCCUAUCGCAUAGAACCCAUCCUUGCAAGAGGGUGUGGGAUGUUGGUCCCAACCCUCCUUCCCGAUUUGGAUACGUCAAAUUAUGAGAGGUCUUUUUUAACAAUAAAAUUAGGAGAUUUUUUUCUGAAAUAAUAAAAAUGUGAUAUUAAAUGAGUUGAUUCCUGGUACAUAGUACUAAUACUAGUUUAUUUUCUUUGGAUUUUAGACCAUAUGAAAGAAAGCAUUGCCACUAUAAUAUAAAUAAUAAUCACAUCAGAAAAUUCUGCCCCCCAAAAAAAGGCAUUAAAAGAAAGAUGACAAUCGAAGAUUAUAUCCCAAAAAAGGAAAAAAAAAAAGAGAGUAAAGAUACACUAUUACUGUCUCAGAAAGAACCAAUAAUGUCGACAUAGUGGCACCAACCUAAAAGCCACACGCAGUCGAAGGCCCCAAAAAACUUGCUUUUGGGCUGACCCAUCUCGUUUUCCACAAAUAUUUUCUUGACACAUUUCUUAAUUACUUCACAUGCAUCACGGUAUAUUUUUUUUCCUCAAAAAACUUACAAUCCAAACGGGUUAUCAUCUAAUAAGCAUUAAUUAAAGUUUAAAUGGAUUUAGGAGACAAAUAAUGAAGUAUAUUAUGAUUUGUCCAUCAAUAAUUCCGUUUCUUUCUUGUCAAAAAAAAAUAAAAAUGCAUUAGUAGAACUCAGAAAACAGAUCAACAAGGCGCAUUUCUCUUAUCCCACCAAGGGCAAGGGCUAGUUUACUUCGGGAAAUAUAAUAAUAUGACAUCAACUGCAUGUAGCAGUGCCGCAAAAGGGCAAACUUCACGAGGCACAGCGCAUCAGACUAAAUGGCUUUUAGGGAGCGGGGGUUAGACUGCUGAGACUUGUCUCGAACAGAAAGAAACGCUUCUUUUGUUAUUGCCUCCCAACAUUUUCUAUGCCUUCUUCUGAAGAAACAGCCCAAAAGUUCCACAUCAUCCGUGGGAAACCGUUCCUUAAGAGGAGGCCAAGGUUAUGUCAUUCACAACCCUACAAGCUUCCAAUGCAAUAAUCUUCCCAAACAAAACAUAUGAUAUGAUAAUACCCAACAACUAUCACUCCAAUAAUUUCGUUGAUCUCUGAUUGCAUCUGGGGUCUGGCAAACUUAGCAUAAGCAGAAGACAAGAAUACGUUGUCGUGCCAUGCUCCAUAGGCAAAGCCCUGGGAGUUUUGAGGGGAAACUUAAGACCUGAUCCCUUGCUCACAAGUCACAAUAACACAACACUGUGAGGAUCUUAUACCAUCAAUUUACUCGGUCACCGUGGAAUUUAGUACUCACCCUUUCGUAUAAAACCUACAUGAAGAUAUCAAUGAAUGUAUAGCAUAAAUUUUCCAUGAAACAAUAUAAUAUUUUGUUCCUCAUUCAUCAUCUCAGCCUCAAUCUAAUGAAACAUGUGUGUUAUACAUGACUAUAAAAUAUCACCUAUAAUGGGUGUAGACCCAAUCAACCAAACAAAAGCAAUCUUUUAGCAGACUAACAUAUAUAAUCUCUCCAACAAAUCGCAUUAAGUGGGAAAUUAUCAAAUGUAAAGCGCAGUUGUACACCAAAGGCCACAGAGACAACAUCUGCAAGCUCGUCUAGUCAGCCAUUUUGGUUAACCGAUGAAUGGUACUUCUUGCAACCCUAUUACCAGGAUCAAUUCUCAUAACACUUCUGAGGUCUUCAGCUCCAAGCUUGUACUUCUCCAUACUCUCGUACAAAAGAGCACGUUGCACCAAGAUGUUCACAUUUUUGUCAUCUUGUUCUAGCGCCUGCACAAUCCAAUGGCCAAAAAGUCUCUUACUUGGAGUGAACCGCAAAAACUCCUCAGCACGAUAUUAAAAGAUCAAACAAGAACCAGCAUAUUUAUUCACCAGCCCCAAUUAAUAUUCAAAAAAAAAAAAACGAAAAAGAACAAACAGAAAGAUGCAUCAGUGUCCCGUGGAUUUUCAUUACCUUCCUGCAGAUGCUCCCAGAAAACACCACCUACAUUUUUGUCAGCAUAAACCAGGGGAAGAAGGAAUAGUAUCUUAAAUUACAGGUUUUCUCUAAGUGGCUAUGCCAACUGCAUACUAUUUCCAUAAACUGCAAAUACAGAUCUCGUGAAGGGACAUCAACUUAUACAGGAAGCACAAAGUGUAGAAAGAAAGGUUCAACAAAACUUUGACCUGGUCUGAAGCCUAUACCUAAGUAGCUUGCUCGUACAUCCCCUCCCCCCGCCCCCAAAAAAACCAAAGAAAAAAAACCCCGAAAAUCCCCAACAAAAGGUAUCAUGCAUAGAUGUAAACAGAAUGGAUCCACGCGGCUAGUUAGGCAAGGUGAUCUCAAUAGCAACAAUAAUAAUUAAUAAAUACAAAGGAAAGGGGCCUUAAAUAGUUUCCAUUUCAAUAAUGUGAGACACAAGGGUGUUAUAAUAGCAGUAUCGUUUUCCAAAGGCUCUCAAUGCCCCGUUCAAGCCCUUGACCAACCUCUAAACUGUUCACUAAAAGGUCUUGACUGUAGUUUGAUCCAUGCUGAUCAAGUAUGAAACUUUAAAUUUAGUCAUGGAAAGACCGACUAAAACUUCCUAGAAAAAUACCUGACAAGUCUCUUUAUAAAACAGUUUUCAUACUGUAGCAACUUGGGACUAAAUAUACAAUUCUUGAUCCAAUUAACUAGUCCUCCAAUAUAUCGGGGAGCUAGUCUAUGAAAGAGGGAUGGUUCAACUCUAACUUGCACAAGUAGUUUCUUUAGCAGUUGAAGUGCCAUGCCAACAUUUAAGUAUGUCACAGAAACAAGAGCUGCUACCCCUAUACUCACAUAAAAUAAAAAUUCUUGAAGUUAUCUGCCAGAUAAAACGCAAAAUUCACCAGUUACUUGACGAAGUUCAGUGCUCAGACUAGCUAUAUUUUGGGAAGGUGCAAUUACAGGGCUAGUUAUUUUGGCACAGCAAUUCAACCUGGAAAAGCACCGAAAAUCAUGAAAAAAUGAUUUUGAAGAAAAAUAAUAUACCUUUGUGCAAUCAGCUACAGCUUUCUUAUAUUCACCAACUUCUUUGUAACAUGCAGCUCUGCAUGUCAAGACGUCCAUGAUGCCAGUAUCAUCUCCAGCUUUCUCCAAAAGAACGACGGUCCAAGACAACCAUUUUAUGGCGUCAGCAAACUGGCCCUGCUUGUAAUUGUCUAAUCCCUUAUUUUUCGCAGUUGAAGCACUAACACCAGCAGGUGGGGGUGGAAGUCCUUCAAGUUCGGUUGUCCCACCUGUGUCAUGGCCAUUGAAGUCCGAUUCGAAUCCCCAGUCAUCGCGCCCAGAAGAAUCCUGGCUUUUAAAUUCAGCACCGCUGCCUGGAGUUGUCGUAAACAAUGCAUCAAAACUAUCAACACCAGUGGACUGACCAGAUGGUCGACUAUGAGGCUGACUACUAGGGAACCCAAAAUCAUCAAUAUUCGAAAAAGAACCUCCUGCACCUGGCCCAGCAGUAUUAUGGUUCCCCGAAGGAAAACUACUUGGCUGACUCUGGGACGGAGUACUAAAGAACCCAAAAUCGUCAACAUUUGAAUAAGAACCUCCUGCACCUGAUCCUGUCGAGUUGCUUUUUCCUGAGGUAAAACUACCUGAAGGAUGUGCAACUCCACUUGUUUUUGAAGCACUCUGAAAACUUUGAAAUGCAUCAUCUCCAACUUUACUACUAGCACUUCCUUUACUCUCUGACUUCAUAUUACCACUCGGUUUAGACGAAAAAUCAACUAAGGAACCAAACGGGUCCUUAUUUGAACCCAUCCCACCCAAUCCUCCACCUCCAGCCAUACUCUUCACAGAAGGACCACCAAGAUUUGUUCCUUUACUAGCAUUCCCAUUCAAGUUAACAUUCCCUCUAUCACUGUUGUUACUGCUAAAUCCACUCGUAUAAGUCCCGAAAGUUUCACUAGACCCCCAAUUUCCGCUACUUUUUGUUGAAUUACCCGUUUUGGGCAAUGAAUCCGCCAUACCCCCCAUUGAAAAUGAGCUCUUAUUCGACGCCGGAGCUGCAUUUUUCAAAGGCACAUUACUAUUGCCCUUGUUCUGACCCAAUGCCGAGCCAAGCAAAUCACCAAACAAGUUGGGAUCUUUGUUAACAACUCCACUCCCAGAAUUCAAACUGCUAGCUGGGGCAGAUGAACCCCAACUCUUCCCAAAAAUAUCCCCCACCAUCGAAGUGGGACCCGAUAGAGAUCCUGUCCCAGCUGAUUGAGCCGGAGCAGCUGGUUGGUGGGUCCAUGAGGGUUUGUUAAUAGGCUGGUGAGUCCAGGACGGCGUCGUACUGGGCUUUGCCUGAGCCGAUGAAUAUGAACCAUAUGAAGAAGUCUGGUUCUUUUGAUCGUUAAGAGAUCGAGAACCCGACUUUCCAAGACCCAAAUCGAAGUCGAAACUAUUUAAGGAUCCCGAUUUGCUAUUGGAUUUUCCGUAGUUUGAAUUCAUUUUCCUCCUCUAGAUGUGAAUUAUGUUUAGGAAGUUUGGGCUAAUCAAAUUAAAGCCAGAUAAAAAAUCGAAAACUAAACGUAGAUGAUCCGAAAAUAUAGAUCAAACAACGAACUACUAAAAGAAAGAAAGAAAGAAGGGAUCUCGGAUGGGUUCAGUAUAUACCUGAUGGAGUUAAAAUUGGAAUUUGCAGAGAGGUUAAAGAAAAGCUUGGACCGCGUAAGGCUGAAAGGAGCUCAGAGCCACCGCUGGAGAGAAACCAAGUCGGGGGGAAUAAGAAAUGCGACGGGACCGCGAGUUGGAGCAGGAGCUGGCUAAUUAUUUGUCAUGUUUGAUCCGGUUUACCAAUUUAGCGACUGAGGCAAAUUUUUUAAAAUUUGCAAAUCCCCCCAAUGAGUUACUCCUGUAUGUUAUAGGAGUACAUCUACGCAACUUGAACAUAAAUGACAAUUUCCGUUAAUGUUUAGUAAAUAUCUGCAUGGAAUUAUUUUUGAGAUCUUGAACAAUUUAAAUAAUGAUUCCCAUUACACACGAAAGUCAUAAAGUGAUGUGUUUAAAGAUUAAAUCCAUCAAUUUAUUUGUAGGUUGACCAUGCUCAAGUUCCAUUUAUGUCAGAUGAAUCUUAAGAGUGUGUUUGAAUAACAAAUCAUUUGGGAUAAUUUUUUUUAAACUAUUGUAGCGCUUUUUCUUGUAAUGUAUGUAAGAUAAAAUGGUAAUUGAAAAAUGUGUUGAUGAUAGAAACAAAUAAAAUUUGAUGAAUAAUCACUAUCCAAACAAAUAAAAUUGUAGGGUUUUACCAUGAAAUGUUUUUCAAUAUUAGGCUUCUUUAUUGUUUCGUUAGGUGAUUGACUAAUUACUUUUUUUUUCUCUUUUUUUUUUUUGAAGCAAAAUAGGAGCACCUGAAAUACCCAUCAUUUACAAGAAAGAUGUAGGUACGCUUCUCAAAUUUAGAUGGAAUUUUAGAGCAGUCUGUUUAAGCUUUUAGGAAGAUUGAUAUAUUGACUAACUGCAGCGAAAUGAGGGUUCACUAUCAUUUUUCACAUGAAAUUGGCAAUUAAUCUCACCUCCAACUAAAUGAAAUACACUUCUUUUGUUGCUUUUACGUUGAUAUUAUCCUCUAUUACCAAAAUUAUACACUUCUUUUUUUGGUACAAACGAAAAUAUACACUUAUUUUGAGGUUUUUAAAAGCAUUGGCAUUGAAUAGCCAAGAUAUUUCUGAAUAGUCACAAAAAGAAUAGUCACAAAAAUUAUCCACUUCUUUUUCUGGUACAAACGAAAAUAUGCACUUAUUUUGAAGUUUUUAAAGCAUUGAAAUUGAACAAUGUAGCCAAGAUAUUACUGAAUAGUCACAAAAAGAAGACAACCGUAUUUCUAUCAGCUAGCACAUGUGCUGAAAGAUAAUUUUUCCCUAUCAACUUUUGCAACGAAAACAUCAAAGGGGAAAGCAAGCAAGGUAAGAAUAUCUUGCAAUUCGCACCGGCUUCACUUCGAGACACUCUUCUUCAAAUCCUUAAGGUGCAAGAUGAGCAGCAAGGCUUUUCAAUCCCCAAAUACACAUUUGUAGUCAGUACAAGGCAAGAAGAGGCAUUUUUUCCGUUUUGACUACAUAACUUAGAUGUUUGUUGUUCAUCACCAUCUAACUUCUCGAGAAACACAGCAACCGUCACCAUUUCCAGUUCUAUCUCUUAUUAAUCGGACAAGAAUUCAAGGUUCAAAAGGAACUUAUAGUUGCAGUUAAAGAAAAUGCCUCCUGAAGUUUCAGUUACUUCAAGGGCCAUUCUACUAAAUCAAGUAAAAUACCAAUUACAAAAGAUCCCAAUGGAUAUUCACACGAGUUCUGACAUGCCAGGUAACAUGCAGUCUUUCCUAACCAGCUAACUUGACAAUACAUGACGGGCCAAAUUACUAUCCAUCCCUCAAGCUUAACUAAAUUCAGAGGAGUCUCAUAUUUCAACAACUAUGAUUUUCAGGCAUUUUUCCCCUGAAACCCUCCCUGGUUUGGUUGAUAACCACCCUCACCACCCUGAGGUACAUUCUGGCCAUUCAUUGGUGUUGGCUGCUGCGGCGCUGCUUGCUGAUUUGGAGACCAGGUCUCUCUUCGAAUAGGCUCUCUCCUUUCAACCUGCAUUGUCUCGCGUCGUCUAUCAUACCGUGGACGAGGCCUGUUCCUGGUUUGUUGCCUCUCAUUGAAUCUAUAUUGUGGCCGAGGAAUAACCUUUCCAUCAACAAAAAGAUCCCCUAUAACAAAUCCAAAAACAGCACCAAGAAAUGUUUGAUUACCAUGAAAAAGUAAUAGAGGAAAUGUAAGGACAUAAAACAUUUAAAUUUCCACUCUGCUAACCUCCAUAGUCCUUGUUGGGAACAUCAAGAUAGGAAUCAGGCAAAACCCACAGAACAUCUGGUAAACCUAUUUCAAGACACGCAACGUGGAAUUAGUCCAAAAAAACCUCAAAAGUAAUCUAGAACAAGCUAUUUUUUGUCCAAUCUCAAAUUAAUUACUUUAGCAAAAAUAAAUCAAAAGUUUGAUUAAGCCAGGAACAUUAGCAAAUAACAUGUUCAGAUAGUCAGGAGAUAUAAACAAAAAAUAACUGUUCCGGCCAACAGUUUCCAAAGAAUGUAGAACAUUGAACACAAUUCCCAUAAGUGUACAUUCAAUUGAAUAUCUCAAACAAUGACUCUACAAUUACGACUGUAAACAAAUGAUAAGCAUAUACUAGACCUUUUAAAACCCAUCAAGAUCCUGAUACUGCAGGAAUAGGUUGGAAAAAUAGAAUACAUAUCACAAUGUGACAUCCCUUGCUUCUUCAAUUUUCUUCUGUACAGAAGUUGCCAUAUGAUUGUUUUGAAUUUUAUUGCUACAGAAGAUGAUGUUUUUCCUUCACCUAAUUCAGACUAUUAGAACAAAGCAAACUCUGAUCCUCCAAAAGGGGAAAGAUCAAGAACAAAGUAAACUUCACCCAAACCCGAAAAAAUAAACACAAAAAGACAUAGCAAGUCAUAAAAUAACUAUGACACUUUAUUGAUAUCAAAAUCUCUCCAAUUACCAUGGGGCAUUGAUUACCUUUAACUUUGUAUGAGAGCUCCUCAGAUAUCAAAGCACCAAAUCCAGUGUAUGUUGUUGUGCAAACAGAGUAAAUUUUCUUCUUUGCCUCCUCUUCACUGCAUAAUAAACAAACAAGACCCGACACAAUCUCAGAUUAACAACUGUAUGUUGAACCUUUAGAUAAACUAUGGCUAUUAAGCAACUAGGGGAAACAUUUCCAAAACCAAUGGCCCAAACCUAGUGCCAAGCAGCACACAGUUACGUACAUGAAGUUCUCACAAACAACUUAUUGACACUGAUGAUUAGUUCCAUUUACUAUAUUUUCAGGCAGAUAACAUUACAGUAUGCUGAAAUGCCAAUUCAUCAAAAUGCCAUCUAACCAUCCUAUACCGAAAAACAUGCAUUCAAUCUGAAAAUUGUACAUGCACUAGUAGAUGUCGAUGACAGAGUGGAAAAGUAUAGCAACAUUCAUACUGGAAACAGGUAAAACUAAAUGCCAGAAACGUAUGAUAAGAAACUGCAUUGAGUACAUGAAUUCCUCUUUUUUGCCACACUUUCCAGUACAAAAAACAUGCAGAGGAAACUUAAGUAAACAGGUUAAAGAAUCAUACUUUAUACAAAGAUUUUCCAACAAUAUCAAUGCCAUGCAAUCAUAAAUAUUUCCUAGUUUGGGUUUUGCAUCUCAAGGAUAAUCCCUUGAGCAAAGCACACAUAAUGUUUGUUUAAAAAAAUUACAAGCUGAAUUAAAAGAUCCCCUUUUUUCUUUUUUUUUGGUUCUGCCUUUCUCUUGUCAGCGAUUUAUCAUCAAGCAAUUAGUUAAAAACACAUAAACUAACAACAAGUACAUCAAUUAAGUUCAAGGGCAUUAUGCCUUAAAAAAUCUUGGAAUUUCGUCAUAAGCUAAACUAUUUUUUUUUUUCAUUUUUCUUUCCAAAAAAUUAAUUACUACGCCACGGUUCAAAUCUAGUAAAACAUAAAUAAUUGGAUAAAAACGAUAAUCAUGUCAAGAAUCUAAGCAACAUGUGGUUACACACCGAGAAAAAGUAAUUGUACCUUCCAACAACAGAGGCUAGGGUUUUAACAUAAGUGUUAACCAUUUCUUCAUCCGAGGGUUUGGGGUCAUUUGGGAACUCCAUAACGAUAAGCCAGUGUUCAUAGUCGCAACCGUCGAGGAGUAUCGUCUCCUUCGGCGGUCGGUUGCUCCAGUUGGGUGACGGGUCAUUUAGGGGAGAGUAGCCCGACCCAGAUGUUCUGUUCCGGGUUAGGAUGUUAUACGGGAUCGGGGCCGCCUCUGGGGUUUCGUUAUGGAGAUUGAGGAGAGGGACAGUGAGGCGGGCACGAGAAGGAGAUGAUACGGUGCGGCUGAAAAGGGUGGCUAAUGUGCGCCGGGCGGCGAAUAGCGCCAUGGGUGCUGCUGCUUCUGGCUACAGAGCAUUGACGAGAUGGUUGGGCUGUUUUAUUCAUCUACUCAUGGGAGAAAUUGCACUUUGGCCCUUCAUGUUUGGAUUUGUUCUUUUUCUGCUAUUUUCUUUACUCAUUCUUGAUACUACUUCAAGAAUUGAAUUUAAACAAGUCGAACGCUUUCGUGUAUAAUCAAUAAUUAAUUUCUUACUUAGCUUGACAAUCAAUGAUUAGUUCUUUUAUUUUGUUUUGAUGAGGGAGGUAAAUGAGUUGUAUAUACUGAACACUAACCAAUCGUUUAUAAGCACAGUUUCACUGAGUAAGUUUGACUUAAAAAUAUUGGGGAGUUUGGAUAAAGAAUACAAGGCCUUGUUUGGAUUGCUGUUUUUCAUCGAAAAAUUACGUCGUUUUUCGUAAUCACAUUUCCCUGUUACCUUUUUCCUUCACAUACAUCAAAUCGCUACAGUAAUUUUUUCAUGAAAAAUCAUGAAAAAUGCAAUCCAAACACAAAUCCAUUAAUGUGCAGUAGAUAGCAAAUUCAGCUCAAUCUCAAAAUUAAUCCAAGUUUAUUUGGACCAAUCCAUUAAACCAUGUUGGUUUUAAUUUGCCUAUUCUUUGUCCACAUAAUUUGCAUGGAAAUGAGGGACAUAAUUUUUUCCUUCUUUUUUGGUCUCUCUAUAUAUGUAAUUUGUCAACAAUGAGAGGCAACAGAUCGAAAAGGGUAUUUUGAGCGAAUGUACAAAUUUAAAUGAGGGGCAGCAUGCUGUUUCCGGGCAGCGAUUGCAUCUAAAAUUAGGGUCUGUUUGGAUUGGACUUUAUAUUUGGAAUAAUUAUUAUAGCACGUUUUGUGACGUAAAUAUAAUAUAUGUGAGAUAAAAAAGAUGAUUGGGAAAAUAAAAGUGUAUGGUGAAAAAUGUGUUUGUGAUACCAAACAAAUAAUGUUUGUGCAAAUGAUGCCUAUUUCCCUGUCCUAACAAGAAUGCUUUCUCUAUUUCCGUCCUUGCAAGAUCUUCAGUUUUGUGCAUGCAGUAGCACUUGCAACAUUCUCCCCGUUCGAUCUCCAUAUCCUAUUCGCCUCUGCAUAUAUAUAUUGACAGCCCCUCCCAUCCCCAAAAAAAAACAAGAUUCAGCUUCUAGAAAGCAGAAAUACUUCUUUCCCUACACAUCUGUUUGUUCUUUUUUUACUGGAAAUGUAUCUAUAAUAAACAAGGAGUAGGGGUUUGUACACCGCUAGAGAUAACUUGCGCAUUAGCACAAAUGGAGGAAAGCCUAGCGCUCCCCAUGUUCCUGAGAUUGAUGUUGGUAAAAUACAUAUUUUGGCAAGGAACCGAUGGGCUGCACUUUAGACUGAUAGCAGAUUCUGUGCUUGUGGUUCCCCUUAUGUUUUCAUAGACAACAUCGGUGAUUCUUACUUGAGAUGGCUGCAUAAGAUUAAACAAUCAAAAUCAGAAUUGGGAUUUCUUUCUUCUUCGCAAGGGAGAUUAAUCACUUCAUAUUGGCUUUCAUUGAUUGAGGUCUGUAGCUUAAUUUGUUUACACAGCUGGAGAGAGAGAGAGAGAGAGAGAGAGGUUAACCGAUCGACCUGGGUGGAGGAUCCGCCAUAGUUUUGGUCUAUGAUGAUGGGGUUCAACACAUUUUCCAUGACAAUAUCGCUGAAACGCAUCCCUGCAGCAACACUUGGACCUGAUCCUGCGUAUGUUUUAAUUCUGAUACCAUUUGUAGUGCCUUGCAGUGUGCAAUUUUUCACAAUCAGCCCUCUCACAUCCAAUUCAUUUGGAUACUUGCCCAGGCUACCUAUGCUGUUUCAUGAACAAUAAUAAUUACUAUUAACCCGAAAAAGGAAAAAAAAAAAGUUAUUAACCAAGAAUGCAAUCACCAAAAUGAGCUAGCUAGAUUUUGAUUCGCACGACGAACCAAUCAUCAUUAAGCAAACAACUUUACUUUCGUGUAAGCCAAAAAAGCACCUGAUGCCAUGUCCAGGGCCGCAGGUGACUUUGUUAAUGGUGACAUUAGUGGCUCCCGGUCCAAUAGAGACACAAUCGUCGCCUGUUCUGAUUACACUUCUGGCUAUCUUCACAGUGUUAGAUUUGCUUACGUGCAUGCCGUCGGUGUUGGGACUAUCUGGAGGCGCAGUAAUGGUGAGGCUAUGUGCUCUAAAUAGGUAGCUGUUUGUAACGUGCAUGUGAAAUCCCAUGGCGUUUACCAAGCUGAUACCCUUGAUUUUUGCAUUCUUCACACCAUUAAAGUGGAAAGACUGCACAAAUUCAUCAAAAAAAGAGCUGGAUUAUGUGACAAUUUUUGGACGAAGAAUUGCAACCUCGCAAGACUCAGUUUAUUUAGGUGCUUACGGCUGGUAAAUGCACGCAAUCACCAUUAUUUUUGCAGUCAUUGUAUUGCCAUACAUUCUGGCCGCGGCCAUCAAUGGUACCUCCGCCAGUAAUUACCAAGCCGCUUAUCGUGUCGAAAGAAAUCCAGCCUUGACCGGAGUAUGCAGAAACAUCAGACACGGCUUGUAAGGUUCCGGCAACCUGGAAAACGAUGGGACUUUGGCUGCUGCACGGCCCCUCAAAUGUGACCUCUCCGAGCGUGAAAAUCCCUGGAGGUACAAACAAACUUGCCCUUGGUCCAACGAAUUUACAUGCAGCAUUCCAUGCCCUCAUGAAAGCCUGCUGGGACGCAAUUAUGGAAAAUUAUUCAUCUAUUUAUUUUGUUUUGUUUUUUUUUCUAUUCUAGCAAUCUGUAAAAGGACAAAUCAUAAUCCAAUAUUCACCUGGGCACUAUCUGUAUUGCCGGGCUUUGCACCAAAGCUGACCACAUUAAAGAUGGCAGGAGGGGCGGGCCGCGGAAUGCCGCCAGCUGCAUUGCAAGAAGCCAGAGACGAACAUAAAACAAGGACCGUAGCAAUUGUGCUGCUGCUUCUUCUAUCCAUGGCCAUUUUACCUCCCGCAGCAACCCUCAAAAUUAAAACCGGUCUCCUCCUCCAAUUGUCUCUAUAAAUUGCUUGUUUGCUCCCACCCCAGGGAUUUUAGAUGUUGAAAGGGCAAGAGCUCUAUCUCUCUCCGAUAUCUUUGUGUUUGGUUCUUUUUAUAAUUCAAAAGCAAUCAUUGUUCACACUCCAUAGUUAUCGGCAAUGCCUGUAUAUUGGCUGUUCGGACGCUGCGGACGACCUUAAGUUUACGUUUUGUUCUUGUUCUUGUUUCGGCUUGUCCCCGAAAUUGAGGGCUGUUAUUUAGUCACCCUUUUAAGUUCCUUCAAACAUAGCACUAAUUUAUUAGCCGCCGGGCCAUCCACCUCUCUCUUUCUCUCUCACGCCCGCAAACUUUGGUAAUUGACCUCUCGCCUCUCAUUUUCAUCGAGUCCACCCAUAACUGACAUUAACGCUCGCCAGUUUUAACUUCCUGAGAACCUUAUUAAUUGUACAUGUCUCAAGCCACACGGUGGACUGUCACCAAGUAAUGAUCAUGGUACUAAGUCAUAUGUUGACUACUGUCACAUGAUGCACAGAGAUUAUGAAAUUCCCUCUCUGCGGUUGCCCUACCCAGCUAAUUAACCUCGGAUUAACAAACCAAAUGCAAAGGGCAUGUAUGAUUAAUUUUCAUGAUUAGUAUGGCUAUUAAAGCUUGCUCUUCUUUUUUUUUUUUUUGAUAAGAAAGCUUGCUCUUCGUUGAUCUUGUAGACAUAAAAAUGGGAAGUGUUUUGGAUACGUCACUCAUCAAUAUAUACUUUUUUUUUUAUAAAAAGGAACUUGGGUGGAAAUAUAUAAUCAUGGGAUUGGGACCGGUAUGAUUAACAUGGUACAAGUGAUAGAGUUGUCGUAUUUUUUUUUUAUUUUUUUAAUCAUCUGGAAUAUACUUACGGACAUAGUGUACUCAUACUUCGAAUUAGUGUAUUAUCAACAAAAUUUAUUCGCACAACAGAAUAAUGUAAGGAUAAACCAUAUCUAAUAAAAAGGGGAUAAUUUCAGAAAUCUCCCUGAGGUUUCUGAUACUUUCAUUGAUCUCUCCUGAGGUUUUAAAAAUUACACUAACCUCUUUUGUUGGAAAUUUGGACCCAUUACUUAUAUAAGAUAUAGUGAACGUACUACUUUGCCCUAACACAUUAUGCAUUAUUACAAAUAGAUAUUUGACAAAAAAAAGGUUAGGGCACUGAAUAAUAAGAUUAACUAAUUAAACCAAAAAAAUGAUUAUUUCAUCUCAAAUUAGCAGCCAUAAUUACAAUAAAAAAAUGACACCAAUUGCUAUCCUAAGAUGGCGCUAUUUUUGUGAUUAAUAUCACUUAACAAUGGUCAGGACAGACAACCUUAUAUAAUUUGCACAGAUAGAUUUUAUGAGCAAGAGAAAUAGAACAAUUUUCUGAUUGACUUCUUUUGUCAAAUCUUGUGUUCAGACAAAACUAUUCAUGCCUUUUGUUGUUGAUUUGUUGACUAAGACUUGUAUGUUUUUUGCACCAAUGCUUUUCCUUUCACCUCGUCAACUAAAAUAAAAAGAUUAAUUUUUUACCCAAAUUAAGAUGCUUCUACUACUAAUUUAAUAGCAUUAUAGAGUUAGUUGUGUCUUUUAUGUGCAGUUGCAAAUGACAAAAAAACAAUUUGUGCUAGCUAUGUGCAGAGACCAUUGUUGCUUCAGGUUAUAGUUGCUACAUCUUUUCAAAUUUUACGUAUGUCCCUUGACUUUUCAAAUUUUACCGAUACAACUUGAGGACAAUUAGAAAAGGGUAUAUAUGAAAAAAAAUUAUCAUCUCACUCUUCAAAAUACUUUUUUAAUAGUACUUUUUUGAAUUGGACUGAUUAGGUACCAAAACUUUAAGUUAAAGAGAGAUUAGUGUUUUUUUUUAAAAAAAAACUUCAAGGAAGGUCAGGUUUUUAUCUGUUUUAAACAUCGGAUUUCCUUUAUUUUGCUGGAUCCGAUUUAUGAACUUUCCUCACAUUCCAAACUUUUAUCCAUGUGGGCCAGUUCCAAAGUCCUGGAAUUUAGAUGUCUGUAUCCACCACCACACCCCACCGCCGCCCAAAAAGAUAUAAAGAAAAAAACAUAGAUGAAAAGAAAAUCUUUGUGAGAUACACACACACUUGCAUAUCCAUGUUACUAGUUCUAUAAGCUUAGUAUUAAUGCAGAUUAGAGUUAGUCCUAGAAAAAAUAGAGAGCUCUCUUAGAGUACUAAAACUAGAAGUCCAUUAAAACUAGCAGUAGAUUUGAGAGAUCACAGCCAGACACCACGCUGAUACGUACGUACUAUUUCAUGCAAGACCUAAUAUACUACUAGAAGACGAGCAUAACACGUAUAGAACUAGUAACAUCUUCUGAUGCUUCACGCCGGCGGCUAGCUAGCUAGCGGAGUACCAUAACUAACUCGUCUGAUUUUCCCAAGUGGUGCAGAAGAAAACCUCAGGAUUAAUCAGCCACGGAGAACACCAAAGAGUGAUUUUCGCUUACCAGCAUCCUUAAUCAACACCCCUCCAUAUUUUCUUGCAGCUUGGUUACAGUCAAUGGCUUCAUUUUCUUUCGUAGGAAUAUCAAUGUUAUUACUCACCAAUGGCAAGUUGGACCUUCGAUUUGACCAAAAUGGUUGCUGAAUUCGAUUUGCUUGAGGCUGUUGACGCUCCGGACGAGGCGGCGGCGGCGGCGGCCUGGUGGUUGGACCACAGUACUCUUCCCGUUCCAACGUCGCAAAGCCUUCCAUGCCAAUCUCCACAAGACUUGCUGCUCUAUUCCUACGUCCCAUUACAACCAAAGACUACUAUUUGGAUGCUAAUCGAAUACUAGUAAUUAUAUAUACUGGUCGGAUGAGCAAAGAGUUCGGUUGCUUUUGCUUGGUGCAAAAACUAAUGGAUUCAUACCUCUUAUAUAUAGAGGACCAAAAAGUAUCACUCGCAUCCUGCAUGCCAAUGGUAGCCUAGCUAUAUACUUUACUUCCUAUCUAGUUUUAGCUUCAUUAUUGGCAAUUAAUAUGCAAUGUUCAAAAAUCAAGUUGGGCUGGGUGUGGUUAACCAUUCAUGGCUUUUGAGCGAUAUUGAGUCAAAGAUUCUUUCUUUUUAGGUUUUUAUGCAAUAUGUACUAAAAUAUUCUUUCUUUCGUGGCUCUUUAGGCUUUACAAUAUUGAGUAAAAAAAAAAAACAAUUCUUUCUUUGGUGGCUCUUUAGGUUUUCGCGGAGGCAGUGAAUAAUUUAUUAGUGGAGAAAGCUCCAAAGAGAAAAAUUAUUCGGAUAGACAUUAAUAAAAUGAACAAUUCGAGUUUGAUUGUUCAUUGAAAUAGCUAGUUAACAAUUGCGGUAGUAGCUUUCAAUGUUAUCUACCAAACAAUAAACAUACCACAAAUUUUUUUUUUUCAUUAAUUCUACUUUUGUUUUGUCGUUGCUCUCUGCAGUUUUUUCUCUAAGUUUUUUUUUUUUUAAAUUUUUUUAAUAGGAGAAGGGUUAGGUUUAAAAAGCGCGCGGCUAUGAUUUCGAUCAAUCUUAGCCAGUAAAUUGAGAUCUCUUUAACUAUUUUUUUUAAUGUAUAUAAACACUAAUUCGAGCUUUUUCUGUUAGUCAAUAAUUACAGGGUGGAUGAGGUCAUUGAAUUACGUAACGCUGAAUGACGUCUAAAUGGUAAUUUUCCGUGUUCUAGAGUUAACGGUAAAAGUUGCCAAAUAGAUUCAGCAUUGUAUCUGCAAUUCUUUUUUUGAAGCUUGUUGAGCAGGACGAAUCUAUAGAAGAAAUUACUACCGACAUCUUUAUUCCUUUAGCAUUAUCUUCAUCUUAAGUAAAUUUUCGGUGAUCUGAAUUUUGAGCUUCCUAUAUCUCCUAUCCAAGUCGACCGACCAAGUAAAAGAGUUGCUGGAAUUUCCACAUGCAGAUCCACCACCACCACCACCACCGAGUACGGAUGAGAUAAUGUUUGAUCACUGAUCGCCCAAGAAUUUAGAAGAUUCCUUAGUACUACGCUUAAGUUGUGUAGAUUCUACGUGUUGAGAGUCAUAGUCCAUUCUUCUGGGGUUUUUGGCAAUCAUAUGAAAUCACGUUGGUUUCAAUCUACAAGUGAUGACGCAAAAUACUAGCUAGAACUAGUUUGUCGACUCAGCAUCUGGUUCAAAACAUCUAGCAUCUAUAGCCCUUAAAUGAUCCAGCAUCGAAUUACAACAAGUUAAUGGAAUUUGAAAUAUUUCAACAACCCUUAAAGGAUCGUUCAAUUGUCAGUAAUAUAUAAUUUAUUGGCCUGGAUGAUUGGUAGAAGUACGUACGGCAAUGUUCGAUAACGAAGAAAAUCUAGCUUGUGGGAUAAAUUAAUGUGUGAAUUGGAGGAUAUGGAUUCAAUUUUUUGUGGGAUAAGUACUAAACUAAUGAUUUUUUCCGCUUCAUGAAAUCUGAGUCGACCAACCUUUUAGAUUAAUUAUUGCAAUUACAUAUCUAAAUAAAUUGUCACCCGCGCGAAUCAGAUUCUGGUGCCUUGCUUAUUGUGCGUACGAGGACGUCAAAAGUUUAUCAAAGAGGCAUCCAUUAACCAAGCCAGAAUAUAAAGUAUAGUAUUAUACUAAGCUUUAAGGUUCGCCAAUAAUGCAGUAAUUAAACAACAUGCACUAAUCAUUUGUUCUUAGACUAAAAUAUGGGAUUUUUCACACAACUUUUUCUUUUCUAGAUGCGAUUGCGGCUAAGAAAGUCAUUCUUAAUUGAUGGAUGAGAAGAUCGCACCGCAUGCCCCAAUAAUCUCGGAAGUAUAAAUUAUAUGCGUACUUGCUAUUUUCAGAUUAAAAUUAUCUGGGGGAAUGAUCUUGUGCAUAUGGAAGGCAAAUAAAUUACAGUGGCAUCAAGCCAUCAACUAACUCCAGAGCAUGUUUCAGUACUGGAAUCAGGGGCCAUUCCGAACGGAAACCAGAUUGGGUUUUUCUGGUUUAAUAACAGCGUGAAUUCACUCUGGUAAGGGUUAUAAUUGAAGGUCAAGAAGUGUAACUUUCAUGCACAAAGGGAAUAUCCAACGUCUUCAGCCGGAGAUGCCACCUUGUCGCAGGAAUUUAAGCUACGAGAUGCAAACUUAUCUGAUCGCCAUUCAUGAAGGCACCCAUGAUCAUGAAUCAUGAUCAGCUCAGCACUUCCGCGCACGUAAAAGAGUUUUCUCUUGGGACAAAUCUUCAAUUUAAUAUUGAGAAACAGAUUGAUGCGAAUCCAAGCCUUACCGUCCUGGCUAAGUAUGCAGAGAAAAUUACAAUCUGUUGAUUCAUCGACAUCCAAUGGUAUGUUUAGUAUGGUAUAUUCAAAGGGAAAAAAGCAAAGAGAUAAGAGAAUAAAAUGGAUUUGCUUUAUUCGUCGUCUUUGGAUUACCUUUGAACAAGAAAAUUGGGGAGAUCGAGACAACAGAAAAUUAAGGUGUAAUUUAAUUAACUGUCCAUAGCCUUAAAGCUUAGAUAAGUUUCAUGUCCAUCAUAUCAAAGUGGAAGAAAACGCAUUGGCUACAAAGGGCAUUUGAAUGAGAUUUAACGGGUGACUUUCCAAUGAAAAAGCUCAAGCUGAAUGAAAACUCGAUUUGUUGGAUAGCUAAUUUAACACCAAAAAAAACUAACCUAGCUCAACAUAUAUACUUGAUAACAGUUACUAUUUUUUAGACUUCUUAAAAACCAAUUCAAACUUAAAACAGCCUAAGUUGGACUAUUAUUAUUAGCUUGUCUACAAUCCAGAGGGAUGAGAGACUGCUUUCAUCCAUAAUUCAGCUCAGAUUUGUUCAAAGCUCGUAAAAAAUCUUAGAAGGGACAAACUACACAAUUUUAGGGUUUUAACAACCCAAAAAAAAAAAACAGACUGAAAAUUUUCUUUUCUUGGACAACAUUUCAGCAAGACCAAAAAUGUUCAGCAAGACAAAAAAUGUUUUGAUGCUAAUAAUGGGCAAAUAAGUCUUGAGCACGUACAGCUAAUUAAUCAUUUUUAACUCUAAUGGUGAUUAUCUGAAAAUAUACCAUUCAGUUUGAGUAUAGUACAAACAAUGUUGACCCAAAGCGCUUUUGCUCCCUCGCUCUCAUUCGGGAUCCAUAACACGUCUAAAUCACAUACCAAAGAAAUAGGAAUUUGUUGAACCACAUCCACGAAUUUGAUGACGCUAUUUAGCAGGAAGUUAUUGAGCCAAGCAAAAUUAAUUAAGCUCGCAUACGCAUGAAGUUGUCGAUAAAUGUGAAACUUAUCAUCAAACAUUCUGAAAAAAGAACGUGCUACCCAGCCAGGAUGAACUUACAAUGCGUCUAAAUCUAAUUUCCAUAAAUUAAGUAGAUGAAUAAAUAGAGUCGCAGUAUCUGAAUGUAAUCACGAAAUUUAUCCUCGUUGGACCUUUUUUUUCCCUUUUUGAGGUGGUCGGGCUGGGAAGGUGGCGGAAGGGAGGGAACGAAAGAGAUUCAAAAUUAUAUCAAUAGCCUGCAUAUAUUACAGAUGCAGUACUUGUUACAAGUAGUUUUUAGUACUAUGUAUGGGUUGUUAUACAUACACUUGCCCGAGUACCUUUAAUAUUACAUCUUGCAAGCCUGGCAUAUUAUCAAUAUUAACCAGGAGGUACAAAGUACUGCCUUAAAACGAGCACUUUUAACAUAAGUUCAUACAAGAAGUAGCAUACGAUCAAGAUUCAAGAGUGUCAUCCUUAGGAUAAGUGGAUAACAGAUUAAUUAUAACGCAUAUGAAAAGGUGGCCCCUGAUAAUCCAUCACCGGCAUGUAUUCGACAGACUUUGCAUAUGCCUCGUAUUGAUAGCCGCUCACAACAGUUGCUUCUGUUGCAAAGGUCUUGUUUACUCGCACAGUAUUGGAUUCCUGGAGCCGAUAAACAAGGUAUGAUUCUUGAGGUUGAGUCGCUUCUGCUGCAAAGGCCUUGUUUACUCGAACAGUAGUGGAUUCCUGGGGUUGAUGAACAAGGUAUGAUUCUUGAGGUUGGUAACGCUGGUAGCAAAUUUGAUGAGGAUGAUUUGCAUGGAAAGUGGUGGCUGCGUUGGCAGCUGCAGGAGCCCUUUGUGGUGGUGGAAGGACUUGACGACUCGGCCUGCGUCUCCGGCCGGAAUAUUCAUCAAUUAUAGCAAAGCCCUCUUCGCCAAUCUUAACAAGGUCUGGCUUGGAUGCCAUUGAAUCUCAAAGGCUACACUGAAGAGAAUAGUAUUACUUAGCAAAAAAUAGUUGUGUGUUUGGUUACUGAUGCAGAGGUAGAUAGGCAGAGGCCUUUAUAUAGAGGCUUUUUUUUUUUUUUUUUAAUAGAUAGCAAGGGUCCCAAAGUGGGGGAAAAAGUCGAACCAUAUGAACAUGGCUGCUUCAUGGAAACGAGACAACUUCCCGUGCUAAGUUACAAACAUUUUUAUCACUUCUAACGUUUAUGCCCCCACAUUUUUAUCACUUUUGCUGCAGUGUCUCUCGUUUUUUCAAAUUUUUAAAAUUGUUUCUACAUCCUUUUUUUUUUUUUUUUGCAUUAACUAACUAUGAUUAAUUAUGAUAACUAAUUAUAACGAGCUAUAUUGAAAAGACCACAGCUCGACAUAUAUAAAAUCCAUAAUCUUGCAUCUAAAAUAAAAUAAAUAAAACUAAAAUUUUUUGUCCCAAAAAACAACUUAGGCCCCGUUUGGAUUGCAUUUUCCAUCAUUUUUCAUGAAAAAAUUACUGUAACGAUUUGAUGUAUGUGAGGGAAAAAGAUAAUAGAAAAAUGUGUUUACGAAAAACGACGUAAUUUUUCGACGAAAAACAGUUGUUUGGAUAGGGUAUUAUUUGAAAUAUUAUUUGGAAUAAUUACUGUAGCACUUUUGUGAUGUGAUGUAUGUGAGAUAAAAAGGUGGUUGGGAAUAUAAAAAGGUAGGUUGGGAAAUGUGUUUGUGAUGCAAGCAAAAUAUUAUUUGAAAUAAUUGAGGUAUCCAAACACUAAUCCAAACAAGGCCUUAAUUUUCAUGAGUUACUUUCUACAAACAAAACUUUUAUCAUCAGUUUUACCAUUUUGUUACAUCACCCACACAUUGGGUAUCAUUAGCAACAUUUUCUAGCCAUCACCUUAGUUCGAUUUUGGCAGAUUUAAUGAAAUGGUGAUGUUUUAUCCUCCCCAAAAAAAAAAAAAAAAAAAAAAACCCAUCACCUUGUUUCGAUUUUGGCACCACAGCCUCAUAGUGAGUGGGAAGAAAAAUCUGAGAAAAUUCCAACUUCCCAAUAUGUGGCGAUUCCGGGAGACAAAGGCAUAAAGCUAAUGUGAAAGGGGGAGGCACCUGGUGAUUUAAUUCCGGAGGGUCAUAUUAUUCCGUUUGAUCGGCAAGGGAAAGUGAUUUUAUACGGUCGUGGUCUUGGCGGUGGACUUGGUGGUCUGAGUCUUCCCUCUUUCGGUGGAAUAGAACAUGACAAGUGUCUAAUGGAUUGGAUGCCUUGUGCUUCGGUUGAAGACUGGACGACUUCAAUUUUUAGUCCACUAUUUGUGUUAAUCUUUCAUCUAUGUGCAGAUUAUAAACUAAUUUUGAAAAAUGAUUAUAGACGAAACCAGAAUAAUUUGGAGCGACUCGUGAGUGUAUUCUAGAUUUUAACUUUUUAAUUAUUCAAAAUUAUUAAAAGAAAGAAAGGAAAAUAAAUAAUCAGAUGAAUAGAGCUCCUAGUUAAGCCUGGUUGUUUGCUUGACAGCCACAAUUACUAGCAAGCAGAAUUAUUCCUCUGACUGAAACAAACAUAACAACUGAUCUUUUAUUGAUAAAACGAAAAUUCGGUCAAGGAAGAGAUAAUUCCUUUUUGCUUUUCUUUGGUUCUUUUCAUCCGACUAGGAUAGACCAAUCCAAAGUUCAGUCAAUUAACCUAUUUAAUUAGAAGCAUAAACUUACUUACAGAAUCACAAAAGAAAAAAGAUUAAAAAAGGAAGAAAGUCUGCAAUUUGUUUCUGCUUUGUUAGGAUUGUGAUUUUUUGUAGAAAAAUAUUUACAUUUUCCAUGAACAUAUUUUUACCUCACUCACAAGCAUUAAAUCGCUACGAUAUAUAUUUCAAUCAAAUUAAACUCCUAAAAAUCACAACAGUACAUCAAAUUUUUAACUGGAAAAUGUAACCAUACUCAAAAGUUUACCAAGCUAGUGCUGUAUGCAACAAAAGUAUUACGGUGAGUCGUUUUGAUCAGAAGAAAGACACCAGAUCUCUCUGCUUCUAUGAGUUGUUUUGAUCAGUUAGGUUUUGAAUCUAUUCUUCUCCCAUGUUAUAUGAUUCUUUAUGUUUAAGCAUUUCGUUUUCAUUGGUUUGGAUAGACAAAAAUCUGAUCAAGUGGUGAAAUUAAAUCAAAUGACGAGGAAAGUGCAAGCUAAAUUACGAGAAUAGUGUAUACUCUUCACCACGUACCGUGCUAGAACCAGCUCGAGCCCGCUUGGCCUUUCUGUAAAACCACUUUCUACAAUCAAAAGGUUACAACUUCAUAUGAAUUGUGAUUGAUACAAUGGUAUUUAGUUUUAUGUUGUACUUCUUUUUUCAUAAAUUGUGUUUGCUAUAGAGGUUUUCACGCAUUUUGCUGCUUUUUUUUUUUUUUUUUUUUCUUGAUACGCAUGCAUUUAGUUAGAAGAAACCACUUCAAGUUUCGGCAUAAAUUGUAAUGUCUAGAAUGAAAAUGUAAUGCAUCACAGGUUGAAAUAUUCUGUCAUGCAGCAAAUACAAAAAAAAAAAAAAAAAAAAAACCCCUUCCUACGAUAAUGAAAAACACUUGCAAAUUUGUAGAAAACGAUCAUUGAUGACUGUUACGAUAACUAUUAGCAGAUUAAAUAAGCGAAUUCAUCAAUGCAAAAAAAAAAAAAAAGAGGAAAAGACAAUUUCUUUCAAGCACUGGUCUAUGUAUGUAUUACUUGCAACUUUCAGAGUUCCAGCUCGAGAAGUUCGGAAGCAUAAUAGACCGUUAAAAAGAAAAAGAAAAAAAAAAGAAAUCAGCGAUGAAGAUGCAAGUAUAUUAAAAAGAGCAUUCUAAUAUUGCUUCAAAGCUCGACUUCUACAUAUUUCUUCUGCAAGCCUGGAAACUAUAAAAGACUAGCAGCCAUACAAGCUGUAAUUAUGUGCUUGCUUGCUAGUUGUUAAUUGCUACUACUGCUACAACACAGGAGAAACUUUCUGCAGUACUCUGCACUCUGCAGUGAUGUAUCCACAUAUUACAUCUACAAUAGGCCUGCACACAUAAUGGAACUUAGUAAGCCAUAGCUUCUGAUUUCCUCUUGGAAUAAUCCAUAAUGAUCAUCAUCCCAUCAUGCAACUUCAUAGCACCAUAGCGGGUGACCUUCUCUUCACUAGAAACAGGUUUCAUCAUCUGAUAAGUUAGGGGUUUCUGAGGUUGAUAUGGGGGACAAUCUGAUAUAUAUGGACGAGCCGCGGCAGGCCCAGCAGGAGCCUUCUGCCUCGGUGCAGCAGCUGCCCUUUUUUUUCCUAAAUAUCCUUCCUCUUCCAGCACCUGAAAGCCUUCGUAGCCUAUCUUAAGAAGCUUUGAUGGGUUGUCCAUCUUGUUGUUACUGGCCAUUUCUAAGCAAGAAGUGAGGAAAAGUGGGGAGGCUAGCUUCUGAUGAAACUGGGUUUGAGGUCUUCUUUUGUUGUGUAUGGAAAGGUUAGUUUGAGUUGGUGGUUUGGUGUAAAAGGCUAUGAGCAAUGAGCCCUUUAUAUAGGGAGAGUUUUUACUAAGAUAUAGCUGAGAACGCGGGUUGUUGAUCUGCAAAUGCUCCUCCACUUUGGAUUGAUUUGUUCACUAAGCAUUUACUUUUCCAGGUUACACAUUUGACUGAAAAUUUUUUUUUGGUCAU
This 127563-nucleotide long non-coding RNA is filed under the name Coffea arabica (coffee). RNAcentral's name for it is "long non-coding RNA (CARA_LNC002070)". Lineage: Eukaryota; Viridiplantae; Streptophyta; Magnoliopsida; Gentianales; Rubiaceae. The record is from RNAcentral.